This 96085-nucleotide long non-coding RNA is filed under the name Vitis vinifera (wine grape). RNAcentral's name for it is "long non-coding RNA (VVIN_LNC001392)". The record is from RNAcentral. Lineage: Eukaryota; Viridiplantae; Streptophyta; Magnoliopsida; Vitales; Vitaceae.
GGUGGCUUCUCUCCCUUAGGUGGUUUGCCAACUGGGGUUGGUGGCUUGUGUUCUGGGAGUGGCUUCUCCCCCUUGGGAGGUUUUUCCAAUGGGGUUGGUUUGUGUUCAGGAGGUGGCUUCUCCACUGGAGGCUUGUGUUCAGGAGGUGGCUUCUCCACCGGAGGCUUGUGUUCAGGUGGUGGCUUCUCCACCGGAGGCUUAUGCUCUGGUGGUGGCUUCUCGAAUGGGGGAUGCUUAGGAUAAUCAGCAAGUGAGGGGGCGGUGAGAACCACCAGGCCAAGCAACACCACUAGCAAAUAUGUAGGAGACAUCUUUGGGUUUGGGCUCAGAUGGUGCAAAACUAGGAGAAUUGGCUAGCCUUUUAUAGCGGAUCGUACCCAAUAAUGAAAUGACACGUGUCAUUAUGACCCAUGUGUAAUGGGGUCGAUUUGGGUCCUACAGUGUUGAAAACUUCGACAUCCACUUUUGGCCUUUUGCUUUCUCUACAGCCGCCUUGCUUUUUCCCUCUUUCCUUUUGUUUUCCUCCUGCCCCAUUCUAUCAACUAAACACAAUUAUGUAGUUGUUUAAUUCUUAAAUGAGAUAUUAUCCGUCAAUCGUAUUAUAUUUUAUCAAGAGAGAACGGAGUGCAAUGUGGCUGUAAUUUUAUCGUUUAGUUUUAUCUCUUGGACCACUGCAUUUUUGUUAAGAGGUGCAAUAAUACACGUCUUUAUCUGCCAUUCAAUAUUUACAGUAAAGAGAGGGCACAAAACUCUUCACUUCGCACCAUAAUUAUUUUGUUUUCUGGACACCCCGGGGCCCUUUGGUUGGUUUGGGGGUCAGAAAGUGAACAUCAUAGGGGGUUUUUCCCUUAUGUGCAUUUGUAUCUGAUGGCUUUAACUCGCCUUGUUACUACAAAGAAACUGUCACAGAUAGGAACUUAUUCCAGGCUGAGUAUCUCCUCAUAGACCCUAUAAAAGAAGACAAGUCAUAAUGAACAUCUAACCUUUGUUCAAUUUGAUUCAAUGCCCCCAUUGUGUCCAUCUCACAAAUCUGAAUUAUUAUAUCCAUUGAAUACAUAAAUUAAUGAAGAAAAUAUGAAACCCAAGAUACAUCUCUGCACAACCUCAACCCUGGUUGCUAUGUUUCCCUUCUAUUCACAUGAUUUGAUGCUAAUUGCCAAACUUGCAACAAGCCCUGAGUUUGACACCUAGUAUCGAUGGGCGAAUUUAAAGUCUCCUCCAAACAUAUAUUCCACAGCUUGAAGCUCACAGAAGAUGUUACAGGCAGGGAAAAACCUUCAGAGUUCGCUACCAAAGAUAAUUAUUAAGGAGAUAUCACAAAGAGAAUUCCAAGGGGUCUGAAUCAAAGACAAAUUGGUCGUUCGUGGGGGUUCUUACUUUCUUUUGGGUAUAACUCACUGAGGGCACUGUCUUUGUUAUUUGCAUUUCACAUUUAGAGUUCUGUUCUGGAAACAUAUAAAAGGAGCAUCAUUUUGUUCUUGGGUAACCCAUAGUCGUGAGUGGGUCCAUUUGCAUGCUACUUAGUUGAAAAGUUGGACCAUUUGCUCCGACGCCUACCUCCCGGAUUCCAUGCUCGGAUAAAACAAGAAUAAAAAAAAUAUUUAUAAUUUACAAAUGGGGGAAAGAAAAAAAUGUCAACAACAAACCAGGAAAAAAGAGUAGUAAAAUUCAUGUCACAUGCUAGUGAGAGAAGGGGUUGUUACACUCACUCGAAGUUCUUUCCAAAAUAUCGCAUGGUAUUUUAUUUUAUGUGUCAGCGCAGUUGUGAAUGGAACGUGCAAAAGUCCAAAUUGGCGUUUUUCCUUUUCCCGUGUAGGAUGGCGACCUUUAAUAAAUAUUUAAAACAAAAAACGAAAAAAAGGAGGGAAAAGGGAUCAGAAAAGAUAAAACAAUGUGUACAAGAGCUCAAUUAGUUUGCAAAUUACUGUUUGGAUUUUGAUAGUAUUUUAUUUGUCCAUCUAUAUUUGAUGGAAAAGAGAAUUUAAGAUAUUUCUGAAACAAAAGCAUUAGUGUAAAACUAAAUUAAGGUAUAAUUAAGUUAGUUCAAUGCAUUAAUUUAAGAAACUUGAUCUAUCCAAAGUACAAAAUUAGAUGAAAUCCAUUUCAAUGGUUAAAAUGAUCAAAAUCAAACUUUUUCUAAGUAUUUUUUAAAAGCAUCAAUAUUAAAAGACAAUUUUAUAUUUAGUCGGAGUUUGGACAAAACCAAAAAGCACACAAAAUCCAAGCGACCAUCUCUAGCUUGGAUAGUCACUUGAUCCCACCUAGAGAUGUGCAUGAGUAAAAGGAUUUGAAAAUGGAAAUUGACUAAAUAUUUAGUUGAUCAAUUAAAUUUGCAAUGUCAUAUGCAAUCCUAAUAGCUAGUCAUCUAAUCAAUUAGGUAGUCAAUCAAGUGUUUGUAAUGACUAUUUUGUACAAAAAACCACAUGUAUAGUUAAAUAUAAUGCAUUUCAUUUAUAAAUCUUCUAAUUCUUGAAUAACGAUCCUAUCAUCCUUUGAAAAUUUUUAUUACACCUUUUUUACUUUUGUUCUAAAACUUACAUAUCACCCUUAAUUGUACCAUGAGAACCUAGCUAUUUUUUUUUUUUUUGUAAUUCAUCAAAGUUAGCUUUUGUAUUCAUUGUUGUAUUAUUUUUAGUAUAACUUAGAAAGCUAGUGUUUUCAAGUGAGUAAAAUUAACUUGUAAAUAUUGUAAAGAUUCAUUGAUAUGUAUCUUAAACUAAGUGUACAAAUUAAAACAUUUGCUAGUAGAUUUUCUCAAAAUUUAGAAUAGAGCUUGAGGCUAUUGAAAUAGGUGGGGUUACACCAAACCACAUCACAUCGUUGUUUGCACCUUUUUUCACUCUCUUUUACUUAGUUUCUCUAUAUUUGUUGUCUAGUAAUAUCCUAUAGGCUUGAUGGGUUAGGGAGCAUCCCUUUGUGAAAAAAUUUCAUUCAAUUCUUAGUUGUAUUACGCAUAUAUAAAAUGCCUCAUUGUUUUAAUGGUAUUCAGUCGUGGCAUCACAGAUAUGGGCAUCUAAAUUUUAAAAGUUUGAAACUUUUGUAAAGCAUGUUGAUAAAAUCCAUGAGAGUUGUGUACUUGGGAAGCAACAUCGAGGUGACUUUAUUUUUUUUUCCUUUUAUAAUGCCACACCUAAGUCCGGUUUCUAAAUGCUAAAGUGAAAGGGUAGGUAUGGACCAUUGAAAUGUGAUCACAACUUUUGGCCUUUUCCUUUCUCUGCAGCCAUGUUGUCUCUUUUUUCUUUUGCAUGAUUUUCUUACCAAAACAGAAUCAUAGACUUGUUUAGUCUCUAAGCUACUAUAUUAUAUCUCGGUGGACUUUUAAGAGUGCAACCGACAUAGAGCACAUGCAAGUGGGCAUAUGGGACAUGAAAUUUCUUCUUACAAAGAUUGCAUGAUUUUUAUAUUAGAGUUGUUCACGUGCAAUGUAUUUAGCUUGUUUUGCAGUUAAAUUAAUUGGAUAAGUAAACAUUGGCAUUUCUAAAUCGACUGUGAAGUGCUUCAUGUACGUGUAAAGUAUUAGAAAUUUCUUUCUUGGCAACUUGUUUUUUCCUUGCCAUCUACUGGUAGGUUUGACUAAAAUUAUAUUCCCUGUCAUGCUAAUUAAUUUUCAUGUGCAUGCUCAAAAGAAGAGUAUGACCUUAGUGCACCAAAAUCACUUUGAUUAAUUUGUGAUAGGUUUUUUUGCAUCAUUUAGAUAAUGUUUAGUUCUAAGAAAAAUUUAUAUAAAAAUGGUUUAUUUAUCUUACAUAUAUAUAUAUAUAUAUAUAUUUUUUUUUUUUUCAUUUUUUUUUCUUCUAUUUUAUUUAUUUAUUUUAUUUUCCUUAUGUUUUCCUCACAUUUUCCGGAACUAAACAUAGUCUUACGAAAUCAACAAUUGCCUUCAACUGAGUAGAUUCUGUUGUUUUAGCAAUGUUAGGCUGCUAACUUGUGGUGGUACGAACCAAAUGACCCAUGUUAAUCUUGGCUUGGUUUGAUUUGGCUCUAUCUCAGAGAGCUAAAGGAUCACGUCAACUCUGGUUUCUACUAUUCAGGUCCAUUCCCAGAUGAACUGGUUCAAAUUUGAGAAAAUGGUAACAGACCUUUAGUGAUGUUGGUUUGGAGCCAGUUGCCAAACCCGCCCUGAGCUUUACCACUAAUGUCAAGGGAGAAAGCCAUUUGAACAAAAACAAUAGCUUCAAGAGACUGAAUCGUGGAUGAAAUCUGAUCCACAUUUCUUCUCAUUUUGGGAAAAAAUGAGAACUUAACUACAAAGAUUCUACUGCCUCAUUCAUAGUGCUUUUCCUGAUCCAAGGUUGGUUCGUUUCCCAAAUUGUGAGGUGCACGUGCCACUCUCACGCUCAGGAGUGUAUCCACGUGGUGGACAUCAGAUGGUGGCUUAAUAUCUGGUGUCGGUGGCUUUACUUUACUAGGAGAGUAGUGUGUCUUCAUCUCAUUCACUGCCGGAGGGUGGCGUAAGCAGUGACGCUAAGGUGGGGCACAGUCAAUAUCAUUUGCAUUUGACCAUUAUAGUUUUCUCCCGGCUUGAAAGUAACCUUAUCGUGAUAAAGGAUUACUAGCACUAGUUCAGAUGACCGUCAUGUUAAUUCGGACCAUGUUUGUGUCACAUUAUCAGCAACCAUGUGUUUAUGGUUCAUGCUAUCUGCAACUAAACUUGAUAUAUAACCAGGUGAACUUCAAUCAAAAUUCUGGAAGUACUCUUGUGAUAGAUGGUGCCUGUCUGCAGAGUCCAUCAAUUGAAAAAUGGAGUGAGUGUAUCUAUAAGAGGGAAGGCUUGGCAAAUGUUCAGUUUUCUGGGAAUUCAACAAGGAUCUAAAAUAGAUUGUUUUCUUUGCCGACUUCAAUGGUUGAAAUUUGAGAAGAUUGUGUCCACAUAUCACAACUAUUACUGGUCCUUCUGUUGCAAUUUAUCCUGUAAGGCUCUAACAUGUCUUCCAAUUCCCACUUCCCUGUUACUCCAGGAAAGCUAUUUCUGUCAUUGUGAAGAAGAAAAGAGAAUGUACAUAUCGAUGCUUUUAAGUGACUGGAGCAUUCAUAUCAGGUGGUCUGCAGCCAUAUAUGCCACUUUGUGAAGGUUGGAACAGUCAAUCACUAGGCUAUAUAUUGGUGUGGCCCAGCCACUUCAAUCAAGGACAAGUCUUCAUACUUAAAGUCAAAUUCUGCCUUUAGUCUCAUUAUAAAUUGCUGUUUAAAUAUUAAGCAAACUUUUGUUUAAUGCGAUUAAGACAGUACUAACUCAAUACUUGUUCUAUUUUUGGAUGCAAAUGCUUGAUGGUUUCAUCAUUGGAUGGGAUAAAGGUGCAUUCAUGAUUAUGAAUACUUGUAGUUAUAUUUUCAUUCUCUUUUUUCUCAAUGAGACUUGUUGGCACAAUGUUGCUGUUCAGAAACCUACCUCUCCAUGGAAAAUAAGUUGCGAUUGAUAGUACUGGAUAUGUUCAAGAAAGCUAAAUAUAGAUAGCACAAAAUAUUAUCGAUAUAAAUAGCAUUAACAGCGUACGUAUGUCUCAAUGCUCAUCAGCUAUAAGCAUGGGACAAACACUUACUAUGAGCAACUUACGUCAAAAUUCCAGAAUAGGACAUAGAAGUGACAGAUCUAUAUAUAUAGAACACUGCAUAUGAGUCACAAGAAAGGAAAUUACGGGUGCAUAGCAGCUCUUAUUUUACAUACUACUACUCAUACUGAUCAAAGUCACUCAGUUGGGAUGGGUGGGAGUAGGAGGUUUGUGGGGUGGCUUGUGCGGAGGAGUUGGCAGCUUCUUUCCAGGACCUGGUUGCUUCUCUGCUGGAGUUGAAGGAGGCUUAAUCUUCCGAGGUGGCUUGUAUGAGUCUUCAGCAUUCUCAGCUGGAGGGUGACCAGGGUUGUGACCAUAAUGUGGUGGCUUCUCUCCCUUAGGUGGUUUGCCAACUGGGGUUGGUGGCUUGUAUGAGUCUUCAGCAUUCUCAGCAGGAGGGUGACCAGGGUUGUGACCAUAAUGUGGUGGCUUCUCUCCCUUAGGUGGUUUGCCAACUGGGGUUGGUGGCUUGUGUUCUGGGAGUGGCUUCUCCCCCUUGGGAGGUUUUUCCAAUGGGGUUGGUUUGUGUUCAGGAGGUGGCUUCUCCACUGGAGGCUUGUGUUCAGGAGGUGGCUUCUCCACCGGUGGCUUGUGUUCAGGAGGUGGCUUCUCCACCGGAGGCUUAUGCUCUGGUGGUGGCUUCUCCACCGGAGGCUUAUGCUCUGGUGGUGGCUUCUUGAAUGGGGGAUGCUGAGGGUAAUCAGCAAGUGAGGGGGCGGUGAGAACCACCAGGCCAAGCAACACCACUAGCAAAUAUGUAGGAGACAUCUUUGGGUUUGGGCUCAGAUGGUGCAAAACUAGGAGAAUUGGCUAGCCUUUUAUAGCGGAUCGUACUCAAUAAUGAAAUGACACGUGUCAUUAUGACCCAUGUGUAAUGGGGUCGAUUUGGGUCCUACAGUGUUGAAAACUUCGACAUCCAGUUUUGGCCUUUUGCUUUCUCUACAGCCGCCUUGCUUUUUCCCUCUUUCCUUUUGUUUUCCUCCUGCCCCAUUCUAUCAACUAAACACAAUUAUGUAGUUGUUUAAUUCUUAAAUGAGAUAUUAUCGGUCAAUCGUAUUAUAUUUUAUCAAGAGAGAACGGAGUGCAAUGCAGCUGUAAUUUUAUCGUUUACUUUUAUCUCUUGGACCACUGCAUUUUUGUUAAGAGGUGCAAUAAUACACGUCUUUAUCUGCCAUUCAAUGUUUACAGUAAAGAGAGGGCACAAAACUCUUCACUGCUCUGCAUGUGUCCCAAAAAUGCGAUUGGACAAAUUAUGAUUUGCAUGCUAAAAAGAGGCAAAUGAGGUUAAUUCGCACCAUAAUUAUUUGGUUUUCUGGACACCAUAAAAAGAUGUUAUACAGGCAGGGAAAAACCUUCAGAGUUAGCUACCAAAGAUAAUUAUCAAGCAGAUAUCACCAAGAGAAUUCCAUAGAGUCUGAAUCAAAGACAGAUUGCUCGCUCGUGGGGGUUCUUACUUUCUUUUGGGUAUAACUCACUGAGGUCACUGUCUUUUUUAUUUGCAUUUCACAGUUAGAGUUCUGCUCUGGAAGGUUUGUUCUGGAAACAUAUAAAAGGAGCAUCAUUUUGUUCUUGGGUAACCCAUAGUCGUGAGUGGGUCCAUUUGCAUGCUACUUAGUUGAAAAGUUGGACAAUUUGCUCCGACGCCUACCUCCUGGAUUCCAUGCUCGGUAAAACAAGAAUAAAAAAAAAUAUAUAAUUUACAAAUGGGGGAAAGAAAAAAUGUCGGAAAAAAUAGUAAAAUUCAUGUCACAUGCUAGUGAGAGAAGGGGUUGUUACACUCACUCGAAGUUCUUUUCAAAAUAUCGAAUGGUAUUUUACUUUAUGUGUCAGCGCAGUUGUGAAUGGAACGUGCAAAAGUCCAAAUUGGCGUUUUUAUUUUUCCCAUGUAGGAUGGUGACCUUUAAUAAAUAUUUAAAACAAAAGACGAAAAAAAAAAGGAGGGAAAAGGGAUCACAAAAGAUAAAAUAAUGUUUACAAAAGCUCAAUUAGUUUGCAAAUUACUGUUUGGAUUUUGAUAGUAUUUUAUUUGUCGUUCUAUAUUUGAUGUAAAAGAGAAUUUAAGAUAUUUCCGAAGCAAAAGCAUUAGUUUGCUCUGUGAUGUCCCACAUCGAAUAGGGGAGAAAGUUUCUGGCGCUAUAUAUGUAGAGGCUCCUCUUAACCAAGUAGAUGCGUUUUAAAACCAUGAGGGCCCCCUUAGGUCCAAAGCGGACAAUAUCUACAUGAUUGGGUGUAAGUCAUUACAAAUGGUAUCAGAGCCGAUCCCCGACCCCGGUGUGGGGGUUUGUUUGGCCCUGUAAGGGGUGUUUGUCUGUUUGACCCCACAAUCCCAUGGGACACAACGAGGACGUUGUGUCUGCAUGGGGGGGCGUUUGUGAUGUCCCACAUCGGAUAGGGGAGAAAGUUCCUAGUGCUAUAUAUGUAGAUGUUUCUCUUAACCAAGUAGAUGCAUUUUAAAAUUGUGAGGGCCUCUUUGGGCCCAAAGCGGACAAUAUCUACAUGGUUGAGUGUAAGUCAUUACAUGCUCCAUGUCAAUUUCAGCAUUUCUCAUAUGUUUCACACAUACACAGAAGAGCAUCGUUUUUUAAAGCAUGCAUUUAUGUUGGAUUAAUUUGGAUUUUGUGGGAACUGGGGCAAGGAUCACAUGGAAGAGAGGUUGACUUUUUUCAGUACUUCAAUGGUUGAAAUAUGUGAAGGCUUGAUUGAUACUAAAGCUUGAAAUUGCGACUCUGUCAUUUGUAAAAAAAUAUGACAGCUUCCAUGCUCUCGUUUGGUUGCAUUGUCCGGUCGAGAGGUGCAAAAAGCAUUCUCUCUCUUCUAAUAGUCUUUUCGUUUAAAUCAAGGGAUUUGCCUUCCCGGUCGAGGUCCAAUAGAGGGUAACGGUCACCUACUAAACAUUAAAUGCUCCAACAACUAGUGAACUGAUCGACCCCAGCUCGACUAGUUGAGGUUACUUUUUGGUUUUCUUGUCUCCCGAGGUUAGAAACCUAUAAAUAGAGAGCUUCACUUCAUUUAUGAGUAAGAGAACACCUAAAUUUAUUUGUUUACCUACUUGUUUUUGCCAUAAAAGCUCUCAUUUCUUUUCUUGGUGUAUUAAAUCUCCAUUUGCAUAUCCUUUAGUGCACCUUUGUGAUUCAUUCUAGCCUUGAGUUGUAUUUAAGCCUUUGUUGAGCUAGGUUGAGAGUUUCAUACUUGUUUAUUGAGUGUUAAAGCCUUCAAGUGAGUUAAAACUUGAAGAGAUUGUGUAAGAGCCCAUUGGAGUCGGAAUCCAAGUGUAAAGGUGAUUAAAAGCUUGGUUGAAGCUUCAAGUUAGUGGAACUCUCACUCGGUUAUGAGCUUGAGAAGAGUGGACAUAGACAAGGCAGUGUCGAACCACUAUAAAAUCUGAGUUUGAUUUCUCUAACCUUAUCUCUUUAUAUUUGCUUCUCUUGUGCUUAAAUUUUUUGUGUUUAAAAAGAAUUUUUAAAAACUCAAUUCACCCCCUUCUUGGGAGUUUUUCUCUUUUAAGAUCAGCUUUUAUUUUCUCAAUUGGUAUCAGAACUAUGCCUCUUGUUUAAGACUUAAUCGUCUAAGAGGAAAUGGCUAAUCCAUCAAGUUCAUCUCACAUUGAAAGUUUUGCAACCAAUAGACUUCUUUUUUUUUUUUUGCGGGAACUGAUUAUCCCUAUUGGAAAACUAAAAUGACUUGGUUUUUACAAUCAAUUGAUUUAGAUGUAUGAGAUGCCAUUGAAGAUGACCUAACUUUUCCUUCAAAACUAGUUGAUGGAGUCAUGGUUCCAAAACCUAAGCAAGAAUGGGAUGAGCGUGAUUGAAGAAAUUUUCAAUUAAAUGCUAAAGUCGUUUAUACUUUGCAAUGCUCUAUGGACAGAAAUGAAUAUAAUAGAAUAUGUCAAUGCAAAUCGGUUAAAGAAAUUUGGAGAUUGCUUGAAAUAACUCAUAAAGGAACAAAUCAAGUUAAAGAGUCAAAAAUCAAUUUACUUGUUCAUAGAUAUGAAUUGUUUUUUAUGAAAGAUAAUGAAACUAUUGUUAAGAUGAUCACUAGGUUCACCAACAUUGUUAAUGGUCUUAAAGCCUUGGGAAAGACCUACAAGGAAUCCGAAAACGUGAUGAAGAUCUUGAGGUCACUUCCAUCAAAGUGGCAUACCAAGGUCACCGCAAUUUAAGAAGCAAAAGACUUGAUCAAGCUACCUUUGGAGGAGUUCAUAGGGUCAUUGAUGACAUAUGAAAUCAAUUUGGCAAAGAAGUAACAAAAAGGUGAAGACAAAAAGAAGAAGAACAUAACUCUCAAAGCUACAACUAAGGAAGAAGAAGUUGAAGAAGAAAAACAAAUUGAAGAAGAUGAAGAUUUAGCCCUCAUCACAAGAAAGUUCAACAAAUUCAUGAGGGGUGAAAGGUUUAGAAGAAGAAGGUUCACUUCUAGAAGAGACUUUUCUAAAAAGGAAUCUUCAUCUAAUGGUGACAAAAAGAGAUGGGAAGAGAAAAGAGACUUGGUGUGUUUCAAGUGCAAGAAACCGGGACACAUUAAAUAUGAUUGUCCUCUCUACAAAAGUGAAGUCAAGAGGAAAAAGAAUAAGGCAAUGAUGGCCACUUAGAGUGAAAGUGAAGAUGAAUCAUCCGAAGAAGAAAAUGAGAAAGAAGUGGCAAACAUGUGUUUCAUGGCAAUAGAUGAACUUGAUGAGGUAAAAUCUAACCUUAGUGAUUAAGAUAUACAUGAUGCAUUUGAAGAAUUGUAUGAGGAUUUUUAAAAACUUAGUUUGAAAAAUAUUUCUCUUAAAAAGAAAGUUCAACAACUUGACAAAGAACUUAGAGAAGUAAAAGAAAAAUUUUCAAAUGUUAAAGUUUCUAAAACUCAUCUUGAAAAAGAAAAUGAGAUUCUAAGAAAGAAAAAUGAAUAGUUGAACUCCUCUCUUUCAAUCUUUUCUUCUAGACAAAAAUCUUUUGAAAUGAUUCUAACUAGCUAAAAAUGUGUUUUUGACAAACAAGGGUUAAGAUUUAAAUCUUCAAAAAAUCAAAAGUAUUUUAAAAACUAUUUUGUAAAGGAAUCCACAAGUGCAAGUCCUUCCACUACUUGCAACUUUUGUGGAAGAGAAUGGCACAUUAGUAGUACGCCCUUUAAGAAAUGGUUCUCAAAAGAAUUUAAAUGCAAAAACUAAAAAAGAUUUGGAUUGAGAAAUCCAAGGUCACUAACCCUCAAGGACCCAAAAAGAUAUAGGUACCUAAAUCAACUUGAGUUUUAUGUUGUAAGGUUCAAAGAAUGAUAAGUGGUUCUUAGAUAAUGGUUGCUCAAGACACAUGACCGGAGAUGAAUCCAAGUUUGCUUUUCUUAAAAAGAAAAAUGGAGGAUAUGUUACCUUUGGAGACAAUGCAAAAGAAAGGAUGAUUGGUCAAGGCAACAUUGGUAAUGGCACAUCCUCUCUCAUUGAAAGUGUUUUAUUAGUAGAUGGUUUCAAACAUAACCUUUUAAGCAUUAGUCAAUUUUGCGACAAAGGUUUUUAAGUGAUUUUUUAAGCAUCUCAUUGCAUCAUCAAGGAUAUUCAAAAUGAUAAAACCAUUUUCAUGGGCCAUAGAUGUGAUAAUGUUUAUGCUAUAAAUAUUUCAAAAUAUGAUGGCCAUGAUAGAUGUUUUUCAAGCAUGCAUGAUCAAAGUUGGUUGUGCCAUAGGAGAUUGAGACAUGCUAACAUAGACCUCAUUUCCCAACUCAACAAAGAUGAACUUGUUAGAGGCCUUCCCAAAAUAAUUUUUUAAAAAGAUAAAGUUUGUGAAGCUUGUCAAGUGGGAAAGUAAAUCAAAAACUCUUUUAAAAACAAAAACUUCAUUUCCACAUCUAGGCCACUUGAGUUGUUGCAUAUGGAUUUAUUUGGUCCCUCUAGGACACCAAGUCUUAGAGGAAAUUCUUAUGCAUAUGCUAUUGUGGACGACUUCUCUAGAUACACAUGAGUCUUGUUUUUUAGUCAAAAGAAUAAAGUUUUUUAUGAGUUUUCAAAGUUUUGCAAUAAGAUUCAAAAUGAAAAAGGUUUUUCAAUUACUUAUAUAAGAAGUGAUCAUGGGAGAGAAUUCGAAAAUAUUGAUUUUGAAGAGUAUUGCAAUGAGCAUGGAAUUGACCACAAUUUUUUGGCUCUUAGAACUCCUCAACAAAAUGGGGUAGUUGAAAGGAAAAAUAGAACUCUUCAAAAAAUGACAAGAACCAUACUAAAUGAAAACAACUUACCAAAAUAUUUUUAGGCCAAAACGGUUAACACUUCUUGUUAUGUUUUAAAUAGAGUAUUAUUGAGGCUCAUACUUAAGAAAACUCCCUAUGAGCUUUGGAAAAACAAAAAACCCAACAUUAGUUAUUCCAAAGUCUUUGGAUGCAAUAUUUUAUAAUAAACACCAAAGACAAUCUUGGAAAAUUUGAUGCAAAAUUGGAUGUUGGAAUUUUCCUUGGUUACUCAACUUCAAGUAAAGCUUUUCGAGUUUUAACAAAAGAACCAUGGUUGUAGAGGAGUCCAUCCAUGUUAUUUUUUAUGAAUCUCCAAGAAAGAGAGAGGAUUGAUGAUGAUUUAGGUUUGAAGACCUCUAUAGGAAGAUUGCAAAUCGAAGAUAGAAGACAACAAGAAGAAAAUGGAGAGAAUCCAAAGAAAGAAGGAUCACCAUUGGCACUACCCCCUCAUCAACAAGCGCAAGGUGAAUCAAGUCAAGAGCUUCCUAAAGAAUGGAAGUUUGUCAUCAAUCACCCACAAGAUCAAAUUAUAGGCAAUCCAUCUAGUGGGGUAAGAACUAGAUCCUCUCUUAGAAAUAUUUGCAAUAAUCUAGCUUUUAUCUCUCAAAUUGAGCCUAAAAAUAUAAAUGAUGUUUUAGAUGAUGAAAAUUGGAUAAUUGCAAUGCAAGAAGAGUUAAAUCCAUUUGAAAGAAGUGGAGUAUGGGAAUUAGUACCAAGACCUUCAAAUCAAAGUGUUAUUGGAACUAGAUGGAUCUUUAGAAAUAAAAUGGAUGAAAAUAGCAUAAUUGUUAGAAAUAAAGCAAGAUUGGUAGCCCAAGGUUUUAAUCAAGAAGAAAUGAUAGAUUAUGAAGAAACCUUUGCCCCCGUAGCUAGGUUGGAAGCCAUUAGGAUGCUACUUGCCUUUGCAUGUUUUAAAGACUUUGUUUUAUAUCAAAUGGAUGUGAAAAGUGCUUUUUUAAAUGGUUUUAUAAAUGAAGAAGUAUAUGUUGAACAACCACCCGGUUUUCAAAGUUUCAACUUUCCUAACCAUGUUUUUAAACUUAAAAAGACACUUUAUGGUUUGAAACAAGCACCUAGAUCAUGGUAUGAAAAAUUGAGUAAAUUUCUUUUGAAAAAAAUGUUUUAAAAUGGGAAAAAUUGACACAACUCUUUUUAUAAAAACCAAAGAAAAUGAUAUGCUCUUAGUUCAAAUAUAUAUUGAUGAUAUCAUUUUUGGUGCUACUAAUGUCUCUCUUUAUGAAGAAUUUUCUAAGUGCAUGCAUAGUGAGUUUGAAAUGAGCAUGAUAGGAGAACUCAACUUCUUCCUUGGACUUCAAAUCAAGCAACUAAAGGAAUGAACCUUCAUCAAUCAAGCAAAGUAUAUAAGAGAUCUUCUCAAAAGGUUCAACAUGGAAGAAGCCAAAACAAUGAAGACUCUAAUGAGCUCAUCCAUUAAGCUUGAUAAGGAUGAGAAAGGUAAAUCCAUUGACUCUAUUAUGUAUAGAGGCAUGAUAGGUUCUUUGCUCUAUUUGACCACUAGUAGACCUUACAUUAUGUAUAGUGUGUGUUUGUGUACUAGAUUUCAAUCUUGUCUUAAAAAAUCUCACUUAAGUGUCGUGAAAAGAAUCCUCAAAUAUUUGAAAGGGACAAUGGACAUAGGCUUAUGGUAUCCUAAGAGUGAUAACUUUGAAUUAAUUGGUUUUUUGGAUGCUGAUUUUGUCAGUUGUAGGGUUGAAAAAUAAAACACUAGUGGCACUUUUCAUUUCUUAAGACACUUACUUGUCUCAUGGCAUAAUAAGAAGCAAAAUUUGGUAGCUUUGUCAACAGCAGAAGCUAAAUACAUAGCAACUGGUUUAUGUUGUGCACAAAUCCUUUGGAUGAAAUAAACACUUAGUGAUUUUGAUUUAUCUUUUGAGCAUAUUCCUAUUAAAUGUGAUAAUAGUAGUGCCAUAAGUAUAUCAAAAAAUCUCGUGCAACACUCUAGGACUAAGCAUAUAGAGAUUAGACAUAAUUUUCUUAGAUAUCAUACACAAAAGGAUGAUAUAACACUUGAAUUUGUAAGCAUAAAAGACCAACUUGCCGAUAUCUUUACAAAACCUCUAAGAACAUUUUGUUGAUAUUAGAGGACAAUUAGGAGUGAUUUCUUUAUGAUCUAAUGUGAUGAAUUCUUGAUGAAUAUACUUUUUGAUUGCAUGAAUUUCAUGUCAUAUAUGCAUCAUAUAGAAAUAUACUUAGAUAAUGGUCAAAUUUCGACCAAAAAUCAAAAUUCCCAUGGCAUUAGGCAUAAAAAUUUUGGAAUUUCAACUGAAAAUGGUAGGAGGAGGAUCACAAAAUGAGAAAGUAUGCAAAAAUUGAAAAAUCAAAACGUUGACCAAGCGGUCAAUCGGACUAGACCGAUCGACUAGUUUGUCGAGAUUUAGGAUUUUUAAGAGACUCCAACGCUUCAAUUUUUGCACCGUUCUCCUCUAUUUCUUCACGGUUUCUCUGAUUUUGUCUUUUAGAGACUAAUUUGAGUGCGUUUUGGAUCAAUUGAAGCAUUUUGGAUUGGAUUUUAGGAAGAUUGAAAGUUAAGGUUUCGGAUUUGGGUCGCCUUCUCUUCCUCUCGCGUGUCACAAUCAGCUUUAGCAUUGUUCUCUUUCCAUUUUCACACACCUAGGGUUUCAGUUGUGAGCAUCUCUCUCUCUUUACCAACCACUACUCCCUUGCUUCUUCCAUAUGGCUCCUAGGCGAGAGUCCGCUACUUCUAGGGCACAAGGCAAGCACCCAACUGAGUCGUCUCAGUCAAAGGCACGUCGAAAAGUGAGAUUUGACAUUGCCUUGUUCAGUUCCAUGGAGGACUACCAACUAUACAAGCAACACUUUGCUUAGAGACGAGUAGUUCCCAAGAGAAAUAUUAAUUUUCCUCAACUUCAGCAUUUCGAAUUUAAGGGUCUAUUUACUAGGAUGGUUGGUUGUCUAUUGUCACAAUUUCGGAGCCGGUUUUCCUGACCUUAGUGCGAGUUUUUUACUCGAGGGCGACUUAUGGCAUGGGUGGCAUGAUCAUUUCUACUGUUGGAGGAGUUGAGAUCUGUCUGGACCCAGAGAGCAUCUGCCAUAUUUUCGAUAUUGCUCUGGUUGGACUCAAAGUAUACAAGUCCAAAAUGUGGCCCAUUGUGCCAGGAUUUGAGCUUAGAGAGGUCAUUCAGAGGAUUUGUGAACUUCCAGACGCCCAGGAGAUGGGCAAACCAUUGCCACACAGUUUGACGGUCAUCAACAGGGUGCUACACCAUAUAUUGUGCUCUAUCUUUCUACCACGAAGUGGACAUUGAGAUGAGGUCUCUUAUUAUGAGGCAUUCCUUAUUGACUCCAUUCUAACGGAGAGACGAAUUCAUCUACUAUGUCAUCAUUCACUAAGCCUCCUCACAGUGACAUACCACCUCAUCAGGCACCUCUUGCUCCUGACCAUGCUCCAUUGAUGGAUUUAUUUACUCAUAUUAGCUCUCUAGGCACUCGCAUGAAGGAGUUUGUUGUAGUUAGUGAUACAUGGUUCUACUCCAUAGAGGAUCGCAUGGAUCAGUAUCAGACUGGCUUCACGUCACAGUUUGAGUAUCUCCAAUAGAGGAUUGAGCAUAUUGAGGAUCACUUGAGCAUGAGAAGAUGAUGGCUUUUCUAUGCUCUGUGUUUCCACCUCCACCUCGUCAACCUUGAUUUCUUAGAGACCCAUUGUUUUCAUUUUGUAAUGUUGCCAAAAGGGGGAGAUAUUUAGGAUCUAGGACUCUAUAGGAGACUUACAUGCAUAUCAUUUUCAUAUCAUUGUUUGGAUCGUACAUAUUGGAUAGUGAUACUUUUUACUUAUAUAUGAUAUGCCUAUAUGUUUCAUGUCUUACAUUGUUUCUUAUUGCAAAUUAUCUCUAACAUGUCUUGAUUAUCUUUUUUUUAACUUCAUAAAUUUUGAUUGUUAACCCAUGAUUGGUUUGAGGGGAAGAUUCUUCUUCUCCUAGAUAACCAAGGUUUGUCAUCAUAAAAAAAUUGGAGAUUGUUAGCCCAAGGGUUCUCCUAAUCAUGUUUUGAUGAUAACAAACCAUGCUUAAGUUACUAAUUGGUUUGAAUUAUAAAGAAUUUCAAGUGUUAAUUUGAAAAUUCAUCAAAGAACCUAAUGGAUGCAAGAUCAAGAUUUUUGGAAGACCUUUAAUCAUAAGAAACAUAUGUAAGAUGAAUGCAUGGGUGCACUUAAGAUUUGCAUAUCAUUUCAUGCAUAUUUGGAAAACACGGUUUAUGCUUUAAAGUUACAUUUCCAUCAAAAUUUGAGAUCCAUCAAAUGAACCUUAGGAAAAAUGUUUUAAAAUUGGCAUAUAAUUUUACCUAAAGACCUUGCCUAAGUGUUAGAAGCAAAAGGACAAAAAAAAUAUAGGUUUUCUGGUCAAAAAUGGUGAACCAGUCAAGGCAUUGUCUAAAUCAGCUCAAUCGGCCAAGGUACCGGUCGAUCGGUUUCCCUUUCCCUGUCGAGAUCUAGUCAAGAGGUACAAAAAUCACAAUCUCUGUCUCUUUCUCUCUUUGUCUAUCUUCCAGUAGUCUUUCCUUCCCGGUCGAGGGAUUUGCCUUCCCGAUUGAGGUCCGAUUGAGAGUAAUAGUCACUUGCCAAAUAUUAAAUGCUCCAACAGUUAGUGAACUGGUCGACCCCCACCUUGCCCAGUUGAGGUUACUUUUUGGUUUUCUUGGCUCCCGAUGUUAGAAACCUAUAAAUAGAGAGUUCCACUUCAUUUAUGAGCAAGAGAACACUUGCAUUUAUUUGUUUACCUACUUGUUCUUGCCUUAAAAGCUCUCAUUUCUUUUCUUGGUGCAUUAAAUCUCCAUUUUGAUAUCCUUUAGUGCACCUUUGUGAUUCAUCUUAGCCUUGAGUUGUAUUUGAGCCCUUUUUUUAGCUAGGUUGAGAGUUUCAUACUUGUUAAUUGAGUGUUAAAGCCUUCAAGUGAGUUGAAACUUGUAGAGAUUAUGUGAGAGUCGAUUGGAGCCGAAAUCCAAGUGUAAAGGUGAUUAGAAGCUUGGUUGAAGCUUCAAGUUAGUGGAAUCCUCACUCAAUUAGGAGCUUGAGGAGAGUGGACGUAGCCAAGGAAGUGUCGAACCACUAUAAAAUUUGAGUUUGAUUUCUCUAACAUUGUCUCUUUAUAUUUGUUUAUCUUGUGCUUAAAUUUAUUGUGUUUAAAAAGAAUUUUUAAAUACCCAAUUCACCCCCCUCUUGGGUGUUUUUCUCUUUUAAAAUUAGCCUUUAUUUUCUCACAAACUAUUGUAGUAUAGUGGUUUUUAGGUGUCAUCCAUUAGGAUGAAUUGUUCUCGGUAAUUAAGGCGUGAAUGAGAGGAGAAUUAAUGAUUGUGAUUAAGUAAAAUUGAUUUGAAAAUUCAUGGUGAAAAAUCAAUUUAACAAUGGUUUCUAAUUGAGAAAAACAAUGAAAUGUGAAAUAAAAUAAAAUUAAUAGGAAAUGAAAUUCUCGAAGUUAGAAUUUUCUAAAAAACAAAUUCCAUGGUGAAUGGAUGUUGAGAUCUAAUUUUCAUCAAGUUAGAUUGAAAACCGAAAUUUUCAUAUAAACUGAUUUUUUAUUUAGUUUUAGGUCUAGAUUUAAUUUCCCUUAAAAUUAGGUUAUUUAAUCCAAGAAAUCAAUUCAAAUCAUAUAUUCAAUUCAUCUUAAAUUAUCUUCCAAUUAUUCACACAAUGCAACUAUUCAAUCUCAUCAAAUCUAGCUUUUAAGAAUUUAAUGAAUCUACCUAGUUUGCAUUGUAAUAGUCAUCCAUGACAAUUUGAAGAGAAAAAUAAUUCAAUUAAUCAAUCACUUGGAUCAAAUUACCUUUGCAAUUAAAGUUCAUUUCUCUAAUUCACCACAGAUUUUGUCUCUAGAUCCUCCUUUCUCAAAGAAAAAUGAGAUUUAGCCACACAUGAUUGGAGAUUUGGUCUCAUAAGGCAUGUUUAGCUAGUGAUAAAAUGAGAGAAAAUAAAGAAAAAUAGAGAAUUCGAUUAAGAAAGAAAAUCUAAAAAAUUCUACAAUUAGAAAUGUCCAAAAAGCUUUUUCAUGAGAAAAUCAAGUUUCUAUUUAUAGGCCAAGGUCAAGUGGACACUUGACAUCAUCUAAGAGGUCUUCCGGAAGCUUCUUCAUCAAGAAAUCUGGAGUUUAAUAAUAAAAUGGUCAUUUCACAAGAGCUCAAACAAUUUCGCAUGAUUAUGUGAAAUAAAAAAUGCAACAACAGCAAUUUACAUCUUCUUGGAGCAUUUCGCAUGACUGUGUGAAAUUUUCACAUGAUCAUGUGGAAUCGACUUGACAACUCUCAUUUAGCCUACAACAUAAUUCCACCUUUUGGUCCAUUUUUCAUAGUCAUGCGAAAUGGAAAUAUUUGAUUUUUAAGUUUUCUUUUGUCAUUUCUUUCAUUUCCUUCUCUUGAUUCCACUUCAACUACCUCCGAAUCCUGGUCCAAACCAAUUGCAUUACUUCUUUCAUUAUGCAUUUGGAUCAUCAUCAACAUUAUUUGUUCUCUUCAAUUUGAUUCAUCUCUUUUGUCACCAAUUUAUCAAAAUCAUACCUUGAAAUGACUCCAAAACUUCAUAAAACUUGUUAGUAACUCUUGCAAGGGCAACAACAUAUUAAUUAAGUGUUUUAGGCAUAGUUACUACUCAAAAGAUGCGAAACUCAUGAUAAUUAUUAUAUAAAAUAUGCUCUUUUUGAGUAGUAAUCAACUUUCUUGCAUAAGCAGACCUUUUAGGGUGGAGUACUAAAGACCAAUAUGCUUGUCCUUGUUGUAAUAAAGAAACUUGCUCUUAUUGAUUGCACCAUGGGAGAAAAUUUUGCUACAUGAGUUAUCAUCAAUUUCUUCCCACCAAUCAUAGAUUUAGACGUGACAAGAGGCCUCUUAAUGGCAAGGAGGAACUGACACUCACACUUAUACAAUUAUCGGGCAUUGAUGUGUUGCAACAAUUAGAAUAACUUACACCAAUUAUGUUGGGGAAGUCACAAAAGGCAAACAUGAAAACUAAAAGGAAAAAAGAAAAAUGUUACAUAUCACCACAACUGGAAAGAAAAAAGUAUUUACUUUCAUUUGCCAUAUUGGAAAGCACUUAUUUUACAUCAUAAUAAUUUAGACAUAAUGCAUAUUGAGAAAAAUGUGUGACAAUAUAAUUGAGACAUUGUUCAGUAUUGACGAAGAAACAAGGACAACCUAAAUAGUCAUCUCGAUUUACAAGCUCUAACUAUUAGAAAUGAGAUUCACCCAAUAGAAAGCAGGACCAAAUUUAUUUUGCUUGCAACAUGCUACUCACUCACCCCAAAUGAGAUUAAGGAAUUUUGCAAGUUUUUGAAAUCAAUAAAGGUCCCCAAUGGCUAUUCUUUCAAUAUCUCUCGUUAUGUGCAACUCAAUGAAAGGAAGAUAUAUGAGCUCAAAUUGUAUGAUUGUCAUGUCCUAAUGCAACAACUUCUCUCACUUGUAGUUCGUGGAGUUCUACAUAAGAAUGUUUGUGGAGUUAUCAUAGAAUUGCGUAAUUUUUUCAAGCAAUUGUGCUCAAAGGUGUUAGAAACAAAUCACUUACACCAACUUGAGAACAAUAUUAUUGUCAUACUAUGUAAAAUGGAGCAAAUAUUUCUUCCAUCAUUCUUUGAUAUUAUGGUGCAUUUACUUGUGCAUCUAGUAAGGCAAAGGUUGCAAGACUUGUGCAAUAUUGUUGGAUGUACCUAAUUGAACGAUAUUGUUAUAAUUUCAUAUGAAUCAUUUAAUUUUAUUUUAUAUUAUGUUCAGUUCAUUAACAUGUACAUUGGUCUACAUAUGGAUGAUGAUAGGUACCUAAGCACUUUAAAGUCAUAUGUGCGUAAUAGAACUUUUCUAGAAGGUUCUAUUGUAGAAAGGUACCUUGCAAAAGAAUGUACAACAUUUUAUUCUAGGUACUUGAAUGAUGUGGAAAUAAAGUAUAAUCACAAUGAUAGAAACUUUGUUGGUUUCAACACUAGAGGAGAUGAAAGGGGUUAUCUUUAAACAUAUUGGACAUGCAUUGGGAAAGCCCAUAUUUCAUUAACUUAGUUCAAAAGAGUGGUCACAAGCACAUUUAUAUGUGUUGACAAAUUGCGAAGAUGUCAUACCAUUCAUUGAGUAAAAAAUUUAUUUGAAUUUUAAUUAAAGCUCUAGUUUAUAUCCUUAAUCAAUGUUUUUUAAAUUCACAAGGAGCACAAGCAAACCAUCAAGGCUAGACCACAUAUACGUGUUUGAGACGUAGAUUUAAUUCAUAACAAGGAAUUUAUCAAGUGGUUUGAAAGACAUGUAAGUAUAUUCCUUAUUAUAAGGGAUUUAUUUCACAUUAUGUUUAUAUUGAAUCCAAACCUAUUAUUGAAUUGUAGGUUGAACAAUUACAUAAUGAAGGUCAUAUAUCUGAACACCUUCUCACAUUAUCAUGUGUUCCAAAUUCAUUAGUUACAUGCUUCAAAUGAUAUAUUGUCAAUGGAUUUAGAUCCCACAUUAAAGAACGUGAUAAAAAAGUUUUUAAAAAAAGACUCAGAAUAAUGGAAUUGUUGUAGUUGCAAAAACGUCAAGCUUUACAAGUGCAUGUGAUAUGAGUCCAAUUAUUAGUGAUGCUCUCUACUAUGGUGUUCUAACUAAAGUUGUUGAGUUACAUUAUCUUGGUGAAAAUAAGGUUGUUUUAUUCGAGUUUGAUUGGUGGGAUGUUACAAAUAUUGGAAAAUUGAUAAAAGAUGAUGAGUACAAUUACACAUUUGUUAACUUUGCAUGAAUUCUAACCACGAACGAACGAUUUGUACUUGCAUCUCCAGCAAAGUAAGUGUUCUAUGUGAAGAAUGCGAAUGAAUCAGAUUGGCAUACUAUCAUGGAGAUGCAACCUCAAGACCUCUAUAAGAUGAACGGGAUAGGAUCCAAUGGUGAUUUUGAACCAUUUCAACAAAGUGAACUACAUGAUCACUAAUAUAUCUCAGAUUUAGUUGAUGAAGAUAUAAUCAAGUGGAACAAAAGUGAUGUUUUAGGACUAAUCAUCCUAAAAAAUAUUGUAGUUUCUUAAAAAAAAAAUGAAAAUGAAGAAGAUAAUUGAACCUUUGUCAUACUUUAAAAAGCAACUAUGCAUUGUUCAUUUUGUAUGUUUUGGUUUUCUUCAUUUAAUUUCCUGAUUUUUGUGAUUCAAUGUCAUAUUAUUGAUCUUGAAAUAUUUUUCUAAUUUUUCAUUCUACGAUGGUUUCAACAAGGAUGACAUCAAGUCAAAAAAGGAAAUGUGGUCCCACACACAAUAUUGCAUUACAGGGAUUAAGGUCAGGGAAGAAGGUAAAAGUUGCAUUUAAUGAGUACAAUCAAUUGGUUAAACAGAAAAAUGGAAAACACUUAUCGAGCUACAUAGGGACACUUGUAUCUAACCAACACAAUGUACCUCUCCAAGCUAGUGAUUGGAAAAAUGUUCCAAAUGAUGCAAAAGAGAAAGUAUGGCCUUUGUUUUGGUAUGUUGUAUUUCUCACUAUAUGAUGUCAUUUCACUGUUAUUCUAUUUUGUGACUAACGUUUGAAUCAUAUGUAAGAAAAAUUUGAAGUAGAUAAAGACUGAAAAGAUUACAUGUUGGGUAUAGCCUCAAAUAAAUAUAGAAGCUAUAAAAAUAUGAUGAAUGCAAAAUACUAUGACCCUUGGCAUAAGGAUGCAUGAGGAGAGGUUAAUACAUAAAUCACCAUUUGUCUCUGAUGUUGAUUGGAAGUGGCUUGUCUCUGAUGCAUAAACCAAAUCCCCCACUGAAUGUUUGAUAUUUGAUAGCAGGAAAAACACACCCGCAGCUAUACACCUCCAUCAUUCAGAUAAUUAUAGUGGGGGAGAUGAUUCAUGGUUGCCCUUAUACCCUUUAUUUGCACCAUCUAUUGAGAUUCUUUAUCAUGGCCAGGUUUUACUGCAGCAAUAAGAUAUGGUGGCAACAAUUUUAUCUAUAGGUGCGGUUCCAGACCGCCUCCAUAGGUGCGGUUCCUGACUGCCUCCAUAGGUGCCUCUUCUUGUAAUGUUUGUUCUGGGAAUUACACUUGAAAGCCUUAUCGUGAUAAGGGAUUACAAACACUAGUUCAGAGGACAGCCAUGUUAAACUUCCACUAUGUUUGUGUCACAUUAUCAGCAGCCUAGUGUUUAUUGGUCAUGCUAUCUGCAACUAAUAUAACCCGGUGAACUUCAAUCUAAAUUCUGAAAGUACUCAUGUGACAGAUGGUGCCUUUCAGCAGAUAUCAUCAAUUUAAAAGUAGUGUGUGUGCCUAUAGGUGGGAAGGCCUUGGCAAAUGUUCAGUAUUCCGGUAAUUCAAGAAGGAUAUAUCUAAAAUAGAUUUUCUUCUUGCCCAUUUCAAUAGUUAAAAUUUGAGAAGAUUGUGUCCACAUCACACAAAUAUUAUUGGUCCUUCUGUUGCAAUUUACCUCUGAACAUGUCUUCCAAUUCCCACGGUCCUGUUACUCCAGGAAAACUAUUUCGGUCAUAUUGAAAAAAAAAAUAUUAAAGAAGGUACACAUGCUUUUAAGUGGACUGGGGCAUUCAUAUCAGGUGGUCUGUAUCCACAUAUGCCACUUCGUGAAAGGUGGAACAGCCUAAUCACUAGGCUAUUUAGUGUGGCCCAGCCACGUUAAUCAAGCACAAGUCUUCAUACUUAAAGUCAAAUGGUGUCUUUAGUCUCAUUACACAUCGCUAUUUGAAGAUUAACUCAUCACUAGUGUAAUGCGAUUAAGACAGUCCUAACUCAAUAUUUGUUCUAGUUUUGGAUGCAAAUGCUUGCUGGUUUCAUCAUUGGAUGGGAUAAAGGUGCAAUCAGGACUAUGAAUACGUGCAGUAAUACUUCAUUCUCUUUUUUCUCAAUGAGACUUCUUGGCACAAUUUUGCUGCUCAGCAACCUACCUUUCCAUGGAAAAUCAGUUGUGACUGAUAGUAAUGGAUAUAUUCUAGAAAGCUAAACAUAGAUAGCAUUCAAUAUUAUCGAUAUAACAUUAACAGCGUAUGUCUCAAUGCUCAUCAGCUACAAGCAAUGGACAAACACUUUGAGUAACUCACAGCAGUCAAAAUUCCUAAACAGGACAGACGUGACAGAUCUAUAUAUAGAACACUGCAUAUGAGUCACAGGAAAAGAUAAUACGGGUACAUAGAAGCUCUUAUUUUACAUAUUACUCAUACUGAUCAAAGUCGCUCAGUUGGGAUGGAUGGGAGAAGGAGGUUUGAGGGGUGGCUUGUGCGGGGAAGUUGGCAGCUUCUUUCCGGGAGCUGGUUGCUUCUUUGCUGGAGUUGAAGGAGGCUUAAUCUUCCGAGGUGGCUUGUAUGAGUCUUCAGCAUUCUCAGCAGGAGGGUGACCAGGGUUGUGACCAUAAUGUGGUGGCUUCUCUCCCUUAGGUGGUUUGCCAACUGGGGUUGGUGGCUUGUUUUCUGGGAGUGGCUUCUCUCCCUUGGGUGGUUUGCCAACUGGGGUUGGUGGCUUGUGUUCUGGGAGUGGCUUCUCCCCCUUGGGAGGUUUUUCGAAUGGGGUGGGUUUGUGUCCUGGUGGUGGCUUCUCUCCCUUGGGAGGUUUACCAAUUGGGGUCGGUGGCUUGUGUUCUGGGAGGGGCUUCUCUCCCUGGGGAGGUUUAGUGGGUGGCUUGUGUUCUGGAGGUGGCUUCUCCACCGGAGGCUUAUGCUCUGGUGGUGGCUUCUCGAAGGGGGGAUGCUCAGGGUAAUCACCAAGUGAGGGGGUGGUGAGAACCACCAUGCCAAGCAACAACACUAGCAAGUAUGUAGUAGACAUCUUUGGGUUUGGACUCAGACAGUGCAAAACUACGAGAAAUCGCUAGCCCUUUAUAGCGGCUCGGACCUAAUACUGACAUAAUAUAAAAUAAAUAUUAUAUUUUAUCAAGAGAGAACAGAGUGUAAUUUUAUCAUUAAUACCGAUCGAGGCCAAAGAAAGAAGACCCAUAAUCCAUUUCCCACAAGCAUACACAAUGCAGCUGUAAUUUUAUCAUUUACUUUUAUCCCUUGGACCACUGCAUUUUUGUUGAGAGACACAAUAACACAUUUUUAUCUGUCAUUCAACAUUUACAGUAAAGAGAGGGCACAAAACGCAAUUAGAUAAAUUAUGUUUUGCCUGCUAAAAAGAGGCAAAUAACUUUAUUUGCAACAUAAUUAUUUUGGUUUCUAGUGACCCCGGGGCCUUUCGGUUGGUUUGGGAUCGGAAAAUGAACAUCAUAGGGGGGGUUGUGCCCUUAUGGGCAUAUAUAUCUGAUAGCUUCAACUGGCCUUGUUCCUAGAAAGAAAUUGCCAAAGAUAUAAACUUAUUCCAGGCUGAAAGUAGAUGAGAGUCAUAAUGAACAUCAACCUUUGUUCAGUUUGAUUCAAUGCCCCCAUAGUGUUCAUUUCACAGAUCUGAAUGAUUAUAUCCGUUGAAUACAUAAAUUAAUGAAGACAAAUAUGAAACCCAAGAUACAUCUCUGCAUAACAACCCCAACCCUGGUUGCUAUGUUUCCCUUCUUCUAUUCACAUGAGGAUACUGGUUAUAAUUGUCAAACUUGCAACAAGCCCUUUGACACCUAACGUCAAUGGACGAAUUAAAAGUCUCCUUCAAACGUCUAUUUCACAGCAUGAAGCUUAUAAAGGAUGCUGACAACCUUCAGAGUUAGCGACAAAAGAUAAUUAUCAAGGAGAGAUAGUUCCAUGAGAAUUCCAAGGAGUCUGAAUCAAAGACAAAUUGCUCACUCAAGGGUUCUUAUUUUCUUUUAGGUACAAAUCUCUUGAGUGUUGUUAAAGAAACACGUCACUGUCAUUUUGAUUUGCAUUUAACAUUUCACUUUUGUUCUGGAAGGUUUGUUCCGGAAACAUAUCAAAUGAGCAUCAUUUUCUUCUUCGGUGACACAUGGUCGCGAGUACGUGGGUCCAUUUUCAUGCCACUUAGUUGAAAAGUUGGAAAGAAAAAACAUGCCAACAAGAAGAUAGUGAGAGAAGGGGCACUUCAAGCCUUUAACAUGAACAAACAGUAAAUAAAAGAUGUUUCUCCACUCAUAAAAGUGUGUUAGAUAGCAAUAUAACGAAUCACAUCCAAAAUCUUUACUAGGCUCAAACAUAAAGAAGACUCAUUUUUAAGAAAAGAUAAAAAUGGCAUUGUCUGAUAGUAUCCAAUACACGAGAUGGCACUUAAUUUGUACAAGAUCUGUCAAUGCUGACGCACAUUUUCUGAUUAAAAAAAAACUGAUCAGUCAAAAGCAAUGAAGAGAAGUGAUGACAAUGAAUGAUGCUUCCAAUAUUUUCACCCCUUAUAGUGUUCUUCAUGAUUCAGAUAUAUAAUUGGAAAUAGAACAACCCUAUGCCAUACAUUCGUCUAAGUAUGGUGUCUAAUUUUUUGUGUCAGCGGUUGCGAAUGGAGCGUGCAAAAGUCCAAAUUGGCGUCUCUCCAUUUCCACAUAGGAAGGUGACCUUUAUUGACAAAUACCCAAUAUUUGUAGACAUUCCUUAAAUAUCAUAACUUCUUGUUGAUUUGAAAAUCAUUUUUCAACUACCAUGUUUUAAUAAAUAUUUUUUAAAAUGUAUUUUUAUCAAAGUCCACCAUGAUGGAUAAUAUUCACCAUGCAAUAAUUAAUAAAGUACAAACUAAGCGAAAUGAAAAGCAUUUUCUUUGCUUUGAGUUGAUUUUGGUUGCAUUGAGUUGAUUUUGGUUUCAUGGUUUUUUCAACUCUUAUUUUGAUUGGAAGAUGUCAAGAAAAGAAAACAUAAAGAAAAAUUAAAAGGGAAAAAAGAAGAAAAAUAAAAAAAAAUAGAUUUAAAAGUUAAUAAAUUAUUUUUUAUAUUUAUUUUAAUUCAUUUCACUUAUUUUUCUUUUACUAUAUAAAAUUUAAAUAAUUUAAAUUUUAUAAUUAAUUUAAUUACAUUUCAUUUUCUUCUAUAUUUAAAUAUUGGAAAAAUAUUUUACUUAAUAUUUUUUUCUUUAAUUUCUUUGGCAUUUUGGGAACCAAACUUAGCCUUUAAAAUAAAAAACAAAAAAAAAAUGAAAAUAAGGAGGGAAAAGUGAGAAAAGAUAAAAACAAUAUGUAAAGGAUUUGAAAAGUAUUAGUUUGUAAUUACUAUUUGGAUUUCAAUAGUAUUUUAUUUGUCUUUCUAUAUUUCAUGUAAGAGAGAAUUUAAGAUAUUCCCCAAGGCAAAGCAUUAGUUACCUGCAAUCAGUGGUGAUAAGGCUCCAAGCCAAUUUUGGGCCCCAUAUCUUAAGACAGUACAAUUUCCAUUUCAACAUUUCUGAUUUCUCAGAUGUUUCACAUACCACAGAAGAACAUUGUUUGUGAAAAUAUGCAUUUAUGUUGGAUUUUGUAUGCUGUGGGGACUGGGGCAAGGAUCAUAUGGAAGAGUGGUUGACUUUUUCUGUACUUUAACGGUUGAAAUAGGAUAAGCACGGGCAUUUGUGAGGCUUAAUUGAUUUUGAAGCCUGAAAUUGCGUUUCUGUCAUUUUGUCAAAAAAAUGGCAGAUUCCAUACUCAUAUGUUUGGCCUGUGGCCAUGUACAGAUGCCAUUUAGUGACCAGUUUGUAACUGUCAAUCGUUGCGUUUUGACUCUGCCUCAACAACAUCUGCCAUUGACGGGUUUUCAUACUUGCAAAUCAAAUAGUCUUUCGUCCCAUCAGGAAUUUCGGUUUAAAUAUUAUUAAGCAUACGUUUGGCUGACAAUCAUUAUCCAGUUCAUGAUUUGGUUUCUUACCCUUAAUCAAUGGUUUCUAAGUGAAUAUAUGUAGAAGGAAAUCCGAAGUGUAGACAGUAGUAUCGAUAACUCUCAAUAUUCUCUAUAUAAUAGAAUAAACAGCGUCAUAGUGAUCGUCGCCUACAAGCAAGGUACAAAUACCAAAACGAGUGACUCACAUAGACAUCUCCCAACAAGAUGUAGUAGUGACUGACACAUGGACACAAUUAACUCGUAGAAAAGGAUAAGACCAUUGCACAGCAGCUCUUAUUUUACAUACUACUUAUGCUAACCAAAGUCAAUUAGUUGGGAUGGGUGGGAGAUGGAGGUUUGUGCGGUGGCUUGUGGGGCGGAGUUGAUGGCUUCUUUCCAGGAGCUUCUGGCUUUUUCAUCGGAGCUGAAGGAGGCUCAAUCUUAUGAGGCGGCUUGUAUGAGUCUUCUUUACUCUCGACAGGAGGGUGGCCAGGGUUGUGAUCAUAAUGUGGUGGCUUCUCUCCCUUAGGUGGCUUGCCAACUGGGGUUGGUGGCUUGUGUUCAGGAAGUGGUUUCUCUCCCAUGGGAGGUUUAGCAAUUGGGGUUGGUGGCUUGUGUUCUGGGAGUGGCUUCUCUCCCUUGGGAGGUUUAGUAGGUGACUUGUGUUCUGGAGGUGGCUUCUCCACCGGAGGCUUGUGCUCCGGUGGUGGCUUCUUGGUUGGAGGGGGCUUGGGGUAAUCAGCAAGAGAUGGGGUGGUGAGAACCACCAGUCCAAGGAACAACACUAGCAAGUAUGUGGGAGACAUUUUUGAGUUUGGGCUGAUCAGAUGAUGCAAAACUAAAGCAUUACGUGACCUUUUAUAGCAUGUAGCUCCCAAUACCCACUAAGUAUUGUGGGGUCCAUUUGUGCCCUACGGGGUUGAAAACUUAGACAAUUGGGCAAGGACCCACCUGACUAUGGAGGACUAGUGAGGUGUGAUCAUAGCUUUAGGAUUUUUCUUCCUCUGCAGCCGUCGUGCCGUUGGCAUGAUUUUCUUAAUCUUAAAUAAAGGCAUAGUUAUAGAGUUGUUUAAUCUCUAAAUGGGAUUUUAUAUAUAUCUUCAGAUAGCCAUUAAUAUAUUUGAUGAAGAAAGAAAGACAAGUGCAUACAACAUGUAUACGACUAGCUUUCAUGGAGUUCAUUUAUGAUCAGUUUUCCUGUACAUGUAAACCAGGAUCAUAUAUAUGUUUCUGUUCCACAACUAUUUUGGAAUCUUGUUUAUCAGUUUUUAUCAUUAUAAUGUCACAUAGGCUGCCAACUUGGGCGCUAAAAGAACCAGUUGGGCUAGUUCGUUUCAGAAUUUCAAUGUGGAUUCAGGAAUUGUUUUGUAAGAUAUGCGAAAUAGUAGAGGGAUGAAUAGUGUUUCAUUAAUAAAAGUGUCCUGUAAAUUAGAAGGUGUCAUAGAAACUAUAAUCAAUAAAUAACUUUUUUUCCCCACGGGUGGUGUUUCUUGUGGGGAUCAGUGACUGGUUUAGGUUCACCCAAAAUGAGUUCAGACUAAAAUUGGUUUGAGUCAAUGCCGUGUCUCUUUUUUCCAGAAAUCAACUAUUUUAUGCAUUGAAUAAAUCAUACAAAGAAAAUAUGAACGCCCGCAAAACCUAAACCCUGGUUGCUAACUUUCUAUGUUUCAGUUCUAUUCACGCAAGAAUAUUAGUUUAAGUUUGGGAAAAAUGGCAACUUACCUAGUGAUUACUUGGUUUUGGUUUGCGACUAUUUACGCAACCAACCAUGAGUUUGACUUUAACGUCAUGGGUUGAAGCCUCCUACAGGAAGGGAGAAAGCUCCACAGCUAGCUCCAAAAGAGAAUUAUCACAUUGAUAGCUCCAGAGAUUCCCAAGGGGACUGAAUCAAAGACAAGUUCCUCACUUUUUCUUCUUUUGAGGCCAAAUAUGAACCAAGGAUCACACAACCUCAUUCAACUUCAUAAGUUUGAUUUCAUGCAGUUGAACACUGGGUGAAGGCCAUGACAAGAAUUGAUUCAAAAAUUCUAUCACUCUUUUAAGUAAUGGAAGAUUAUUAUCUCUGAUUGGCAUCACAACAGCACAUGCUCCUAGAUCUUUCUAGACACUCCAUGCAAUGAAAGCACAAUGGAUCUUGUAACGAUAGAAACUAAGCCAUGCUACAGUACUAGAUGAUGAGGUAAAACUAGUAGACACGGGUGGCAGCCUAUAUGGGAGGGACACAAGUCUAAUUGAUUUGCAUUUCAGCAUUAUAGAUAGGUAUGUUUUGGAAGAUUUGUUCUGGAAAUACCGCACCAAGUAGGAUUCUUUUUCUCUUUAGUGGGUCCACUUGCAUGCCAAUUAACGAGUUGAAAAGUAUGAGCACCUACCUCGUGCUCGUGGAACCGAAGGUCAGUGAAGUGGGGCUCCUUUUGGCCUCGUGUAAACUUGAUUCAGAAGUGAAGUUAAUAGUCUUCCAUUCAGAUGGAUACAUGGGAAUUUUUCUCUUUUAUUUAUUUAUUUAUUUUUUUUUUGUGUGUGUAUGUCAAAGGAUAAUGAAUGAAGCGCGUUAGCUUGUUUUCUGACUGGAACCGCAGAUGUCCAAAUUGGAGUUCCUUCAUUUCUUACUUAGGAUUGUUACAUGUAUAAACAAGGUAUAAGAAAUAUGCCAACGUGUCUUGAGGAGUUAUUGAUUAGAAAUAACAAGUCACCCGACUGUAGAGUUCCAAGAUUUGAAUCUUCAGACCCUAUAGCAGCCUCUGGGGUACGUGGCAUCCUAUAGCAUAUUAAUGAAGGCUUUUUCGAUUUAGACUUCACAAUACCAAUUAAUAUGUAUGCACAAAAUGGAGAUGACCCCAAAAAAAACAGAAUCGCCAUAGUUUAUGAGGUUAAGGUGAUUCUCCACUUAAUAUCUACAUUAGCUAAUUAUGUAAAUCAAAUGAACUUCUAUUUUUCCUUUUUUUUUUUGGUUUAUGUCAAAUAGUAGCCCAUAAUUAACCCAACCAUUAGCCUGUUUGAAUUGAUUUCACAUGCACAAUGUUGUAGUAGUUCAUAUUUUGAAUUUUAUUUUUACAAAGGUAGUUAAGGAAAAUGAAGUAUAAUAAUUAUAAAAGCAGACUAUAUACACUACAAUAAUUGUUAGAAUGGUAUCUCAAAUUCUAAUUUAAAAUAUUAUUUUUUGUAAAAGAAAUAUUAUAUAGAAUAUUUCCUAAUUUUAUAAAUGAUUAUAAUUAGAUCUUUAUAAAAUAAGGAAAGUUGGUAAGAAUAUCUUUAUAAAUAUUUUAGGUCAUGAGAGAAAGAAAUGGGAUAAAAAUGUGAUGAAGAGGUGAAAUAAGAGAGUUGAUUAGGAUAUAGAUGUGAAGAAGAAAGGGAUUCAAUAUAUAUAUAUCUUUCAAUUACCACAUUAAAACCCUGUGAACCUUUUAUAUGGUUUACUUUAUUUUUAUAUUCCUCCUUUAAUAUAUUUACAUUAAUGCUUCCAUUGGCACAACAAUAACGAAUUACAAAUACAAGCAACAAGUCCCAUGUUUUAUUACCAAAAGCAGGUAAAAUCCACCUAAUAUAUUACAAUAUAUUCAUCCAAUAUUUUAGACCAAUUCUUCACCAUAAAUAUCAUAAUGUGGCUUUUGUUCUUUCUUAAAUUUAAAUUGAAUUGUCUUAUAUCAAUUUGUUUGUGAUUUUUUCAUUAACUUCACUUUCAUUUGGUUAUCUUUGGUUUUUGAAAAGUAUUAAGGAAUUAAUUAACAAAAUAAUGUUAAGAAAAAUAAUUUUCUCUCUUUUGAUUUUGAUUUUGUAGUAGAAAAAUAUAAUUAAAAUUAUUUAAAAAGUAUGUAAUUUUAAAUUAUUUAAUAUUUAGAUAAAAAAAAUAAGUCUAAUGAGUUUAAAAUAACAUAUAAAAAUAAUUUAUUUAUUUUAAAUUUAUUUUUUAUUUUCCAUUAUGUUCUCUUUCUCUUUUACUUUUUCAUAUUUUUUCUUACGAAGAAUCAAACACAACCUCAUAUUAUAUGUCAAGUGUUUGUCUAUAUUUGAGCAAUGUUAGAUACGGCCAUGGAUUCAUCAAACUAAACUGAUUUUAAUAGAUACUUCACAAAUUGAUUUAUACACUAAAUCAUUGGAUAGCAAUGAUGCAUUGGAAUUAAACGUAGGAUGAAGCUCGAAGAACACUGUUUGUGUAACAACAUAUUUAUGAAAUUAUGCAAAGGAUGAGCUUCGGGGUAGUAGUACAAGGUCAUUAAUGGAGAGCCGUGUUAAACCUUGAUUGUGAUUGGAUUCCGUUAUCAGCAACAGCAACCUUGUUUGUAACCUUGAAAGUCAUUCUGUCCACAUCGAAACUCCAAUUUGACGUUUGUAAUUACCAUUCCUGGAGUGUUCCUUGAUUGAAAUUUAAAUAAUAAUUGCGGCCCACAAGGAAUAUUUUCGAUUCUGUGGGAAUUUGACAAGGUUUGUUAGAGAAGACUGGUGACAUGUUGACUUCAAUGGUUCAAAUAGGAGACGUAUGUGGAUUUGGGGGGUUUAAUUGAAACUGAGUCCCUAUGGCUUUUUAAUAUUUGCAUUGAGCAGUCUCCAUGUGACUUCCUAAUUCCCACCAACCCUCCUGUCCAUGCUGUGAAACUAAAUUGUAAUUUAUCAGCCUUUGUCAAUGGUUUCUAAAUUAAAGAUAUAGACCAUGCAUGUACUUUAAUAAAAGCAAAUCUAAAGUGUAGAUAGCAGCAAUGGUGACACCCAAUAUUCUCCAUAAAAUAGAAUUAGAAUAAGCAGUGUUACAUUGUUCAUGAUCACCUACAAGCAUACAAGAACUUCCAUGAAUAACUCAUAGCAAUUGCCAACAGGGCGUCGUAGAGACUCAUACAUAGAACACUAUCCACCCAGAGGAAAGGACAAGACCAGUGCGCUGCAGCUCUUAUUUUUCACAUGUAUACCACCACUCGUAAUAACCAAAUUCACUCAGUUGGGAUAGGUGGGAGAUGGUGGUUUGUGGGGUGGCUUGUGGGGAGGAGUUGGAGGAGGCUUUAUUUUCUGAGGCGGCUUGUAUGAGUGUGCAGGAGGAUGCCCGGGAGUGUGACCAUAAUGUGGUGGCUUCUCUCCCGUAGGUGGUUUGCCAAAUGGGCUUGGUGGCUUCUCUCCCUUAGGAGGUUUACCAAUUGGGGUUGGUGGCUUGUGUUCUGGGAGUGGUUUCUCUCCCUUGGUAGGUUUGCCAAUUGGGGUUGGCGGCUUAUGUUCUGGGAGUGGCUUCUCUCCCUUGGGAGGUUUGCUAAUUGGGGUUGGCGGCUUAUGUUCUGGGGGCGGCUUCUCUCCCUUGGGAGGUUUGCCAAUUGGAGUUGGCGGCUUAUGUUCUGGGAGUGGCUUUUCUCCCUUGGGAGGCUUGCCAAUUGGGGUUGGCGGCUUAUGUUCUGGGGGUGGCUUCUCUCCUUUAGGAGGUUUGCCAAUUGGAGUCGGCGGCUUAUGUUCUGGAAGUGGCUUUUUUCCCUUGGGAGGUUUGCCAAUUGGGGUUGGCGGCUUAUGUUCUGGGGGUGGCUUCUCUCCCUUGGGAGGUUUGCCAAUUGGAGUCGGCGGCUUAUGUUCUGGGAGUGGCUUCUCUCCCUUGGGAGGUUUUGUUGGUGGCUUGUGUUCUGGAGAUGGCUUCUCCCCUGGAGGCUUGUGCUCCGGAGGUGGCUUCUGAAAUGGCGGGGGCUUGGGGUAAUGAGCAAGAGAUGGAGUACUGGUGAGAACCACCAUUCCAAGCAACAAUACUAGCAAGCAUGUGGGAGACAUCUUUGAGUAGUUGUAGCUAAGAUGGCGCAACACUGUAGGCAUUGGGUGGCCUUUUAUAAAGGGCUGGACCCAACAGCCAUAUGACACGUGUCAUGAUGACAAAUGAAGUUGAGGGGAUCCAGAUGGGUCCUACUGAGUCGAAAACUUGCACUAAUUGAUCUGGUGAGAUGACUAUUUCUGUCCUUUUGCCCUUCUCGGCCACCCUGUGCUGUUUUCCUUUUGCACGAUUUUCGUUGCCAAACAAGCAAAUAAUAUUUCGCCAAGAAAGAGGAGAGUGAAUGUGGAAUGCAUCAAGUCCCAUCAAGGAUGGCAGAGAAGAAAUAGAAGAUUGCCCAACUGUGAUAAACAUAGCAUACACGUAGCACCAGGAACUUCAUUUACUUCCAUCUAAUGGAACAUAACAAUCUUCUAAAGUUUUUGCAUGAUUUUGUUAUAUGUCUCUUAGCCUAAAGUUGGAAAUGCGCAACAAAUUUUGUCACUUCUCUAUUUCCCACUGAUGAUGUUAAUUAGCCUUCAUAGAUAUCAUCCUUUCUACAAAGUGCUUCAUUUGUGUGUUAUUGUAAAGUGUAAGAAAAGUAAUUGAACAUGUUCUUUUUCCUUUCAUAGAUGACUUUUGAUGUGCAUUUUAAAAGCAGCGCUGUGAGUCGGUGACCUUGAUUCACACGGAAACUAAGGCUCCUAUAGGACCCACUUUUAGCUGGUUAGGGGUGAAGAAAAUAUCAACUUUUCAGAGUGAUUUAAGUCAAGGCCAAGCCUCACUGUGUCAUUACUCGUGUGAAUUUUAUAUGCACAUACAUACAUAAAUAAAGUAUGAGACCCAAAUAACACCUUCCCUUUACAAACUUAACCCCAGCCGCUCUCUUUCAAUUCUUUUCACACAAGGGUAUUGACUCUAUAAAGGUCAAGAAAAUCAUAAUUUCCUAGGGUUUACAAGGUAAUUGGCUUAAUGCUAAUGUGAAAACAUAAAAGAUAAUAGUAUAUUGUAAGCUAACGAAUAUUCUAUAGUUAUAAUUAUUUGUGAUGUGCAUAAAUAAAUCUUCAUAUAUAUAAUGGAACAAUGAAUAAAGAACCAAUGAAAAAAUACUAUAUAUCAUUGCUUGGCAUUUAAACCGUAUAUGCUGCUCUUUCUAGCUACUCCAUCCACUGAAAGACAACAAGGUAAUCCAUGUUAUAAUGAUAGAAGAUACUGUCUCUAGGCUUUUUGUGAUGAAAAAUAUAAGAUAUGGGUAGGGUUGACCCUUGUAUGUUUGUCCUAUAAACACUUCAAAGUAACAUAUUUUUCUUCUUUAGCAACUCAUAAUGAUGGGGUUCAUUUGCAUGUCACUGAGUUGAAAAGUUGGACAAUUGCCCAUGUCGCCUUCCUCCUAGAUUCCGUAGUUCACGGGAAGGUAACUCAAGUUUGACAUAUUUUGAAUUCUUUUCACUCGGACGUCUUCAUAACCUGACAAAACAAAAAUGAAAAACAGAGGAUUGGUAUAUUAUUCAUGGUAAGCCUCAAAUUAUAGUAGUAUGAGAAAGGAGAAAAAGAUUUUGGGAACUCCAAUCUGGAUAAUUCUCGUUUCUUCUCUUGAAUAAAAAUUUCACUUACCUAACUUCGUUUGGAGAAAUGGCAUAUUUUAAUUUUGUACGUCAUUGCUAAUAAAUGGAGCAAUUUAGCAUGUUUUGUGACUGAAACUGCAAAUGUCCAAUUGGCAUUUCUUCAUUUCCCACUUAGGAUCUGAUCUUGUAGACCAUAUAACGAUAUGUAUCUGUGCAAGCAUUGAAAACUAAUGUGAACUAUGAGGAGUUACAAGCCACUGGACUGUAGAGCGAGUGCCAAGAUUUAAAUCUUCAGGCUCUAUCUGGGUAAGGGGAGGAUAGCGACCUAACCUUUUACCAAAGGCUUAGAAUUUAGACUUUUGGAAAAAAAUUUCUCAUGUUUUGGCUGGAUUUCUUGUGCUUGGCGCAAAAAGGAGAUGGCCUCAAGAAAUAGCAGACUCACUUUUGUUUUCAGCCCUUAAUAAUUCUCCACUGCUUUCCAUAACUACAUGGGUUAUACAUGCAGUCUGCUGCAAUAUUCCAGUUAUAUUUAUUAUUUCAAAGAGGGUGAAUGACUUCACAUGCAAUAUGUUGCAGUAACAACCCAAAUUUUGGCACACCAUCUUAAGAAUAGAAAAGUAUAAUAAAAGAAAUCAAUCAGAGAAUCACUUUGCAUGCAGUUCAUAGAGUUCGCCCAAAAUGGAGCCACAUGUACGGACAACCCCACAAUAGACAAUCUUCUCUAUACAGUAAUAAAAUACAGAAAUGGUUAAUGAAGCUCUGUAUUUCCUUAUCAUAUAUGACCGGUUGAAAACUCAGCAAGUCUUCCUCAAUCACAGACAGUUGGAGUUGCUUCAUCAAAAUCAUGCCUUCAUUACUGGCUUCAUUUUGGUUUCAAUGUCUGUUCUACCCUUAAAUUGGGUCUCUGCUUACUACCGGGAUAUCCUUUAGCGUCCUGCAAUUCUACUAGAUUAAAGAGAAUGACUUAAUUCUGCAUUCUGCCGUCCCUAGUCCAAGUGGUACUAGAAUUGAUGUUUCCUUUAGUGUCCUUUCUUCAUACUUUCAGGUUCUUCCCUUGUUUCAAUAAUGCUGUUUUCCUUCAUGUUUAACCUCUGUUGAACCACUUAAAACAACACAAUUUGCACACCAAUGUUUCUUUACAGAAAAGACUGUUUGCAAAAAUGCACAUGUUAUAAGGUUAAUGGAAGAAUUAAUUUGGGGAUAAGGGACUAGGAUUGGGCCAAUGAAGUUUGGUGUUAAAUUUUGAUUAUGAUUGCUUUUCAUUAUCAGGUACCUUAUAUUUGCUGAUGCUAUCUGGAACUAAAUUCAAAUCAGACAUUAUCCGAUUACUAACAGGACAUAUCAUGUCCCUCUGCAGAGUUUCUAAACUAACAUGUAUCGAAAUGUGGCCCCAAAAGGAAGGCUAGGAAGAUGGAGGAUUUUGUAGGAAUCGACCAGAAUCAGAUGGAAGAGAGAUAGUCCUGUUGACUUUAAUGGUUGUGAUAGGAACAUGCAUCAUUAUAUGAGAAGUUGCAUGAAUUUAUGUAUCCUGUUAUCGUUCCUUGACGAUUUCCCAAUGCAAUUUCACUGUCCACAAGACUAACCUCUCCAUGCAGUCAAAUGAAUUGUAAUUUCUCUAUUGGUACCAGUAGUACAUUUCAUACCAAACAUAUAGUAAAUAUAAAAUAUAAAUAGAUCAAGGAAAUCUGAAUUGUAGAUAGCACUGCAAGUAACACUCAAUAUUCUCUAUAUAUAAUAAAAUAAACAGUGUCACAAUACUCAUCACCCAGUGGCAAGGGAGAAAAACCUACAAUGAGUACUCAAAUCACCAUUCUCAAACAGAAACAUAGCAGUGACUGAUACAUAGAACCUAUAUGCUCACAGGGAAAGAAUAAGAUGACCAGUGCACAGCGGGCAGCAGCUCUUAUUUUACGUACAACUCAAAUCCCAAACUAACCAAAGUCGCUCAGUUGGGAUGGGUGGGAGAUGGUGGUUUGUGGGAUGGCUUCUGGGUAGGAGCUGGUGGCUUCUGUCCCUUUGGUGGUUUGCCUAAUGAGCUUGGUGGCUUGUGCUCCGGGAGUUGUUUCUCUCCCUCGAGUAGGUUUCGAGUCUUGUCAGAUGGCUUGUGUUCUGGUGGUGGCUUCUCUCCCUGGGGUGGUUUGCCGAAUGGGCUUGGUGGCUUGUGUUCGGGGAGUGGCUUCUCUCCCUGGAGAAGGUUACGAGUUUUGUCAUAUGGCUUUUGUUCUGGUGGUGGCUUCUCUCCCUGGGGUGGUUUGCCGAAUGGGCUUGGUGGCUUGUGUUCGGGGAGUGGCUUCUCUCCCUGGAGAAGGUUACGAGUUUUGUCAGAUGGCUUGUGUUCUGGUGGUGGCUUCUCUCCCUGGGGUGGUUUGCCGAAUGGGCUUGGUGGCUUGUGUUCGGGGAGUGGCUUCUCUCCCUGGAGAAGGUUACGAGUUUUGUCAGAUGGCUUUUGUUCUGGUGGCGGCUUCUCUCCCUGGGGUGGUUUGCCAAAUGGGCUUGGUGGCUUGUGUUCGGGAACUGGCUUCUCUCCCUUGGGAGGUUCAGUUGGUGGCUGCUGUUCCGUAGGUGGUUUCUUCACCGGCGGCUUGUGCUCCGGAAGCGGCUUCUCUACCUGGAGAAGCUUACGAGUUUUGUCCGAUGGCUUGUGUUGUGGUGGUGGCUUCUCUCCCUGGGGUGGUUUGCCAAAUGGAGUUGGUGGCUUGUGUUCGGGGAGUGGCUUCUCUCCAUUGGGAGGUUUAGUUGGUGAUUGGUGUUCCGUAGGUGGUUUCUGAAGUGGGGGAUGCUUGGGGUAGUCAGCAAGAGACGAGGUAGUGAGAACCACCAGUCCCAGCAGCAACACUAGCAAGCAUGUGGAAGACAUCUUUGAGUUCAGGCUGAGAUCUGUGCAAGGAUAACAGAAUUAGGUGGCCUUUUAUAGAGGCCUGGACCCAACACCCAUAUGACACGUGUCAUGCACUCAUGGUGACACAUAAUUCUAUGGGACCAUUUGGGUCCUACAGAAGUUGCAAAGUUGGACUACUGAGGUGUGAUCACAACUUUUGUCCUUAUUGCUUUCUCUGCGGCCAUUGCACGAUUUCCUUUAGCAUCAUUUUCUUGGCUAAAUAAGCGUAUUAUAUUUGUGGCAGACCGUCCACGUGUCAUAAACAGAUAUAUUAUAAUAAUGUAGUAUGCUUUUCUCCAAUGGAACAUGACACUCUUCUAAGUCUUGUUUUAAAUAUUGUGCAGGAUUACUUUAUACGUUGCAGUUCCAAGUCAAAAUUGGUGGGCAAACGUUGGCCUUUUUUCAUUUCACCUAAGAUUAAUGCUCACCUGGGAUAGGCACUACAUGACUUAUCUGCUCUUUUACUGUAAAGUUGCUUUGUGUAUGAGAUACACCUCCCCUGCACACCCUCAACAUUCGUUGCUCUGUUUUCCUUGUGUCCAGACGAGGAUAUUAAUUGGAGGCUGACAAAACGACUGCUAGCCCAGGAUUUACAAGGUCCUGGUUUGAGGCUUCGGUGAAAGUAUUUUUGAAAAGACACACAUAGAGAUAGUGCGUUUGGUGCAAUGCAGCACUGUGAGCCAUUCUGACGCGUUCUUAAUUUCAAAACUAAUGAAUGCUUCAAAAUUUUAAGAAGUGACAUUUCCAAAUAUUUGAGUUCGUUUAAUUGAACAUUGGAUAACUAGUGAUCAUAGAUUAUUAUCUGUGCUUGGCACUAUAAGAGGGUAUAUGCUUCUUUUUCUGGCCCCUCCUUCAAGGGAGGAGGGACAAUGUGAUCUGUAACGUUAGAAGCUAUUCCAUGUCAUCUUUGGGCUCAGUUCAAAACUAAAAGAUAAUGGGGGGGGGGGGGGGGGGCAUAUCAUUUUAUAUUUCUUCUAGAAGGUUUGUUCUGGAAAUAUUUCACAGGAGCAUAUCUUUUUCUUCUAUUACGUCAUCCGCAGCCUCCAAUAGGUCGGUUAACAAGCCACCGAGUUGAAAAGUUGGAAAAAUGGGAACACAGCCCGCCUCUUGUAUUCAGUAGUUAAAUAAAAGGUCACUAGAAGUGAGAUCCCUUUUGGCGUCUUGAUUUUCAAUCCAGCACCUCUGUGACCUGACAAACCAAAAAAACUAAAAAAUAAAAAACAGUACGUGGGUUGGUGUUAAGCAUCAAGACAUGUUAAUGAAAGAAGGUAGAGAAUAGGAUAUUGAAAUCCCAAUCCUGAUAACAUGAUUUUCUUUGCUAACAACCAUAUUAUAUUUUAUCAAGAAAGAGUAAUGCAUGUGGCGUCCAUCAAGACCCAUUAGAGUUCCGCUAAAGCUAUAGUUCUGUCAACGUUAUCAUUUACGUUUCCUCUAGAUAAUGGCAUUUUCCUCUAAAGCUCUUGCACCAUUAGGCUUCAAGUCAAAAUUUCACAUGUGAACUUUGGAAAUUUUCUCCAUUUGCCCCUAAGGAUACAGUUAGAAUUGACUUAAAAUCCUGAUUGAUAUGUACUAUUAACCAAAGAAUAUUGUAUAUAAUAAUUGAAAUAUUGUUGAUUCAUCGUGGAAAUACAUUUUGUAAGGAAAGUUGUUGAGAAUUUAGUAUGCUAUAUGGAGAAAAAAGUCAUGACUUAAGGUUGUGUAUGUAUAUUCUAUAUCAAAUAUUAGGUAGGAAUGUGGGAAAGAGCAGAGUGUAAUGAUAAGAAACAAAGAAAUAUAAGAUAUUCUUGAAAGUGGAAAAUAUAAAAUGGCUAACGAGUCAAAUUUAUGAUGCGUAAGGGGGAUCAUGUCACAUAAGAAAACCAUGGCAUACUAAAGACGUACGUGUGGUAUGGAGUAAUAAUUUUGUUAAAAUAAGUUUCUUGUUGGAGUACAUUAGGUGACUAUUCAUAACGUAUCAAAUUAAAGAGUCAAGUGCAUCAAUGAAGGCAUAUGUAGAAAAUUUGUUUGUGACAUGUACCAUAAAGAUAAGAUUGACUUGAUAGAAUUUAGUCUAAGUAGGAGUUGUUAAAGGUGUCUUAAAUUUCUAAUUGAUGUAUAUUUUUUUCUAAAAAAAUAUUAUAUAGAUAUUUUAAUAAAUGAUUAAUUCUUUGUAAAAAUACUUACAUAAUAAAAAACAUCAUUAAAAAUAUCUUUAUAAAUAUUUUAAGUUACAAGAAGGAAAAAAACCACUGUGAGAUAAUGAUGAACAUGCAACACUGUACCAAGUAAAUAAAAAUGUGAUAAAAAAAAAAGAGAAACACUCGAUAAAGGAAGGCUCGUAUAUAAAGAGUAAUAUUUUUAAUCAUAUGAUAGAAUGAUUUUCUCUCAUUCAUGAAUAUAGGCAAGAUUGGGGAACCAUUAUAAAAUUUUGUACACCUCGUGUAAAUUGAUGUUUGUCUUCAUAUUUUACACCAACAAAUGACAUUGAAGUUGUCAUUGAUAAAAGGGAAAAGGCAUGCCUCCACACCAUGUGCUUGAUUCGAAUGGUUCAAGUUUGAAGAAUUUUCUCCGGAAGAUCUAAAACAUUUUCGCCUUUAAAUUUCAUUUGAUUAUUAAUAUCCGAAAAAAUAGUUAAAUACUCUUUCUAUUUUUGAGUUGUUGAAUUUUUUGAAAGUUUUUAUAUUUGUUAUCAAGAAUUUCUAUUUUAUUAAGGGUGAAUAUUUAUAAAUAAGAUAUUAUAUAAUAUUUGGAUAAGAGAGAAUGGUGGAAUAUAAUAAAGUUUUAAUCCUUCCCAAUUUUGAACCUUUUUUUUUUUUUUUGAUAUAAUCGCCUUUCUCUUGCAAUCCUAUUAUCAGGUACCUUAUAUUUGCUGAUGCUAUCUGGAACUAAAUUCCAAUCAGGCAUUGUCCAAUUACUAAUAGGACAGAUCAUAUCUCUCUGUUUCUAAACUAACAUGUAUCGUAAUGUGACCUCAUAAGGAAGGCUAGGAAGAUGGAGGAUUUUGUGGGAAGCGACCAGAAUCAGAUGGAAGAGAGAUAGCCCUGUUGACCUAAUGGCUGUAAUAGGAGAAGCGUGUGGUUUUAUGGGACUUAACUGAUACUAAACCUGUAUGAUGCUUGGAGUGGUGUUUCUUUCAUUUUGUUAAGAAAAUAUGGCAGCAUACAUGCUUUCAACUGAGUGCAUCAGAGCAUCCAUAACAGAUGGUCUGCAACCCUAGGUGCAUGCCACUUUCUGACUGAUAAUGAAAUUGUCAGGUACCUGGCCUUGACUAAGCUCAACAGCAUCACAUAAAGAGAAGCUUUCAUACUUAGAUUACUGUUUAAAGUUUUUGCUUAUUUGAUUUCUUAAUGCCAUUAUGACAUUAUUGAUUCAAUUCUGCUUCCGAUUUUCGAAGUUCUGGGCAUCUACUGAUUGCAUCAUUAUAUGAGAAGUUGCAUGAGUUUAUGUAUCCUGUUAUUGUUCCUUUGCGAUUUCACUGCUCACGGGACUAACCUCUCCAUUCAGUCGAAAUGAAUUGUAAUUUCUUUACUGGUAGCAGUAGUACUUUUCAUAGCAAAGAUAAUAGAAAAUAUGAAAUAUAAAUAGAAGGAAAUCUGGAUUGUAGAUAGCACCAUAAGUAACACUCAAUAUUCACUACAUAAUAAAUAGACAGUGUUACAUAGGUAGAGAAACCUACAAUGAGUACUCAUCACCAUUCUCAAACAGAAACAUAGCAGCGACUUAUACAUAGAACCUAUAGGCUCGCAGGGAAAGAGUAACAUGAUAAGUUCACAGCGGGUAGCAGCUCUUAUUUUACGUAUUACUCAAAAUCUCAAACUAACCAAAGUCACUCAGUUGGGAUGGGUAGGAGAUGGUGGUUUGUGGGGUGGCUUCUGGGUAGGAGCUGGUGGCUUCUUUGUUGGAGUUGAAGGAGGCAUAUUCUUCUGAGGUGGCUUGUAUGACUCUUCGGCACUCUCUGCAGGAGGGUGCCCAGGGUUGUGACCAGAAGGAGGUGGCUUCUGUCCCUUUGGUGGUUUGCCUAAUGGGCUUGGUGGCUUGUGCUCCGGGAGUUGUUUCUCUCCCUCGAGUAGGUUUCGAGUUUUGUCAGAUGGCUUGUGUUCUGGUGGUGGCUUCUCUCCCUGGGGUGGUUUGCCGAAUGGGCUUGGUGGCUUGUGUUCGGGGAGUGGCUUCUCUCCCUGGAGAAGGUUACGAGUUUUGUCAGAUGGCUUUUGUUCUGGUGGCGGCUUCUCUCCCUGGGGUGGUUUGCCAAAUGGGCUUGGUGGCUUGUGUUCGGGAACUGGCUUCUCUCCCUUGGGAGGUUCAUUUGGUGGCUGGUGUUCCGUAGGUGGUUCCUUCACCGGCGGCUUGUGCUCCGGAAGCGGCUUCUCUACCUGGAGAAGCUUACGAGUUUUGUCAGAUGGCUUGUGUUGUGGUGGUGGCUUCUCUCCCGGGGGUGGUUUGCCAAAUGGACUUGGUGGCUUGUGUUCGGGGAGUGGCUUCUCUCCAUGGGGAGGUUUAGUUGGUGGUUGGUGUUGCGUAGGUGGUUUCUGAAGUGGGGGAUGCUUGGGGUAGUCAGCAAUAGACGAGGUAGUGAGAACCACCAGUCCCAACAGCAACACUAGCAAGGAUGUUGAAGACAUCUUUGAGUUCAGGCUGAGAUCUGUGCAAGGAUAAAAGAUUUAGGUGGCCUUUUAUAGAGGGCUGGACCCAACACCCAUAUGACACGUGUCAUGCACUCAUGGUGACACAUAAUUCUAUGGGACCAUUUGGGUCCUACAGAAGUUGCAAAGUUGGACUAUUGAGGUGUGAUCACAACUUUUGUCCUACUUGCUUUCUCUGCGGCCAUUGCACGAUUUCCUUUAGCAUCAUUUUCUUGUCUAAAUAAGCGUAUUAUAUUUGUGGCAGACCGUCCACGUGUCAUAAACAGAUAUAUUAUAAUAAUGUAGUAUGCUUUUCUUCAACGGAACUUGACACUCUUCUAAGUCUUGUUUUAAAUACUGUGCAGGAUUACGUCAUAAGUUGCUUGUUCCAAGUCAAAAUUGGUGGGCAAACGUUGGCCUUUUUUCAUUUUCCCUAAUAUUAAUGCUCACCUGGGAUAGGCACUACAUGAUUUAUCUGCUCUUUUACUGUGAAGUUGCUUUGUGCAUGAGUUACACCUCCCCUGCACACCCUCAACAUUUGUUGCUCUGUUUUUCUUGUGUCCAGACGAGGAUAUUAAUUGGAGGCUGACAAAACGACUGCUAGCCAAGGAUUUACAAGGUCCUGGUUUGAGGCUUUCACGAAAGUAUUUUUGAAAAGAUACACAUAGAGAUUGCGCGUUCGGUGCAAUGCAACAAUGUGAGCCAUUCUGAAGUCUUAAAUUUCAGAUUAAUGAAUGCUACAAAAUUCUAAGAAGGGCCGUUUCCAAAUAUUUGAGUUCAUUCAUCCGAACAUCGGGUAUAUGCUUCUUUCUCUAGCCCCUCCUUGAAGGGAGGAGGGACAAUGUGAUCUGUAUCGUUAGAAGCUAUUCCAUGUCGUCAUCUUUGGGCUCAGUUCAAUACUAAAAGAUAUGGGCGGGGCCCUUAUCAUUUUAUAUUUCUUCUAGAAGGUUUAUUCUGGAAAUCUUUCACAGAAACAUAUCUUUUUCUUCUCUACGUGAUCCGUGGUUUGAAAGUUGGAAAAAUGGGUCCGUUAACAAGCCACCGAGUUGAAAAGUUGGAAAAAUGGCAACACCGCCAACCUCUUGUAUUCGAUAGUUAAAUAAAAGGUCACUGGAAGUGAGAUCCCUUUUGGCCUCUUGAUUUUCAUUCCAGCAUCUCUAUGGCCUGAUAAAUUAAAAAACUAAAAAAAAAGACAGUACGUGGGUUGGUGUUAAGCAUCAAGAGUCAAGACAUGAUAAUGGAGAGAAAGGAUAUUCAAAUUCCAGUUCUGACAACAUGAUUUUCUUUGCUGAACUACCAUAUUAUAUUUGAUCAAGAAAGAGUAGUGCAUGUGGCCAGGAUCAAGACAUACAUUAAUUUCCACAUGAUGAAGACAGUUUCUGAGAGUUUCUUCUAAAGCUCUUGCGCGAGUAGGCUUCAAGUCAAAAUCUCCCAUGUAAACACUGGUUUUUCUUUCAUUGCCACUAAGGAUGCAGUUAAUAUUGACUUAAGAUCCUACGUGAUAUAUUUUUUUAAAAGAGCUAUAUUGUAGAUAAUAUUUGAAAUAAUGUUGAUUCGUUGUGGAAAUAUAUUUGUAAGGAAAGUUGUUGACAAUUUAAUAUAGUAUAAGAAGAAAAAAGUUAUCAACUAGCUAGAGAUGAGUAUGUAAAGUGAGGCUCACGAUUCAACGCGUAAAUAUAAGAUAUUUUAAGGCUCAAUAGUUAUGAUAUCUAUUUUAUUUUUUGUAUCUCAUAUAUUCAAAGAUAUAGUAAAAUGAUUUUACAUAUAUAUAUAUAUAUAUAUAUGAACAUAACUAUUUGUGCCAAUUGAUUUUUAUCUUUAUUUUGUAUAUUAGUAAUUAUAUUAAAGUUUUUACUAAUAUAAUAACUAAUAUAAAAGCUUUUUCUAAAAGAGUCAACAGAGCAAAACACUUAUUAUAAAAAAUAAUUUUGAUUGAAGGUGGAGUCAAUUAUUCUUUAUUUAACAUGUAAUGCAUACGGCGUGUACUUCAUAACUAAAGUAUAUAAGUGUAACAUCUCUUAUAUAUUCUCAUUCAAUCUCGAAAGUGGAAAUUUUAAAAAGAUUAAACGGUUCAAAUUUGUCGUGCAUAAAGGGGAUCAUGUCACAUAAGCAAACCAUGGCAUACCAAAGACAUAGGUAUGGACUAAGAAUUUUUUUCAAAUAAGUUUCUUAUUAGGGUACAUUAAUAGGUGACUUUUUAUGACAUAUCAAAGGAGUCAAGUGCACCAAUAAAAACAUAUAUAGAAAAUUCAUGCAUGACAUGUAUCACUAAGAGAAGAUUGACUUGAUAGAGUUUAAUCCAAAUAGGAGAUUGUUAAAAGGUGUCUCAAAUUCUUGAUUGAUAUAUAUUUUUUUUAUUAAAAAGGUUAUUAUAUAGAUAUUUCAAUAGACUAUUAAUUCUUUGUAAAAAUAGUUAUAUAAUGAGGAUGGUGAUUAAAAAUAUCUCUAUCAAUAUUUUGGAUUAUAAAAAGAAAAAAAAUGAGAUAAUGAUAAACAUAUAAAACUUGUACAAGUAGAUAAAGAUGUGAUGAAAGACACUUGAUGAAUGAAGGCUUUGUAUUUCAAGAUAUAAAUAUAUGGAGCAAAACUCUUAAUUAUAUGAUCAAAUGAUUCUCUCAUAUUCAUGAAUAUAAGCAGGAUUGGGGAACCAUGAUAGAAUCUUAUAUGCCUCUCCAUGUAGAGUGAUCGAUGUUUAUCUUCAUAUUUUACACCAGUGAAUGACAUUGAAACUCUUAUUGAUAAAAGGGAAAAGGCAUGGCCUCCACCCCAAGAAAAACAAGUAACCUCGGUUUAAAUCACUAGUCUACACCCCGAAGAGAGAACUAGCCAAACCUACUAAAAGAGAAACUUAACAAUUUAGAAAGAAACCGUCCAUGAUAAAGGGCCCCUAAAGGUCCAAUUCAGUGAGGUCGUGAACAAAAACACUUUCAUGUCAAAACAGAGAUAGGUACCACCAAAAUGUAAAGGGAAAGAUGUAAACCACGUCGAACUUUGGUAAUCAAUGGUAAAGAUAGCAUGAUAGCUAAAAGCACUAAAGCUGUGCUUGGUAUGCAAAAAUGAAAAGUGGAAAUCAGCGUCUUAUUCUUUUUCACCUUUAUUCACAUAUUAGGAUAACUAAUAUCUAAUGUUUUUUAUGUCUCAAAUUCUAUUCCAUGUUAUGGUAAACUUUCAUCUUGUUUAGAUCACUUUUGUCUGGUUUGGGCUCAAGACGAUAAGCCUAUAGAGACUUCAUAUUGGGUUGAAUCGAUGCCCUUGAUCUGAUCUGUUCGUUAGAAAAAUCUGAAUUAUUAUAAGCAUUUAGAUAAAAAAUAAAUAAAUGUGAAACACAAACUACUCCCUGCACAACCUUGACCCUAGUUACUCAGUUUCACUGCUCACAGGACUAACCUCUCCAUUCAGUCGAAAUGAAUUGUAACAAGAAGAUUUUUGACAGGAGGACGGUAGUUUAAAAUAAUAAUUUCUAAAGUACUUUUGUGAAAAAAAAUAAUUCCAAACGUGGAUUUUAUCAAGUAAAAAGAAAAAAAAAAGUUAUUUUCUUUUAAAAUCUGUUCUUCUAAAGAUGAUAUAUAUACCAAAAAAAAAAAUUGUUUUCUGAAGGUAAAAUUUUUAAAAUUCAUUUUUAAAAAAAUUUACACACUAAAAUUAUCUUUUCAAGAGAAGAUUUUUUUAAUUUUAAAUAAUUAUUAAUUUAUAAUUAAUUUGUUAUUAAUUAUUUAUUAAUUUUUUUAUUUGAAAAAUGCAUUUAUAAAAAACAAAUUUGUUAUUAAUUUAUUAAAUAAUUUUUACAAAAUAAAUAAUUUUUUUUUAUUUUAAUUUUAAAAUUAAUUUUAUUAUAUAAAUUUUAAAAUUAAAAAUAUUAAUAUUUAAUUUAAAAUUUAACUAUAAAAGGAAUAAAAUAUAGAAAAAUAAAUUAAUUUAUUAUUCAAUAAAUUAAUUUUCAAUAAAAUUUUCAGCAUUAAGAGAUAAAUUUUUAAGUAUUAAUCAAUUUAAAAAGAAAUAAUGAUCAUUUGUAUAUUAAGAUAUUUUAUUUAGUAAUUAUGAAUGAUAAACAACUAAAGUAAUUUGAAAAAAUAAUAAAAUAUUUAAAAAAUAAUAAUUUAAUACACGUAAAAUUAGAAAUGAUUAACUAUUUUUUAUUAAGAAAAAAUUGAGGAAAUAUUUUGUUAUUUAAAAUUUUUUAUUUGUUUUCAAUUUUUAAUGUUAUAGGUUUCAAGAAAAUUGAUCAAAUAAAAAUUAAGAAGUCAUUUUUUCAAAAACUAUAUAUCUAAAUAAAAGCCUUGAAAUUCAAAUACACAAUAUCAUAAAUAUAAACACCAAGUCAAUCCUUAAUUAUCAAAUGUUUUUAAUAUUAAAGAAUCAAAAUCACCUACUAUCAUGAUAAUAAGAAAACCAAUAAUAUUGUUCAUAUAAAUACUAAAAAGCUAACAAAUAUCCCAAACAAUUAAUAAAGUAUCAAACAUGAUAAAAAGUCAAUUAUUAUCAUGAAUGCAAAAAAUCAAUAAUUUUGUUUAUAUGAACCAUCAACAAAGAAAAAAAAAAUCAAUAUCUAAAUAUUAAACAUAAUUUAUAUUUUUAUAAAUAUUAUUGUUGAUAAAUAUCUUAACAAUUAUAAUUUUAGUAAAUAAAAUUAAUUAAUUUUAGUUUAAGAAUUAUUUUUUUAUACUUUCGUAUUCUUAUCAAAAAUCCCCAUUUUGCAUGUCUCCUUUGGCAUGACUUUCUUACCUAAACAAGCAUAUAUAUAUAUAUAUAUAUAUAAAAUAUUUGGUUAAGAAAGAGUACUAAAGUUUAUAUGGCACACAUCAAGAUAGAAACAGAAGUGGAAGAUAAUCCAAAUGUAUGAACAGAUAUAUUAUAUCCAUGUAGUGGUAGUGACUUCAUUAUUUACUUUUAUCUAAUGGAGCAUGACACACUUCUUCUGAAUAUUUUGCACGAUUAUGUUAUGUGUCAGCUUGUUCUAAGUCAAAACUAGUGAUAAAAAUCGGUUUUUUUUGCAUUUCCUUCAUGAAGAUGGCACCUGGAUGGGGCACUACAUGAGUGGCAUAGCACGAAGUGAUUUAUCUGCUCCCUUUACUAUAAAGUGCUUUGUGUAUAAGUUACACCUCCCCUGCACUGCCUCAACAUUUGUUGUUCUGUCUUCCGUCUGUCCAAACGAGGACAAACGUAUGUUGUAGGUUGACAAAACCACAGCUAGCCUAGGAUUUGCAAGGAUCUAGUUUGAUUCGUAUGCAAAAGGAUUGGUGAAAAGAUUCACAAAGAUAAUGCUUUUUGCAAUGCAAUCUUGUUCUAAUUCAACAGUGUGGACCAUUUUCAUGUAAUGCUUCAACUAGAUGUCAGUUUCAUGAAUUUUUGUUCAUCUAAUUGAUCACUGGAUAGGCCAUAACCCGAAGAAAUUCAAAAUUCCCUUCAGUACUGUAGCUAAGGAAAGAUCCCUAUCUACCACUGGGAUUUUAAGAGGGUAAAAAUGUAGGUGGGUGCCUAUAUCAUUUGCACUUCACUAUAGGCCUCUUUGGGAAGAUUUCUUCUGAAGACAUUUCAAAGAAACAUAUUUUUCUCUUCUCUCCGUAAACGGCAGCUGCAAGUCAGUCCAUUCACAGGCCACCGAGUUGAAAAGGCUGGAAAAUUGGCCAAAGCACCCGCCUCCUGGAUUCCAUGGGUAAGGAAAAGGUCACUGGAGGUGUGAUCCCUGUUGGCCUCUUGAUUUCCAUUCCGCCAUCUAUAUGACCUGAUAACCCAAAAACACAGAAGGAAAACGUCACCUGGGUUCAUAGUAAGCAUCAAGUCAUGAUAGAGACCAGACAACAUGACCAACAAAGAGUAGCGAAUGGGGCCAACAUCAAGCCCCAUUACGGUUAGAAGAUGGAAGAAGUAGAAGACAAUCCAAUUCUGAUAGAUUCGGGCAAAUGUAGUGCUGUUCAAACUUAAUCAUUUACUAUUUCUUCAUGAAUCACGGCAUUUUUCUUCUGAAAAUUUUCCAAGAUUAGGCCUCUGAAGAAAAAUUUCAUAUGUAAAUUGGUAUAUUAAGGAAAAGGCGUUACAAAGGUGAAAAAAAACCAAUCAAAUCUUAUAUAUGACAUCUCAAAAAUAUGAACUUGCUAUAAAUAUUUAAAAUCAAAAUCUUGCACAUCACCUCGUAGUACGAACUUGCUAUAAAACUUGAAAAUCAAGAAGAAAGGGGCAGUAUUGGACGAGACUACUUAGCACAUAUUAUUAUGAUGUUUUUUCAUUUUCUUAAUGUUGUUUUUAUGUCUUAAAUUCUAUUAUUCUAUGUUACGGUAAACAUUCAUCUUGUUUGUGUGGAAUAGGAUCACUUUUCUCUGGGUUGAGUCGAUGCCCUUAGUUAAUUUGUUCAUUUGAAUAAACUAAAUUAUUAUAAGUAUUUAGAUAAGAAAAACGUGAUACAUAAAUUACGCCUCUCGGCACAACUUCAACACUGGUUACUCUGUUUCAGUUUCCUCACACAAGAUUAUUGGUUCUAGGGUUUAUUUGGUUUUGGUUUGAUUCUAAUUGCUAAACUUUCUCAAGGAAGAUGUUAUAUAGGGAGUGAGAAACCUUCACUCUUGGCUACCUCCAAGAGAAGAGCAAGUGGUCUGAAUCAAAGAUAUACUGCUCACUUUUUCUUCUUCUAAGGACAGCUAUGACCUUGCUUUAAGGUUCGAAUAGCCUAAUGCAACCUCCCAUUUCUCAAGUCAGCUGAUGAUGUAAGUCACCUUGGCUUUCCACAUUCAUACGGUGAGGACGUUUGUGGGUGUAAUUCUCUUAACAGUUUUCAUUUUAUAUGGAAAAAUUCAUAAUUAAGGGUAAUUACUGAUUCCAUUUGACAGUGACCAAGUUUAAAAUAUUAAUUCAUAUAUUAAAUGCACAUUAAAAAAUCAUGGAAUAAAUAUAUUUACUAAUAUAUAGUUCUUUUGCCAUGUUCUGUCACAGAAGCAUCGAACUUUCCCUAGAAAUUUUUGCAUGGUAUUCUACUUAUGAUUUUGAAAACUCUAGGCACCUGAGGCCACUAAUUGCAUGGUUGGAUGAGGAGCUGCAUGAGAUUAUGUAUCGUGUUGUUCCUUAACUACAAAUAUCAGUUUUAAGUAGCAUCUCCAUGUGACAUUUUCCUGAUGCAAUUUCGCUGUCCACCAACAAAUUUCACCAUGCAGCAAGAUGAAUUGUAAUUUCUUUAUUGUUAUCAACAGCUUUAAUUAAUCUUGAUAUAUAUAUAUAACUUAGUAGAAGUAUAUUAAUCUAGAUUGUAGUUGCACUAAGAUAAUAGGCAAUAUUAUAACAGUGCCACAAUGCUCAUCGCCAAAUAGAAAGGUAGAAAAACUACAAUGAGUAACUCACAACAUUCUCAAACAGGACAUAGCGGCGACUGAUACAUAGAACACUAUUGGCACUCAGGAAAUGAUAAGAUCAGUGCCCAGCAGGCAGCACGUCUUAUUUUACAUACUACUUAAAACUAACCAAAGUCAUUCAGUUGGGAUGGGUGGGAGAUGGUGGUUUGUGCGGUGGCUUUUGGGUAGUUGGUGGCUUCUUUCCUGGAACUGAUGGUUUUUUUGUUGGAGUUGAAGGAGGCUUAAUCGUCUGAGGUGGCUUGUAUGAGUCUUCAGCACUCUCUGCGGGAGGGUGCCCAGGGUUGUGACCAUAAUGGGGUGGCUUCUCUCCCUUAGUUGGUUUGCCAAGUGGGCUGGCUGGCUUGUGCUCCGGGAGCGGCUUCUCUCCCUUAGGUGGUUUGCCAAAUGGGCUUGCUGGCUUGUGCUCUGGGAGCGGCUUCUCUCCCUCAAGAAGUUUACGGGUUUUGUCAGAUGGCUUGUGUUCUGGUGGUGGCUUCUCUCCUUGGGGUGGUUUGCCAAAUGGACUUGGUGGCUUGUGUUCGGGGAGUGGCUCCUCUCCCUUGGGAGGUUUAGUUGGUGGCUGGUGUUCCAUAGGUGGUUUCUCAACCGGGGGCUUGUUCUCCGUUGGUGGUUUAUGAACUGGGGGAUGCUUGGGGUAGUCAGCAAGAGACGGGGUGGUGAGAACCACCAGUCCCAGCAGCAACACUAGCAAGUAUGUGGAAGAGUACAUCUUUGAGUUCAGGCUGAGAUUUGUGCGAGACUUGAAGAAUUAGGUGGCCUUUUAUAGCUGGCUGCACCCAACACUCACAUGACACGUAUCAUGGUGACACAUGUGCUAUGGGUCCAUUUGGGUCCUACAGAAGCUGAAAACUUUUGACUAUUGAGGUGUGGUCACAACUUUUGUCCCUAUUGCUUUCUCCGCAACCGUUUUACAUGUUUCCUUUGGCAUAAUUUUCUAAGCUAAACAAGCAUAUAUCAUAUUUGGUUAAGAAAGAGUAAAGUGUAUAUGGCACACAUCAAGGAAGAGAAACAGAAAAAGUGGGAGACAAUCAAUUGUGAUAAACAGAUAUAUUAUAUUCAUGUAGUACUAGUGACUUUAUCAUUUACUUUUAUCCAAUAGAUCAUCACUCUUUCUUCUAAAUAUUUUGGAGGAUAAUGGUACAUGUUGCUUGUUUCCAAGUCAAAAUUGGUGGCAAAAAUCGGCAUGAUACGAAAGGAUUGGUGAAAAGAUUCACAUAGAUGGUGCUUUGUGCAAUGCAGUCUUGCUCUAAUUCAACAGAGUGGACCAUGGUGAUGUAUUUUAAAUUUUAAAUUUUAAAUUAAUGCAUGCUUCAAAGUUUUAACUAGAUGUCACUUCCAUGGAUUUUUGUUCAUUUAAUUGAGCACAGGAUAGGCUAUCAAACUUGAAGUAAUAUAAAAAUCCCUUCAUUACUGUAACUAAUGAAAGAUCAUUAUCUGCGCUUGGUAUUUUGCCAAGGUAUUUGCUGCUCUUUCUAGCCCUGUCUUACAGUUAAGGACAAUGUGAUCUAGUUAACCUUAGAAGCUAUUCCAUGUCAGAUACAAGAGAUCAAGCACAUUAUCUUUGGGCUCAGUUCAAAACUAUAAUAUAUGGGUGGGGUGGAGGCCCAUAUCAUUUGCAUAUCACCACUAUUGGUUUAGUUUGGAAGGUUUCUUCUGGAAGAUUGCUGCUUUCUGGAAUCAUUUCAAAGAAAUAUAUCUUUUUGUUCUCUUGGUGACGAGCAGCGGCAAUCAAGUCUGUUGACAAACAACCGAGUUGAAAAGUUUGAAAAUUGGUCACAGCCCACGUCCAUGGUUAAGGAAAAGGUCACUGGAAGUGAUCCCUUCUGGGCCUCUUGAUUUCCAUUCUGACAUCUAUAUGACCUGAUAAAUAGAAAGAAAAAAAAACAGAAGAAAAGCGGCACCCGGGUUCAUAGUAAGCAUCAAGACAGGAUACUGAAAGAAGGGAGAAAGGAGAUUGCAAGUCCAAUCCUGAUAAAAUGAUCAACAAAGAGUAUCAAAAUGGGGCCAACAUAAAGACCCAUUGAGGUUAGCAGAUGGCAUGGCAUUUUUCUCCUUAAGUUUUCCAUGAUUAGACUUGAAGUCAAAAUUUCACAUGUAAAUUUGUAUUUCUACAUUUCCCACUGACGACACCCAACUUCAACUUGAGUUAGAAUAACAUUGUGUGAACUUAUCUGGCCCUCAAAAUUUACUGUGAAGUGCUUUCUGCGUGUGAAGAUUCAGAAAAGCACCAAGGGAACAUGUAUGGUCUGCCUUUUUCUGAUGUUAUGUUUGUCUCUAAUUCUGUUCCAUGUCAUGGUAAAUGUUCACAUUGCUUGUAUGGAACACACCAGGAUCACUUUUUCGGGUUUAUUUUGAGGCUUCAUAUUGGGUUCAUAUUGGGUUCAAUGCUUUUAAUGUGUUCAUUAGACAAAUCUGAAUUAUCAUAUGCAUUUAGAUAAGAACAAUAAUGUGAAACCCUAGUUACACCUCCCCUGCAUAACCCCAACCCUGCUUACUCUAUUUCAGUUUACUCACACAAGUUUUACCGGUUCUUAUAAGUCAAGAAAAGGCAACUGAUGUUGGAUUGACUCUCUUCCAUGUAUAAAAAGCAACUUUUAUAUAUACAUAAAAUAACUUCUUCCCCUCACCAAUGUGGGAUAUCAUGGAUUUAUUCUGGAAACACAUCAAAGGAACAUCUUUUCUCUUGGGUGACCCUAAGUGGUGAGUCAGACCAUUUGCAUGCCAUUGAGUUGCACAGUUGGAUAAAUGCACCUACCUCCUGGGCUCCAGAGUUAAAAGGGUGGAUCCCUGGAUCGCAACCCUCUUGGCAUCUUGGUUUCCAUUCCAACAUCCACAUGACUUGACAAAACAAAAAACAGAAUAAAAUCAUCACUAUUUUCAUGCUAAGCACCAAUACAUGAUGGAAAUCAUUGCUUAAAGAUUUGGGGUCAUUUAGGUUUUGACUGCCUCCUAACACCUCACCUAAUCACAAGUUUUUAUGCUUACAAAUCAAAUAUCGUUCUUCAUUAUAUUAAAAUCAUUUUAAGAUUUCAGAUCCAUCUGCUAAUUAUGAUUAUGAUAACAUUAAUUCACCUGUGCUUCUCAUUUUCGACACACAAGGCAUCUAGGUUUGCAGGAUUUCCUUAUUAGAUGAGAUAAAUGAGUACGCAUGGUUAUGUAUGCAGCAUUCAUUAACCAUGGUAUGUGACAUUUAGAAUUAAGAUAGCAAGCAAACUUUCCCUGCAGCUUGAGUAAAUUGUGAUUUCUUAGCCUCUAUGAGUGGUUCCCAAAUCAAAUUAACAUAGUGAAAUAUACGUAGUCCAGUGAAAGGAAAUGUAAAUUAUAAACUAACAGCACUACACUACUGGUAACACUCGAUACUCUCUAUAUAAUGCAAUGAAAUAUACGUUAUACGUUGCUUGUUCCAAGUCAAAAUUUGUGGCCAAACGUUGGCCUUUUUUCAUUUUCCCUAAGAUUAAUGCUCACCUGGGAUAGGCACUACAUGAUUUAUCUGCUCUUUUACUGUAAAGUUGCUUUGUGUAUGAGUUACACCUCCCCUGCACACCCUCAACAUUUGUUGCUCUGUUUUCCUUGUGUCCAGACGAGGAUAUUAAGUGGGGGCUGACAAAACGACUGCUAGCCAAGGAUUUACAAGGUCCUGGUUUGACGCUUCCGCGAAAGUAUUUUUGAAAAUAUACACAUAGAGAUUGCGCGUUCGGUGCAAUGCAACAAUGUGAGCCAUUCUGAAGUUUUUAAUUUCAGAUUAAUGAAUGCUACAAAAUUCUAAGAAGGGCCGUUUCCAAAUAUUUGAGUUCAUUUAUCCGAACAUCGGAUAAGUAAUGAUCAUAGAUUAUUAUUAUUAUCUGACGUUCUUAUAAUGGUUGGCAUUAUAAGAGGGUAUAUGCUUCUUUCUCUAGCCCCUCCUUCAAGGGAGGGACAAUGUGAUCUGUAUCGUUAGAAGCUAUUCCAUGUCGUCAUCUUUUGGCUUAAGUCAAUACUAAAAUAUAUGGGCGGGGCCCCUGUCAUUUUAUAUUUCUUCUAGAAGGUUUGUUCUGGAAAUCUUUCACCGAAACAUAUCUUUUUCUUCUCUACGUGAUCCGUGGUUGGAAAGUUAGAAAAAUGGGUCCGUUCACAAGCCACCGAGUUGAAAAGUUGGAAAAAUGGCAACACCGCCAACCUCUUGUAUUCGAUAGUUAAAUAAAAGGUCACUGGAAGUGAGAUCCCUUUUGGCCUCUUGAUUUUCAUCCCAGCAUCUCUAUGUCCUGAUAAACUAAAAAACUAAAAAAAAAACAGUACGUGGGUUGGUGUUAAGCAUCAAGAGUCAAGACAUGAUAAUGGAGAGAAAGGAUAUUCAAAUUCCAGUUCUGACAACAUGAUUUUCUUUCCUGAACAACCAUGUUAUAUUUGAUCAAGAAAGAGUAGUGCAUGUGGCCAGGAUCAAGACAUACAUUAAUUUCCACAUGAUGAAGACAGUUUCUGAGAGUUUCUUCUAAAGCUCUUGCGCUAGUAGGCUUCAAGUCAAAAUUUCCCAUGUAAACACUGGAUUUUCUUUAAUUGCCACUAAGGAUACAGUUAAAAUUGACUUAAAAUCCUACGUGAUAUAUAUCUUUAACAAAAGUAUAUUGUAUAUAAUAUUUGAAAUAAUGUUGAUUCGUUGUGGAAAUAUGUUUGUAAGGAAAGUUGUUGACAAUUUAAUAUAGUAUAAGAAGAAAAAAGUUAUCAACUAGAGAUGAGUAUGUAAAGUGAGGCUCACGAUUCAACGCGUAAAUAUAAGAUAUUUUAAGGCUCAAUAGUUAUGAUAUCUAUUUUAUUUUUUGUAUCCCAUAUAUUCAAAGAUACAGUAAAAUGAUUUUAUAUAUAUGAACAUAGCCGAUAGUAUCAUGUUAAAACCUUAUAUGACUCUUUGUGCCAAUUGAUUUUUAUCUUUAUUUUGUGUAUUAGUAAUUAGUAUUAAAGUUUUUACUAACAUAAUAAUUGAUAUAAAAGCUUUUUCCAAAAGAGUCAAACAGAGCAAAACACUUAUUAUAAAAAGAAUUUUGAUUGAAGGUGGAGUCAAUUAUUCUUUAUUCAACAUGUGAUGCAUACAGCGGGUACUUCAUAACUAAAGUAUAUAAGUGCAACAUCUCUUAUACAUUCUCAUUCAAUCUCGAAAGUGGAAAAUUUUAAAAGAUUAAAUGGUUCAAAUUUUCCGUGCAUAAAGGGGAUCAUGUCACAUAACCAAACCAUGGCAUACCAAAGCCAUGAUAUGGACUAAGAAUUUUGUUAAAAUAAGUUUCUUAUUAGGGCACAUUAUGUGACUAUUUAUGACAUAUCAAAGGAGUCAAGUGCAUCAAUAAAGACAUAGAAAAUUCAUGCAUCACAUGUACCACUAAGAGAAAAUUGACUUGAUAGAGUUUAGUCCAAAUAGGAGAUUGUUAAAAGGUGCAUCAAAUUCUUGAUUGAUAUAUAUUUUUUUUAUUAGAAAGGUUAUUAUAUAGAUAUUUCAAUAGACUAUUAAUCCUUUGUAAAAAUAGUUAUAUAAUGAGGAUGGUGAUUAAAAAUAUCUCUAUCAAUAUUUUGGAUUAUAAAAAGAAAAAAAAUAUGAGAAAAUGAUAAACAUAUAAAACUUGUACAAGUAGAUAGAGAUGUGAUGAAAGACACUUGAUGAAUGGAGGCCUUGUAUUUCAAGAUGUAAAUAUAUGGAGCAAAACUCUUAAUUAUAUGAUCAAAUGAUUCUCUCAUAUUCAUGAACAUAAGCAGGAUUGGGGAACCAUGAUAGAAUCUUAUAUGCCUCUCCAUGUAGAUUGAUCGAUGUUUAUCUUCAUAUUUUACACCAAUGAAUGACAUUGAAACUCUGAUUGAUAAAAGGGAAAAAGCAUGGCCUCCACCACAAGAAAAACAAGUAACCUCGGUCUAAAUCACUAGUCUACACCCCGAAGAGAGAACUAGCCAAACCUACUAAAAGAGAAACUUACCAAUUUAGAAAGAAAUCUUCCAUGAUAAAGGGCCCCUAAAAGUCCAAUUCAGUCAGGUUGUGAACAAAAACACCUUCAUGUCAAAACAGGAAUAGGUACCACCAAAAUGUAAAGGGAAAGAUGUAAACCAAGUCGAACUUUGGUAAACAAUGGUAAAGAUAGCAUGAUAGCUAAAAGCACUAAAGCUGUGCUUGGUAUGCAAAAAUGAAAAGUGGAAAUCAGCGUCUUAUUCUUUUUCUCCUUUAUUCACAUAUUAGGAUAACUAAUAUCUAAUGUUUUUUUUAUGUCUCAAAUUCUAUUCCAUGUUAUGGUAAACUUUCAUCUUGUUUAAGUGGAAGAGUAGGAUCACUUUUGUCUGGUUUGGGCUCAAGACGAUAAGCCUAUAGAGACUUCAUAUUGGGUUGAAUUGAUGCCCUUGAUCCGAUCAGUUCGUUAGAAAAAUCUGAAUUAUUAUAAGCAUUUAGAUAAAAUAAAUAAAUAAAUGUGAAACAGAGACUAUUCUCUGCACAACCUUGACCCUAGUUACUCAGUUUCACUGCUCACGGGACUAACCUCUCCAUUCAGUCGAAAUGAAUUGUAAUUUCUUUACUGGUAGCAGUAGUACUUUUCAUAGCAAAGAUAAUAGUAAAUAUGAAAUAUAAAUAUAUAGAAGGAAAUCUGGAUUGUAGAUAGCACCAUAAGUAACACUCAAUAUUUACUACAUAAUAAAAGAGAUAGUGUUACAAAGGUAGAGAAACCUACAAUGAGUACUCAUCACCAUUCUCAAACAGAAACAUAGCAGUGACUUAUACAUAGAACCUAUAGGCUCGCAGGGAAAGAGUAACAUGAUAAGUGCACAGCGGGUAGCAGCUCUUAUUUUACGUAUUACUCAAAAUCUCAAACUAACCAAAGUCACUCAGUUGGGAUGGGUAGGAGAUGGUGGUUUGUGGGGUGGCUUCUGGGUAGGAGCUGGUGGCUUCUUUGUUGGAGUUGAAGGAGGCGUAAUCUUCUGAGGUGGCUUGUAUGAGUCUUUGGCACUCUCUGCAGGAGGGUGCCCAGGGUUGUGACCGGAAGGAGGUGGCUUCUGUCCCUUUGGUGGUUUGCCUAAUGGGCUUGGUGGCUUGUGCUCCGGGAGUUGUUUCUCUCCCUCGAGUAGGUUUCGAGUUUUGUCAGAUGGCUUGUGUUCUGGUGGUGGCUUCUCUCCCUGGGGUGGUUUGCCGAAUGGGCUUGGUGGCUUGUGUUCGGGGAGUGGCUUCUCUCCCUUGGCAGGUUCAGUUGGUGGCUGGUGCUCCGUAGGUGGUUUCUUCACCGCCGGCUUCUCUCCCUGGAGAAGGUUACGAGUUUUGUCAGAUGGCUUCUGUUCUGGUGGCGGCUUCUCUCCCUGGGGUGGUUUGCCAAAUGGGCUUGGUGGCUUGUGUUCGGGAACUGGCUUCUCUCCCUUGGCAGGUUCAGUUAGUGGCUGGUGUUCCGUAGGUGGUUUCUUCACCGGCGGCUUGUGCUCCGGAAGCGGCUUCUCUACCUGGAGAAGCUUACGAGUUUUGUCAGAUGGCUUGUGUUGUGGUGGUGGCUUCUCUCCCUGGGGUGGUUUGCCAAAUGGACUUGGUGGCUUGUGUUCGGGGAGUGGCUUCUCUCCAUUGGGAGGUUUAGUUGGUGGUUGGUGUUCCGUAGGUGGUUUCUGAAGUGGGGGAUGCUUGGGGUAGUCAGCAAGAGACGAGGUAGUGAGAACCACCAGUCCCAGCAGCAAUACUAGCAAGGAUGUGGAAGACAUCUUUGAGUUCAGGCUGAGAUUUGUGCAAGGCUAGAAGAAUUAGGUGGCCUUUUAUAGCGGGCUGGACCCAACAACCAAAUGACACGUAUCAUGAUACACAUAUGUGUUAUAAGAUCCUUGUGGGUCCUACAGAAGUUGAAAACUUUGACAAUUGAGGUGUGAUUACAACUUUUGUCCCUAUUGCUUUCUCGUCAGCCGUUUUGCAAGAUUUUUGACAGGAGGACGGUAGUUUAAAAUAAUAAUUUCUAAAGUACUUUUGUGAAAAAAAAUAAUUCCAAACGUGGAUUUUAUCAAGUAAAAAAAACAAAAAAAAGUUAUUUUCUUUUAAAAUCUUUUCUUCAUGAUUCAUAUACCAAAAAAAGAAUUGUUUUCUGUAGGUAAAAUUUUUAAAAUUCAUUUUUAAAAAAAAAAAAUUACACACUAAAAUUAUCUCUUCAAGAAAAUAUUUUUUAAAUUUUAAAUAAUUAUUAAUUUAUAAUUAAUUUUUUAUUAAUUAUUUAUUAAAUUUAUAUGUGAAAAAUGCAUUUAUAAAAAACAAAUUUUUUAUUAAUUUAUUAAAUAAUUAUUUACAAAAUAAAUAAUUUUGCUUUAUUUUAAUUUUAAAAUUAAUUUUAUUAUAUAAAUUUUAAAAUUAAAAAUAUUAAUAUUUAAUUUAAAAUUUAACUAUAAAAGGAAUAAAAUAUAGAAAAAUAAAUUAAUUUAUUAUUCAAUAAAUUAAUUUUCAAUAAAAUUUUCAGCAUUAAGAGAUAAAUUUUUAAGUAUUAAUCAAUUUAAAAAAUAAUAAUAAUCAUUUGUAUACUAAGAUAUUUUAUUUAGUAAUUAUGAAUGAUAAACAACUAAAGUAAUUUGAAAAAAUAAUAAAAUAUUUAAAAAUAAUAAUUUAAUACACUUAAAAUUAGAAAUGAUUAACUAUUUUUUAUUAAGAAAAAAUUGAAGAAAUAUUUUGUUAUUUAAAAUUUUUUAUUUGUUUUCAAUUUUAAAUGUUAUAGGUUUCAAGAAAAUUGAUCAAAUAAAAAUUAAGAAGUCAUUUUUUCAAAAACUAUAUAUCUAAAUAAAAGCCUUGAAAUUCAAAUACACAAUAUCAUAAAUAUAAACACCAAGUCAAUCCUUAAUUAUCAAAUGUUUUUAAUAUUAAAGAAUCAAAAUCACCUACUAUCAUGAUAAUAAGAAAACCAAUAAUAUUGUUCAUAUAAAUACUAAAAAGCUAACAAAUAUCCCAAACAAUUAAUAAAGUAUCAAACAUGAUAAAAAGUCAAUUAUUAUCAUGAAUGCAAAAAAUCAAUAAUUUUGUUUAUAUGAACCAUCAACAAAGAAAAAAAAAAUCAAUAUCUAAAUAUUAAACAUAAUUUAUAUUUUUAUAAAUAUUAUUGUUGAUAAAUAUCUUAAUAAUUAUAAUUUUUUAUAUAUUAAAUUUAGUAAAUAAAAUUAAUUAAUUUUAUAAUAUAAGAUAUAUAUAAUAAUUAAGAGACUAUUUGUCCCAAACAAUUUAUUUAUUUUUUUUUUAGGAAAUUGUCUCUUCAAGAGACGACUUCUCCCAACAUUUUUAAAAAAAAAAAAAAAAACAUCUAUUCAAAAGACGAUUUCUCCUCAUUUUUUAAAAAUGAAUUUUAGAAAUCAUAUUUUCAAAAAUGAAUUUUAGAAAUCAUAUUUUCAAAAGACGAUUUUUUUUUAUAUAAAUUAUUUUUUAAAAUGACGAUUUUAAAAGGAAAUAACGAUCUCUCUCCUACUUGGCAAAAACUAUGGUAAAUUUGGAAUUAUUUCUUCCACAACCAUAGUUUAAGAAUUAUUUUUUUAUACUUUCGUAGACUUAUCAAAAAUCCCUAUUUUGCAUGUCUCAUUUGGCAUGACUUUCUUACCUAAACAAGCAUAUAUAUAUAUAUAUAUAUAUAUAUCACUUUUGUCUGGGUUGAGUCAAUGCCCUUAACUAAUUUGUUCAUUUGAAUAGUCUAAAUUAUUAUAAGCUUUUAGUUAAGAAAAAUGUGAAACAUAAAUUACACCUCUCGGCACAACUUCGACACUGGUUACUCUGUUUCAGUUUAUUCACACAAGAUUAUUGGUUCUAGGGUUUAUUUGGUUUUGGUUUGAUUCUAAUUGCUAAACUUUCUCAAGGAAGAUGUUAUAUAGGGAGUGAGAAACCUUCACUCCUGGCUACCUCCAAGAGAAGAGCAAGUGGUCUGAAUCAAAGAUAUACUGCUCACUUUUUCUUCUUCUAAGGACAGCUAUGACCUUGCUUUAAAAUGUUCGAAUAGCCUAAUGCAACCUCCCAUUUCUCAAGUCAGCUGAUGAUGUAAGUCACCUUGGCUUUCCACAUUCAUACGGUGAGGACGUUUGUGGGUGUAAUUCUCUUAACAGUUUUCAUUUUAUAUGGAAAAAUUCAUAAUUAAGGGUAAUUACUGAUUCCAUUUGACAGUGACCAAGUUUAAAAUAUUAACUCAUGUAUUAAAUGCACAUUAAAAAAUCAUGGAAUAAAUAUAUUUACUAAUAUAUAGUUCUUUUGUCAUGUUCUGUCACAGAAGCAUCGAACUUUCCCUAGAAAUUUUUGCAUGGUAUUCUGCUUAUGAUUUUGAAAACUCUAGGCACCUAAGGCCACUGAUUGCAUGGUUGGAUGAGGAGCUGCAUGAGAUUAUGUAUCCUGUUGCUCCUUAACUACAAAUAUCAGUUUUAAGUAGCAUCUCCAUGUGACAUUUUCCUGAUGCAAUUUCGCUGUCCACCAACAAAUGUCUCCAUGCAGCUAGAUGAAUUGUAAUUUCUUUGUUGUUAUCAACAGCUUUAAUUAAUCUUGAUAUAUAUAUAACUUAGUAGAAGUAAUUAAUCUAGAUUGUAGUUGCACUAAGAUAAUAGGCAAUAUUAUAACAGUGCCACAAUGCUCAUCGCCAAAUAGAAAGGUAGAAAAACUACAAUGAGUAACUCACACAACAUUCUCAAACAGGACAUAGCGGCGACUGAUACAUAGAACACUAUUGGCACUCAGGAAAUGAUAAGAUCAGUGCCCAGCAGGCAGCACGUCUUAUUUUACAUACUACUUAAAACUAACCAAAGUCAUUCAGUUGGGAUGGGUGGGAGAUGGUGGUUUGUGCGGUGGCUUCUUUCCUGGAACUGGUGGUUUUUUUGUUGGAGUUGAAGGAGGCUUAAUCGUCUGAGGUGGCUUGUAUGAGUCUUCAGCACUCUCUGCAAGAGGGUGCCCAGGGUUGUGACCAUAAUGAGGUGGCUUCUCUCCCUUAGGUGGUUUGCCAAGUGGGCUGGCUGGCUUGUGCUCCGGGAGCGGCUUCUCUCCCUUAGGUGGUUUGCCAAAUGGGCUUGCUGGCUUGUGCUCUGGGAGCGGCUUCUCUCCCCCAAGAAGUUUGCGGGUUUUGUCAGAUGGCUUGUGUUCUGGUGGUGGCUUCUCUCCUUGGGGUGGUUUGCCAAAUGGACUUGGUGGCUUGUGUUCGGGGAGUGGCUCCUCUCCCUUGGGAGGUUUAGUUGGUGGCUGGUGUUCCGUAGGUGGUUUCUCAACCGGGGGCUGGUGCUCCGUAGGUGGUUUAUGAACUGGGGGAUGCUUGGGGUAGUCAGCAAGAGACGGGGUGGUGAGAACCACCAGUCCCAGCAGCAACACUAGCAAGUAUGUGGAUGACAUCUUUGAGUUCAGGCUGAGAUUUGUGCAAGACUAGAAGAAUUAGGUGGCCUUUUAUAGCUGGCUGCACCCAACACUCACAUGACACGUAUCACGGUGACACAUGUGCUAUGGGAUCCAUUUGGGUCCUACAGAAGUUGAAAACUUUUGACUAUUGAGGUGUGAUCACAACUUUUGUCCCUAUUGCUUUCUCCGCAACCGUUUUACAUGUUUCCUUUGUGGUGUUUAAUAGUGUUUUUUUCCUUAAUUCUAAAUAAACCUUAAUACUUAAUAAUGUUAAAUAUUAGGUUAUUUAUUUUUAUAAUAUUUUAUUUAUAUUAAGUAUUAAAAAGUAAAGAAAAAUCAAUAUAUUUAUUUUUCUAUUUAGAAAAAACUAUAUAUUUUUAAUUUUUUUAUUUAAUAAAAAAUUUAUAAUAAAUCAUGAAAAAAUAGAAAAACAAACAACCUAAAUUUUAAAAAUAAAUUGUUUUUAGUAAAAACCCAAAAAAACAAACACCACCUUAACUAAACAAAUAUAUAUUAUAUUUAGUUAAGAAAGAGUAAAGUGUAUAUGGCUCAAAUCAAGGAAGAGAAACAGAAUAAGUGGAAGACAAUCAAUUGUGAUAAACAGAUAUAUUACAUGCAUGUAGUACUAGUGACUUUAUCAUUUACUUUUAUACAAUAGAUCAUCACACUCUUUCUUCUAAAUAUUUUGGAGGAUAAUGGUACAUGUUGCUUGUUGCCAAGUCAAAAUUGGUGGCAAAAAUCGGCAUGAUACGAAAGGAUUGGUGAAAAGAUUCACAUAGAUGGUGCUUUGUGCAAUGCAGUCUUGCUCUAAUUCAACAGAGUGGACCAUGGUGAUGUAUUUUAAAUUUUAAAUUUUAAAUUAAUGCAUGCUUCAAAGUUUUAACUAGAUGUCACUUCCAUGGAUUUUUGUUCAUUUAAUUGAGAACAGGAUAGGCUAUCAAACUUGAAGUAAUAUAAAAAUCCCUUCAUUACUGUAACUAAUGAAAGAUCAUUAUCUGCGCUUGGUAUUUUGCCAAGGUAUUUGCUGCUCUUUCUAGCCCUAUCUUACAGUUAAGGACAAUGUGAUCUAGUUAACCUUAGAAGCUAUUCCAUGUCAUAUACAAGAGAUCAAGCACAUUAUCUUUGGGCUCAGUUCAAAACUAUAAUAUAUGGGUGGGGUGGGGGCCUAUACCAUUUGCAUAUCACCACUAUUGGUUUAGUUUGGAAGGUUUCUUCUGGAAGAUUGCUUUCUGGAAACAUUUCAAAGAAAUAUAUCUUUUUGUUCUCUUGGUGACGAGCAGCGGCAAUCAAGUCUGUUGACAAACAACCGAGUUGAAAAGUUUGAAAAUUGGUCACAGCCCACGUCCAUGGUUAAGGAAAAGGUCACUGGAAGUGAUCCCUUCUGGGCCUGUUGGAAGCAGGGGAGGUUAACACACCAAGCAACAAAGAACAGAGAUAUGCUGCUACUGAUCUAUAUUUUUUAUUUGAUCAUAAGGCUAAAUUUAUACAGAUUGUGUAACAGAUAUGACCUCAAAAAAAAGCAUCAAAUCAAGCUACUUGUUGAACAAACAACUACCUUCUACAAAAUAACAUCAAAAUUUAACUUAAAAGCAAAAACAUAAAAAUAGCAACAGCAAAAAUAGAAACAUAAAAAUAGCUUCAGCAUUCUAGUAAUCUCGUUGACUUCAAUUGCAUGUGGUUGACGAUUUCAGCCUUUUCCUCAGCAGCUACUAAGGCAUAACUCUCAACACUCCUCCUUGACUUAGGAGGUGCAAACUCCAAGUCUUUCUCAUAGAAACUCAAAUCUUAUUUUAGGAAGAGCUUUAGUCAGAAUAUCUACAUUUUGACUGUCUGUAUUGCAGUAGACUAGUUGUAUAUCUCCUUCUUUCUGUACUUCCCUCAAAAAUUACAAUUUAAUCUUGAAGUGCUUUGUUUUACCAUGAAAAACUGGAUCAUUUGCAAUAGAUAUAGUGGCCUGGUUGUCUACAAACACCUUUGUACUCACUUCUUGCUUCAUAUCCAAAUCUGUCAGCAACUUUCCAAGCCAUAAGGCUUGAUUUACAGCUGUAACAGCAGCAAUAUACUCUGCCUCAGCUGUGGAUUGAGCCACGACUUCUUGCUUCCUUGAACUCCAUGAAAAAACACCAGAACCAAAACUAAAACAAUAGCCUGAAGUACUUCUCAUAUCGUCAACACAACCAGCCCAAUCACUAUCAGAAAAUCCAUGAAAAUUGAAACUUUGAACUUGACUGAACUUAAUGCCAUAAUCCACAGUGCCUUUAACAUUUCUUAUCACACGCUUUGCUGCCUGGAAAUGAAUUUCACUAGCACAAUGCAUGUAUCUCGAAAGUAGACUUACAGCAUGCAUUAUAUCGAGUCUUGUUGCAGUCAAGUACAUUAAGCAUCCAAUCAUGCUUCGAUAAAGUCCUUCAUCUACCUUUUUAGCACCGUCCUCCUUACAGAACUUCUCUUUCUGGUUCAUAGGGGUAGAUGUAGGUUUGCAUUCCUCCAUUUUGAAUUUCUUCAUAAUUUCUUUGGCAUAUUUUUGUUGGCAGAUGAAAAUCUCAUUCUGCUUCUGGUGUACUUCCAUUCCCAAGAAGUAAGACAUCUCAUCUAGGUCUGUCAUCUCAAAAACCUGCUCCAUUUCAGCCUUGAAUUUGUUCACAAACCCUGCAUUACUUCCUGUUACAAGCAAAUCAUCAACAUAUAGAGAAACAAUUAAUAUAUCUUCUUCAAUCUUCUUAAUGUAGAGUGUAAAUUCACUCAAGCUCUUGUGAAAGCCUAAAGUUAGCAGGUGAGUGUCAAUCCUGCUGUACCAAGCUCUAGGGGCUUGUCUUAACCCAUACAAGGCCUUCUUAAGAAGGUAUACUUUUUCUUCUUUUCCUUUGAUAGCAAAACCUUCUGGUUGUUCGACAAAAAUCUCUUCCUCUAAGUAGCCAUUCAAAAAUGCUGACUUCACAUCUAGUUGAUAAAUCUUCCAUUUUCUUUGAGCUACAAGAGCCAACAACAUCCUGAUUGUAUCCAAACGAGCUACUGGUGCAAAGGUUUCCGAAAAGUCAACACCAAACAUUUGUGCAUACCCUUUGACAACCAGCCUUGCUUUAUGUUUGUUUAUAGAACCAUCAGAGUUGAGUUUGGUUCUGUAAACCCACUUAACCCCAAUAGGUUUUUUGUGUGAAGGUCUAUCUACUAGCUCCCAAGUGUUGUUCUUGUCAAUCAUAUCUAGCUCCUCCUGCAUUGCAACCCUCCAUCUUUUAUUUUCAGCAGCUUCAACAAACCCUGCAAGUUCAAGAACAGCUAUAUUACACCUUUGAUAAAUAUCAAAAAGUGUCAUGAAACCUCUAACUGGAAGUUCAUCAACAUCUUCAUCAAUAUAUUGCUGAUUCUGCUCAUCCCAACUCCAUUUCUCCGUUUCCAAAAACUUAACAUCUCUACUUACCACAAUUUUACUAUUUUGUGGCAAGUAGAUUCUGUAAGCUUUUGAGGUGCUGUUGUAUCCAAUGAAAAUUCCUGGUUCUGACUUUUUAUCUAGCUUGUCUCUUUUCACCUGAGGAACAUAAGAGAAACACAAGCAACCAAAGGUCUUUAAAUUCAUUAGCAUAGGCUUAUAAGCAAACCAGGCCUCAAAAGGUGUCUGUUUCUGCAAUGCUUUUGUUGGUAGUCUAUUUAGCAAAAAUACUACUGUAUUUGCAGCUUCAACCCAAAAACUUUUUGGCAGCUCUUUCUCAUGCAAAAGACAUCUUGUCAUUGAUUACUACUCAAAAAGUGCUAUUUGAUAGCCUUUAAUUAAUCCUUUUUAACACUUUUGAGUAGUAGUUUAGGCCUUUUAACUCAAUUGGCAUGUUAAGGAUCCUUUAAAGCAAUUUUGAUCACUUUGUGCAAGUUUUGGUGUUUUUGUUAGUAUUUCGAUCACCAAAGCAAGUCAAGAAUGAGGAGAGCUAUGAGGAAUCUUGGGCAAAGCUUAGAAUUCAAUUGCCAAGAGUGAAUCCGGAUUGCAAGGAGAAAAAGCAAAGAGGAUCAGUCAUGGAGCAUAUUCUUGAUGACAGUCGUAGCAGCCACUUUUGGAUCACUUUCUGAAGUCCAAAUGAUGCAAGCUAUAUACCAUUUCAAAGCUCAGGAAGUCAACAAUCCAAUGCUUCAAACGGUGUGCGAUUCGGAAUUGAAACGAAGAAGUUGCAGCCAUUACAAGCCAGACACUCUAAAGUGUUGCGGAAUCAGCCAUGUGUUGCGAGAAUUUCGCAGCACUUUUGUACAGUAAGGUGUUUCUCCUUCUAACGAUGCACGAACCAUGCCGCGAGAAGGGAGCUGGAAACUUCAAGAUGGAAGCCAACUUUGCAGCCUAGUGAAGAUAGCUCGGUCUUGCAAGAUAAUUUCGCAGCCCUCUUGGGUGUCUGCGAAAUUUCGCAGGCCUCAUUUUUCACCUGCGAAAUGGCUCUUGAAGCCUCCCGAAGCUUGCUACCGACAUUGGGAGAUAUUUUCCAUUAGAUUUUUGUUGUCUAAAUCCCAAAAUACUCCUUGUAAACCACCAAUUACAUGAUUCCUUAGUUUUUAAGUUAGUAAAAAGACCAAAUAUCUUUGUAACAAUUAGUUUUAUAUUUUGUUGUUAUAAAUACCUCUCGGGAGCCUGUUCUCAGGGAGGAGUUCCUUCUGUAAACGUUUGGUAAGCAAGUAAAGUCUAUUUUCUUUCUACUGCCUUACCUUCUCACUUUGUAUUUUCAUUUUAUUUCUAAGUUAUGAAUUCUCUGAGGAGUUUUCCCCAAAGAAUGAGUAACUAAACCUCCAAUUCCUUGGAGCUAAGGUUGCCGGGGAAGGUUCCAAGUGCAAGAAUGCAAAGCUCUGUGGUUUUAGCUAGUAAUGAAGAGGAAGUGAAAUCCUUUAGUGAUUUCAAUGUUUUUAGUUAACUUAAAACACUUUGGAGUCACCUGGGCCAACACUUGGUAAGGCAAGUGAUUUCCAACCAUGGAAAUGCACUAGUUUACCCCUUGCGAGCCUCUGGUAGGUGACUUCAAGGUAGGAUUUUCUGGAAUUACCAACACUUGGUAAGCUUUUGGACUCCUAGGAGACAUCCAUUAGUUAUCUCUUGCGAGUUUGUGAAGGGAAUCCAAGGUUAAAGAUCACCUUGAAUGGUAAGUGCUCGUGAGAGGCAUGAACCAUUGCAAGUUGUAUCAGUGAGAGAAUUAAAGUGAAAUCUAAUUGAAGGAGUCUUUGUACAUCACCGGUUAGAGAAUUGACUAUAAGUUGAAUCUCUAAUGCGAGGAAAUGAACCAACUGACCAGAGCCGUGUCUUUUGCAUGAGGAACCACCCCAGUGAACCUAAAUCUCCAAGGAAUGUUUUUUUCUUCCUAAAUUAUUCCAAACUUCUGUUAAGUUAGUUAGUUUAAAUCUCAACCUUUACAAAUCAAAGUUUGUGUUUUAUUCCUUAAGCUAACCGUGAAAUGAAACAAGACCAAUUCACUUGGAAUUGGUAUCAUUGAUUGCCUGCAAAUCAUUCCCAGUGAACGAUCCUAGAGCCACUAUACUAUAGUAGCUUUGUAUUUGCUACCCUAGUGUAUGGUGUUAUAGGUAUAAAUUUUGUUGAUCACUUCCUCAAUCAAGGAGCACCAGCUGAACACAAAUCAGCUGAGACACCAAUUAGGCAUGAGUCAAAUGGCGCCGUUGCCGGGGAAUGAAUGUCAAGUUCAUUGUGAUACCAUUGUUGAGCACUUGUGAUUUUCAUCACAAGUUGGUAAAGUUUCUUUCACUUUACUAAUUUUCAUUCUUUCUUUGUUUAUUUACAAUCUAAGUUUAUCUUUUUAAAUUUUAGUCUAGUUUAAUUUUGUUGUUGUAGCCCUGUUUUUCUUGUUGUCCUCUGUUUUCAUUUUUUUUUUCAGGUAGAUACUAGUUGUGUAUGCCCAAGUGGAUACGAGACAUAGGAGGUAGGCUUGUUAAGUGUGAUACACCUCAGAAAGGAGAAUUUGAAGUAAUCUUGAAUAUCAUGGAGGCUGCACCUGAAGAUCAGCAUAGUCACCAAGGUCGUCAAGACAAUCUCAAUGAAUUCAGAUCAAUGAGGGACCGUAUGCAUCCACCUCGUAUGAGUACACCAUCAUGUAUAGUGCCCCCUACAGAGCAGCUAGUGAUCAGACCAUAUCUUGUUCCACUUCUACCAACUUUCCAUGGGAUGGAAAGUGAGAAUCCGUAUGCACACAUCAAGGAAUUUGAAGAUGUUUGUAAUACAUUCCAAGAAGGAGGAGCUUCAAUUGACUUGAUGAGGCUUAAGUUAUUUCCUUUUACUUUAAAGGAUAAGGCCAAAAUUUGGCUUAAUUCUUUAAGGCCAAGGAGUAUCCGCUCUUGGACUGAUUUACAAGCUGAGUUCCUUAAGAAAUUUUUUCCUACUCAUAGAACAAAUGGCUUGAAAAGGCAAAUUUCAAACUUCUCAGCUAAAGAGAAUGAGAAAUUCUAUGAGUGUUGGGAAAGAUACAUGGAAGCUAUAAAUGCUUGUCCUCACCAUGGCUUUGAUACUUGGCUAUUGGUGAGCUAUUUUUAUGAUGGUAUGUCCUCCUCAAUGAAGCAACUCCUCGAGACAAUGUGUGGAGGAGAUUUCAUGAGCAAAAAUCCAGAGGAAGCUAUGGAUUUCUUGAGCUAUGUAGCUGAUGUUUCAAGGGGAUGGGAUGAACCAACUAAAGGAGAAGUGGGAAAGAUGAAGUCUCAGUUGAAUGCUUACAAUGCAAAGGCUGGGAUGUAUAAUUUGAAAGAAGAUGAUGACAUGAAAGCAAAGUUGGCAGCUAUGACAAGAAGAUUGGAGGAGCUGGAGCUGAAAAGAAUGCAUGAAGUGCAAGCUGUUGCUGAAGCACCAGUGCAAGUGAAGCUGUGUCCCAAUUGUCAAUCAUUUGAACAUUUGGUGGAGGAGUGCCCUGCAAUUUCAGUUGAAAGGGAAAUGUAUAGAGAUCAAGCAAAUGUUGUUGGACAAUUUAGGCCCAAUAACAAUGCUCCUUAUGGAAAUACCUACAAUUCAAGUUGGAGGAAUCAUCCAAAUUUCUCAUAGAAGGCCAGAGCAACUCAAUACCAACAGCCGGAUCCACCAUCUCAGCAAUCUUCAAGUAUUGAACAAAUAAUAGCCAAUCUCAGCAAGGUAGUGGGAGAUUUUGUGGGAAAGCAAGAAGCCACCAAUGCUCGAGUUGAUCAAAGAAUGGAUAGAAUGGAGAGUGUGUUGAACAAAAGAAUGGAUGGAAUGCAAAAUGAUAUGAACCAAAAGUUUGAUAACAUCCAAUAUUCAAUUUCAAGGCUUACAAAUUUGAAUACACUGCAAGAAAAAGGAAGAUUUCCUUCUCAACCUAACCAAAAUCCCAAAGGUGUCCAUGAAGUGGAAAGCCAUGAGGGAGAAUCAUCACAGGUGAAAGAUGUGAAAGCUUUGAUCACUCUAAGGAGUGGUAAGAAAAUUGAGCAGCCAACACCCAUGCCACAUGUUGAGAAAGAAGAAGGGAUAAAGAAAGGAAAGGAAAUAGAAGAUAAAGACAGUGAGAUCAGUGAAGAAAAGAAGGACUCUGAUUCAACAAUCAAAGCAAUUCCAGAGAAAGAGCUUCUGAAGGAAGAAAUGCUGAAGAAAUCAACUUUUCCACCUUUUCCUCAAGCAUUACAGGGGAAAAAGGGGGUUAGAAAUGCAGCUGAAAUCCUUGAAGUCUUAAGACAAGUAAAAGUUAAUAUUCCACUGCUGGAUAUGAUCAAACAAGUUCCAACGUAUGCAAAAUUCCUAAAGGACUUGUGUACUAUCAAAAGAGGGGUUGACUGUAAACAAGAAAGCCUUCUUGACUGAGCAAGUAAGUGCAAUCUUACAAUGCAAGUCUCCUUUGAAGUACAAAGACCCUGGAAGUCCUACCAUUUCAGUCAUGAUUGGAGGAAAGGUAGUGGAGAAAGCCUUGCUAGACUUGGGAGCAAGUGUGAAUUUGCUUCCAUACUCUGUCUACAAGCAACUGGGACUUGGAGAGUUGAAGCCAACAGCAAUCACUUUAUCUUUGGCAGAUAGAUCAGUGAAAAUUCCAAGAGGAGUAAUUGAGGAUGUAUUGGUUCAAGUGGAUAAUUUCUACUAUCCAGUAGAUUUUGUUGUUCUUGAUACUGAUCCAACUGUAAAGGAAGCUAAUUUAGUUCCUAUCAUCCUUGGAAGGCCAUUUCUUGCAACUUCAAAUGCAAUCAUCAACUGUAGAAAUGGGCUUAUGCAACUCACUUUUGGUAACAUGACACUGGAUCUCAAUAUUUUCUAUAUGUCUAAAAAGCAAAUCACUCCUGAGGAAGAAGAAGGUCCAGAAGAGCUAUGUAUUAUUGAUACUUUGGUGGAGGAGCACUGCAAUCAGCAUAUGCAAGAUAAGUUGAAUGAAAGUCUUGUGGAUAUUGAGGAAGGUUUUUCUGAAUCUCCUAUUGGGCUUGCUACUCUACAAAGUUGGAGAAAGAUAGAAGGAAUUCUACCUUUGUUCAAUGAAAAAGAGGAGGCAACUGUUGAAGAAGAAAUUCCAAAACUCAAUUUGAAGCCUUUACCUGUGGAGCUGAAAUAUACAUAUCUUGAAGCAAAUAAUCAAUGUCCUGUUGUGAUAUCCUCAUCUCUGACCAGUCAUCAAGAGAAUUGUUUAAUGGAAGUUCUCAUGAGGUGUAAGAAGGCAAUAGGAUGGCAAAUAUCUGACUUGAAAGGCAUUAGUCCUUUAGUUUGUACUCAUCAUAUAUAUAUGGAGGAGGAAGCAAAGCCAAUUCGUCAAUUUCAAAGAAGGUUGAAUCCUCAUCUACAAGAGGUGGUGCGAGCUGAGGUGCUGAAGCUACUUCAAGCAGGAAUCAUUUACCCUAUUUCUGAUAGCCCUUGGGUGAGUCCUACUCAAGUGGUACCAAAGAAGUCAGGGAUCACAGUGAUUCAAAAUGAAAAAGGGGAAGAAAUUACUACACGCCUCACUUCAGGUUGGAGGGUGUGUAUUGAUUAUAGAAAGCUGAAUGCUGUCACCAGGAAGGAUCAUUUUCCAUUGCCAUUUAUUGAUCAAGUGCUGGAGAGAGUCUCUGGACAUCCAUUUUAUUGUUUCUUGGAUGGGUAUUCAGGCUAUUUUCAAAUUGAAAUUGAUUUGGCAGAUCAGGAAAAGACCACUUUUACAUGUCCAUUUGGAACAUUUGCUUAUAGAAGAAUGCCUUUUGGUUUAUGCAAUGCACCUGCUACAUUUCAAAGAUGUAUGUUGAGUAUUUUCAGUGAUAUGGUGGAGAGAAUUAUGGAGGUUUUCAUGGAUGACAUCACCGUAUAUGGAGGUACAUUUGAGGAGUGCUUGGUUAAUUUGGAAGCAGUUCUUCAUAGAUGCAUUGAAAAAGAUUUGGUGCUGAACUGGGAGAAAUGCCAUUUUAUGGUACGUCAAGGAAUUGUCCUUGGCCAUAUCAUCUCUGAAAGAGGCAUUGAAGUUGAUAAAGCAAAGGUGGAGCUUAUUGCCAAAUUACCAUCUCCAACAACUGUGAAAGGAGUAAGACAGUUCCUUGGCCAUGCAGGGUUCUAUAGGAGGUUUAUAAAAGGUUUUUCAAGUCUUUCAAAACCUCUUUGUGAGCUGUUAGCUAAGGAUGCUAAGUUUAUAUGGGAUGAAAGGUGUCAGCAUAGCUUUGAUCAACUGAAGAAGUUUUUAACAACAACUCCAAUAGUGAGAGCCCCUAACUGGCAAUUACCUUUUGAACUGAUGUGUGAUGCCAGUGACUUUGCUAUAGGAGCUGUGCUUGGCCAAAGAGAAGAUGGGAAGCCCUAUGUGAUUUACUAUGCAAGUAAAACACUAAAUGAAGCUCAGAGGAACUACACAACUACAGAGAAAGAAUUGUUAGCUGUGGUAUUUGCUUUGGACAAAUUUCGAGCUUAUUUAGUGGGGUCUUUCAUCAUUGUCUUCACUGACCAUUCAGCCUUGAAGUAUUUAUUGACAAAGCAAGAUGCAAAAGCAAGGUUGAUUAGAUGGAUUCUAUUGUUACAAGAGUUCGAUCUUCAAAUCAAAGAUAAGAAAGGAGUGGAGAAUGUAGUAGCUGACCACUUGUCAAGGUUAGUUAUAGCACAUAAUUCCCAUCCCUUGCCUAUCAAUGAUGAUUUUCCUGAAGAAUCACUCAUGUUCCUAGUGAAAACUCCUUGGUAUGCUCAUAUUGCUAAUUAUUUAGUAACUGGGGAAAUUCCAAGUGAGUGGAAUGCACAGGACAGGAAGCACUUCUUUGCCAAAAUUCAUGCUUAUUAUUGGGAAGAGCCCUUUCUCUUUAAGUAUUGUGCAGAUCAGAUUAUUAGGAAGUGUGUCCCUGAAGAUGAGCAGCAAGGGAUUCUAUCUCAGUGUCAUGAGAAUGCAUGUGGAGGCCACUUUGCCUCUCAGAAAACAGCCAUGAAGGUAUUACAAUCAGGGUUUACUUGGCCAUCUCUUUUCAAAGAUGCCCACAUCAUGUGUAGAAAUUGUGAUAGAUGCCAAAGGCUUGGAAAGCUAACAAAAAGAAAUCAAAUGCCUAUGAACCCCAUUCUGAUAGUUGAGAUAUUUGAUGUUUAGGGCAUUGACUUCAUGGGACCUUUCCCAAUGUCUUUUGGUAAUUCUUACAUUUUGGUGGGGGUAAAUUAUGUUUCUAAAUGGGUUGAGGCAAUCCCCUGUAAGCAAAAUGAUCACAGGGUGGUUCUCAAGUUUCUUAAAGAGAACAUUUUCUCAAGAUUUGGGGUGCCCAAGGCCAUAAUCAGUGAUGGAGGAGCUCAUUUUUGCAACAAACCUUUUGAAGCUCUGUUAUCCAAGUAUGGAGUGAAGCAUAAGGUAGCCACACCUUAUCAUCCUCAGACAUCCGGGCAAGUUGAGCUAGCUAACAGGGAAAUAAAGAACAUUUUGAUGAAAGUGGUGAAUUCCAACAGAAAAGAUUGGUCUAUUAGGCUUCAUGAUUCAUUGUGGGCAUAUAGAACAGCUUAUAAAACUAUUCUUGGGAUGUCUCCCUAUCGUCUUGUCUAUGGCAAAGCAUGCCAUCUCCCUGUGGAAGUUGAAUACAAAGCUUGGUGGGCAAUAAAGAAGCUGAAUAUGGACUUGAUCAAGGCCGGAGAAAAGAGAUUUCUAGACCUUAAUGAGAUGGAGGAAUUAAGAAAUAAUGCUUAUAUCAAUUCCAAAGUUGCAAAACAGAGGAUGAAGAAGUGGCAUGAUCAACUCAUCUCCAACAAGGAAUUUCAGGAAGGGCAAAAAGUUUUGAUGUAUGACACAAGACUCCAUAUCUUUCCUGGGAAGCUCAAAUCAAGGUGGAUUGGUCCAUUUGUUAUUCACCGAGUAUAUUCCAAUGGAGUGGUGGACUUAUUGAAUUCCAAUGGCAAGGAUAGCUUUAAAGUCAAUGGAUAUCGUCUCAAGCCGUUCAUGGAGUCAUUCAAAUCAGAAAAGGAGGCAAUCAACCUCCUUGAACCUCAAAAAGCCUAAGUGAAAAGGGUUUGCUGGACGUGGCUUUACCACAGUCCAAAAUUUUUGUAAAUUUUGUAAAUUUUCAAGUUGUUUCUAUACUUUUGAUUUUAGUUUUUGAUCUUAAAUCAUGUUUUUAGGUGUGUUUUAAUCGUUUUAAAUGAUCCCAGGUGGAAGAAAUUUCAAGGGGAUUGAAAGAAAAAAAAUCGGGUCGAAAUUGGAGCCGAAACAGAGCAAAAACAGGGGAAAAACAGAGCUCUGCGAAAUUUCGCAGGGUGAAGGAAACCUCUGCGAAAUGAGCAUUUUGUUGCGAAACCAUUCCGCAGCACUGUAGAAGCCUCUGCGAGUGUAUUUCGCAGCUGCGAAAGUGAAUUUGGCACACGAGUGCCACUUCGCAGUACAGUAGCAUCCAUUUGGCAGCUGCGAAACUCAUUGCGAAAUGGAAAAGCGUGAUUUCGCACCAAAAGUCCCAUUCCGCAGGGUAUUUCGCAAUUGCGAAAGUGGUUUUGGCACACGAGUGCCACUCCGCAGCACAGUAACAUCAAUUUCGCAGCUGCGAAACUCACUGCGAAGUUGCUGCGAAAAUGGCAAGUUGCUGCGAAAUUGGCGUUUAGUUGCGAAACUUAAACUGACCCCUGAGCUUCCGUUUUUCCUAUUUAUACCGGUCAAAAGUGCUGCGAAAAGGGUUUCAAAAAUCAGAGCACCAUUCUCGCAGCCCCUUCAUCUUCUUCGCCAAGCCACGCCGUCCGAACCUCCGGUCGUCUUCUCCGUUUAGCAGCGCCGGCCAAAGAUCGAUAUUCCAAAAUGGCACGAACGCGAGGGGCAAAAUCUUCAUCCCCUUCGAAUCGCAAAAGGAGUCUGCGAAAGGAGCCAAGUCCAGGUUCUGCUCCAGAACCUGCUCCAAAGCCUUCGCCGUCGAGACCACAACCUUCUCCAGUGAAGCCGGCGCCACUAAAGCCGCCGGCAAGACGAUAUUUGACAAGGUCAGGCGGUUGGCCAUUGAAGAAGAAGCCCAGGGUUGAGAGCUCUGAACCAAUUGAUUUGACUGAGCAAUCCCCUGAGCAGUCCCCAAAUCCUUCACCAGUUCAAACUCCAGUGCCGUCACCGGUUCCCUCGCCAAUUCCCUCACCUGAAGCAACUCCAAUUCCAUCGUCGGUACCAUCUCCGGCACCCCAAGAAAAAGCUCAGGAGCCUCAAGCGCCAAUUCCAGAGCCCCAAAUUGCAGCUGAAGCACCUCUGGAAGAAGUGAUCCGAAGGCCAAUGCUGCCCCAGCCCCCAAUCGAAGGAAACUUGGAUUGUCGAACACGGGCAUUCCAUUCUGAGCUUUGCUUCGAUUUAACAGCAUUCAGAGUGAGGCCAGAGCUUGCCCAAUCCUUCCAGCUGCUGAGGAGAUAUCAUAUGGAGCAUCUGCUAGCUCCAAGGGAUUUUUUCUAUCCCCGGGUAGUCACGGACUUCUACCAGACCAUGACAACCAAAGAAGUAAGAAAUCCAACUCUGAUCCAUUUCAUAAUUGAUGGAAGGCAUGGUAUUUUGGGAGCAAGACACAUUGCUGAAGCUCUGCAAAUUCCUUUUGAGCCAACCCAAUUCGACAAUUUUAAAGCUUGGGUAAAUCCUACUGAGUUAGAGAUGGUUCGCACACUAACCAGAGGAGCUGCAAAUCGAUCACACCUGUUGAGGGGGGAGCUACCUCCAGUGAUGUUUUUGAUUGAUGCCUUUUUGAGGCAUAAUAUCUAUCCCCUGCAGCAUUGGACCCAAAGAAGGGGAAUUCUCCUGGAAGCUUUGUACAAGAUGUCAGAAGGAUUCUUCUUUGGGCCCCAUCAUCUUAUCAUGGCAGCCCUUCUAUACUUUGAGGAAAAGGUUCACAAGAAGAAACUUCAAAGAGCAGAUUGCAUUCCACUCCUCUUCCCAAGGCUGCUAUGCCAAGUUUUGGAGCAUCUCGGAUACCCCUCUGAGCCUCAGCAGGAAAGAAAGAGAAUAUGCCGUGAGCCAUUUACUCUUGAUAAAUGGAAUAAUAUGACGGCCUACAAAAUUGAUCAGCCUGGGCAGCCUCAGCCAGCAGCAAGGAGAGCCUCCCCAAGACAUGCACCUGAAGGUAUAACACUUGCUACUCCUGCCAUCCCUCGAGCUUCACCAGCUGCACCUGCUGCAUCACAGCCAUCCACAUCAGCUGAGCCGAGGAUGGCCAUCCCUAUAUCCGAAUAUCGAGAGCUGUGCCGAGCAUUGGAGACUCUUACAGCUUCCCAGAGCAAUCUUGCUCAAGAGUUGGCAGCCAUCAAAGCAUGCCAGGAGCAGAUGUUAGCCUCUCAGGCUCAACAAGCUGCCAUCCUAAGGCAGCUUCAAGUCCAUUUCGAUCUGCCACAAGCUGUAGAGCCCUCCACUGAGACUCCACCAGAGCCACACUCUCAGCCUUCAGAGUCUCUUCCUCCAGAGCCAGAAGCCCCAACUGAUCCACCUACAGAGGAGGCGGAUCCUUCUGCUUAGCACCAUCACCCCACUCAUCAGACAUUAUAUAUAUUUGCUGUUUAUGUUUUUAUGCAUGUUUGUUUUGUUUUAGUUGAAAUGAAAUCCCAGUAUUUUGGUACUAUAUAUGGGAUUCCUUGUGAUUACUUGUCCUUAGCAUUGUACUCGAAUGAAUUGAAAGUAAUACAAGUUGAAUUUUUCUUGUUAAAAGUUAGCAUUAAAAUUCUCCUUAUUUCCUUUUCUCACAUAUUCUAUUCUUUUUGAAACAUGUGGUUUUCCCCAAUCAAUAUUCGAAUUUGAUAUCAGCAUGGAGGUACCACUUCCUCCCUUUUAUUACAGUCACUCAAAUCACAUUGAGGACAAUGCUCAGUUCGGUUGGGGGGUAUGAGGAAGGAAGUAUUCUAAAUCUUUUUGGUAUUGCAAUUAUAUUGGUUAAUUAGUUGUAGAUUUUACGUUUUACUCUUGUUACUCUAUUCUCCAUGAAUUUUGAGGAAAAAUUUUCAAAUUAAACCAAGAGAAAUUGAACUGUUGUUUUUCACUUGACUUAGAGUAUGGAUUAUGCUUACUAAAGUGGUUCAAUUGUUGAAACUUCUACUGAAAUUGAAUUGAGUUCUUCCAUUUUAAGCUAUCCACACACUGUGCACAUUAGUUUCUGAUUAUAAGAUGAAAAGCUAUUUCCCUCUUGACUUAGGAUAAUUUUGGGACUUGGUAUAUUUGACCUCAUUUGAUAAAAAUUGAAACACCCUGCAAAAGGCCAAUGAGCCUUUGAAAUAAAGAAAGAUGUUUGCUUGCCUUGAAACCCGAGCAAGGUCUGAGGGGCAUAUGGUGAAAGCCUUUAAAGCCUGGUGCCCUAAGCCUUAAUUGGUUGGGAGUCACCGACCUCAAUGCUCGUUACAAGGGUGAAUAGGUAGAGCUAGCAUAUGGUAGAUGCUUGGGUAUUAGAAAUUCAUUCUUAAAAGUCCAGGGAAAAAUCCGAGGAGUUAGUGGUUGAAAGAUCCUUAAAACUUGGUGCCCUAAACCUUAAUUGGUUGGGAGUCAUCGAUGGACCCCCAUUACAUGGACAAGUCAGAAAGAGUACCCCAUAAAGCUACUUUAAAAAAAAAAAAAAAAAAAAAAAAAAGAUGAUGAAAGUGUGUUCUUUUCUUAUUGAUUUUGGUCAGAUUGCUAAAGUGUUGAAAAGAGAUAGGUUGGGGGGGGAGACUAGUUUAGCAUAUUAUUCUCGGAAUCUAAGGAACCAAUACACAUAGAUUUUUGUGGAAGAUUGAAGUUUAGUUCUUAGAAAGUGAAAUGAUUUUAAAACUUCAGUUUGCAUAAUGCACUCCCUUGAUUGACAGUGUUUAGCAUAGGUGUUAUGACUCUUGUUGAGAUUUGGGUUUGUAUUUCUUUAAUGAUUCAUGUGAGAAGUAAAUCAUCAUGCCACUUAAGAAUUAUUUUCCUUUCAGCAUGAUGUUGUAAAUUUUAGAUUAGUUUGCUAUUUAUUUUUAUUUUUCUCUCCUUUAUUGCUAAGGGACUAGCAAUAUGUCGGUUGGGGGGAGUGAUUACUACUCAAAAAGUGCUAUUUGAUAGCCUUUAAUUAAUCCUUUUUAACACUUUUGAGUAGUAGUUUAGGCCUUUUAACUCAAUUGGCAUGUUAAGGAUCCUUUAAAGCAAUUUUGAUCACUUUGUGCAAGUUUUGGUGUUUUUGUUAGUAUUUCGAUCACCAAAGCAAGUCAAGAAUGAGGAGAGCUAUGAGGAAUCUUGGGCAAAGCUUAGAAUUCAAUUGCCAAGAGUGAAUCCGGAUUGCAAGGAGAAAAAGCAAAGAGGAUCAGUCAUGGAGCAUAUUCUUGAUGACAGUCGUAGCAGCCACUUUUGGAGCACUUUCUGAAGUCCAAAUGAUGCAAGCUAUAUACCAUUUCAAAGCUCAGGAAGUCAACAAUCCAAUGCUUCAAACGGUGUGCGAUUCGGAAUUGAAACGAAGAAGUUGCAGCCAUUACAAGCCAGACACUCUAAAGUGUUGCGGAAUCAGCCAUGUGUUGCGAGAAUUUCGCAGCACUUUUGUACAGUAAGGUGUUUCUCCUUCUAACGAUGCACGAACCAUGCCGCGAGAAGGGAGCUGGAAACUUCAAGAUGGAAGCCAACUUGGCAGCCUAGUGAAGAUAGCUCGGUCUUGCAAGAUAAUUUCGCAGCCCUCUUGGGUGUCUGCGAAAUUUCGCAGGCCUCAUUUUUCACCUGCGAAAUGGCUCCUGAAGCCUCCCGAAGCUUGCUACCGACAUUGGGAGAUAUUUUCCAUUAGAUUUUUGUUGUCUAAAUCCCAAAAUACUCCUUGUAAACCACCAAUUACAUGAUUCCUUAGUUUUUAAGUUAGUAAAAAGACCAAAUAUCUUUGUAACAAUUAGUUUUAUAUUUUGUUGUUAUAAAUACCUCUCGGGAGCCUGUUCUCAGGGAGGAGUUCCUUCUGUAAACGUUUGGUAAGCAAGUAAAGUCUAUUUUCUUUCUACUGCCUUACCUUCUCACUUUGUAUUUUCAUUUUAUUUCUAAGUUAUGAAUUCUCUGAGGAGUUUUCCCCAAAGAAUGAGUAACUAAACCUCCAAUUCCUUGGAGCUAAGGUUGCCGGGGAAGGUUCCAAGUGCAAGAAUGCAAAGCUCUGUGGUUUUAGCUAGUAAUGAAGAGGAAGUGAAAUCCUUUAGUGAUUUCAAUGUUUUUAGUUAACUUAAAACACUUUGGAGUCACCUGGGCCAACACUUGGUAAGGCAAGUGAUUUCCAACCAUGGAAAUGCACUAGUUUACCCCUUGCGAGCCUCUGGUAGGUGACUUCAAGGUAGGAUUUUCUGGAAUUACCAACACUUGGUAAGCUUUUGGACUCCUAGGAGACAUCCAUUAGUUAUCUCUUGCGAGUUUGUGAAGGGAAUCCAAGGUUAAAGAUCACCUUGAAUGGUAAGUGCUCGUGAGAGGCAUGAACCAUUGCAAGUUGUAUCAGUGAGAGAAUUAAAGUGAAAUCUAAUUGAAGGAGUCUUUGUACAUCACCGGUUAGAGAAUUGACUAUAAGUUGAAUCUCUAAUGCGAGGAAAUGAACCAACUGACCAGAGCCGUGUCUUUUGCAUGAGGAACCACCCCAGUGAACCUAAAUCUCCAAGGAAUGUUUUUUUCUUCCUAAAUUAUUCCAAACUUCUGUUAAGUUAGUUAGUUUAAAUCUCAACCUUUACAAAUCAAAGUUUGUGUUUUAUUCCUUAAGCUAACCGUGAAAUGAAACAAGACCAAUUCACUUGGAAUUGGUAUCAUUGAUUGCCUGCAAAUCAUUCCCAAUGAACGAUCCUAGAGCCACUAUACUAUAGUAGCUUUGUAUUUACUACCCUAGUGUAUGGUGUUAUAGGUAUAAAUUUUGUUGAUCACUUCCUCAAUCAAGGAGCACCAGCUGAACACAAAUCAGCUGAGACACCAAUUAGGCAUGAGUCAGUCAUCUCCAUUAUUGUUUUAUUUUUUCUUUCCACCACCCCAUUUUGUUGUGGGGUGUAUGGUGCAAUGAGCUGGUGAUCUAUGCCUGCAUCUUCACAAAAUUUGUUGAAUUUUUCUGAAGUAUAUUCUGUACCAUUAUUCGACCUUAUAACCUUGAUUCUGUAUUCACUUUGAUUUUCAACCAUGGCCUUAUAUCUCAAAAACACAUCAGCAACCUCAGCUUUGUAAGUGAGAAAAUAAAUCCAACAAAAUCUUGUGAAGUCAUCAAUAAAUGCAAUAUAGUACUUACUCCCUUUCAAAGAUGGUGUCUUUUGAGGUCCACUCACAUCUGUGUGAACCAAUUGUAGUUUCUGUGUUGAUUUCCAUGCUGCUUUUUGAGGAAAAGGAAGUCUUGUUUGCUUCCCAUAUUGAUAGGCUGCACAUAUAGGAAGUUCUUCUUCCAAAUCAGGGAGUCCUUCUACAAUCUAAUUCUUCUUCAUGUAGAGCACGGUAUUGUGGUGGAAAUGCCCUAAUCUUUUAUGCCAAAGCAUUGUAUUGUUCUCGUGUUGUGCAGCAGUAAUUUGCUCAUCUUCUAACAUAUUUAAGGCAAAACUUUUGCCUUUCAUUUUUAUGUUGAACACCUCUUUGCCUUCAGCAUCCUUGAUUAUGCAAUUUUUGUCUUCAAAACAAACUUUAAACCCUUUCUCAACAAGCUGUCCAACACUUAGCAAAUUUUGGUCAAUGUCAGGCACAAACAAAACAUCAGAAAUGAGCUUUAAACCUGUUAGGCUUUCAAUAGCUAAUGUUCUUUUACCUUUUACUGGAAUAUACUCACCAUUUCCUAUUCUAACUUUGGAAAUAGUUGUCCUAUCAAUCUCCCUAAAGCGAUCUUGAUCAUGUCAUGUGGUUUGUGCAACCACUGUCCACGAGCCAGCUUUCAGAGGUGCUACCGUUUGCAAAACAUGUUGCUGAAAAUAGUUGUUCCUCCUGGUAUUGUUCAGCUGCUACAUUGGUUUCUCCCUGCUGCUGCUGAGUUCUACAGAUCCUUUCUAUGUGUCCAUGUCUACCACAUUUGUUGCAUUUCACAUCUGGUCUCCACCAACAUUUUUGUUGAGGAUGAUUUGUUUUCUUGCAAUGAGGACAGGGUGGAUAGGUUCCAGUUUUUUUAUUGUUGUUGUUGCUUGGCUUAUUGUUGUUCUUUUUGUUCUUCCUCCUUCUUGUGUUACCUUCAUUGGUCUGUGUCUUUGCUUGAAAAGCUCCUUCUACAGAACUUCCUUGCCUCAUGAGUCUUCUUUGUUCCAAAGCUUGUAAAGCAUUUAGUAGUUCUGCCAAGGUGAUACUUGACAAAUCUUUUGUGUUUUCCAAAGAAGAAAUUGUAGCUUCAUAUUUUUCAGGAAUUGUGACAAAAUUGUUUUGAACAACUCUUUCAUCAGAAAACUCUUUACCUAGCAACCUCACCUUGUUUGCUAUGGUAAGAAGUUGUUCUGCAUAAUCUUUUAUGGUUUGAGACUCUUUCAUCCUCACCAUUUCAAAUUCUCGAAUUAGAUUCAUUACCUGCACAUUUCUGACUCUUUCAUUGCCUUGAUAUUCUUCCCGUAGAUGCUUCCAGAUUUCUGCAACAGAUUCAAGUUGCAUGAUUCUGGUGAGAAUUAAUGGUGAGACUACAGAAAAUAAGCAAGCCUUGGCCUUAGCCUUCCUCGUCUUUUUCUCCUUAUGGUUUUUCAUCUGUGACACAGUUGGAUUGGCUCCAAGUGGAGAAAUUUCAUAAUCUUCCUCUAUUGCUUCCCAGACAUCAAGAGCCUGUAGAUGAACAGUCAUCCUGACAGCCUAAGUUUGGUAAUUUUCUCCAUUGAAGACUAGUGGUGCUGCUGUGAAGCUUGCUUCUUCCAUUUCUGCAAGGUUUUCAGAUUCAGGUUUGGUAUACGGUGUUUAGGCUCACACACCUCACUGGUCCCUCAAGACAAAAAUUGCUCUGAUACCAAACUGUUGGAAGCAGGCGAGGUUAACACACCAAGCAACAGAGAACAGAGAUAUGCUGCUACUGAUCUAUAUUUUUUAUUUGAUCAUAAGGCUGAAUUUAUACAGAUUGUGUAACAUAUAUGACCUCAAAAAAAGCAUCAAAUCAAGCUACUUGUUGAACAAAAAACUACCUCCUACAAAAUAGCAUCAGAAUUUAACUUAAAAGCAAAAACAUAAUAAUAGCAACAGCAAAAACAGAAACAUAAAAAUAGCUUCAACAUUCUAGUAAUCUCAUUGACUUCAAUUGCAUGUGGUUGACGAUUUCAGCCUUUUCCUCAGCAGCUACUAAGGCAUAACUCUCAACAGGGCCUCUUAAUUUCCAUUCUGGCAUCUAUAUGACCUGAUAAAUAGAAAGAAAAAAAAACAGAAGAAAAGCGGCACCUGGGUUCAUAGUAAGCAUCAAGACAGGAUGCUGAAAGAAGGGAGAGAGGAGAUUGCAAGUCCAAUCCUGAUAAAAUAUCAACAAAGAGUAUUAAAUGGGGCCAACAUAAAGACCCAUUAAGGUCAGCAGAUGGCAUGGCAUUUUUCUCCUUAAGUUUUCCAUGAUUAGGCUUGAAGUCAAAAUUUCACAUGUAAAUUUGUAUUUCUACAUUUCCCACUGACGACACCCAACUUCAACUUGAGUUAGAAUAACAUUGUGUGAACUUAUCUGGCCCUCAAAAUUUACUGUGAAGUGCUUUCUGCGUGUGAAGAUUCAGAAAAGCACCAAGGGAACAUGUAUGGUCUGCCUUUUUCUGAUGUUAUGUUUGUCUCUAAUUCUGUUCCAUGUCAUGGUAAAUGUUCACAUUGCUUGUAUGGAACACACCAGGAUCACUUUUUCAGGUUUAGGGGGAUACAAAAGGCUUCAUAUUGGGUUCAAUGCUUUUAAUGUGUUCAUUGGACAAAUCUGAAUUAUCAUACGCAUUUAGAUAAGAACAAUAAUGUGAAACCCUAGUUACACCUCCCCUGCAUAACCCCAACCCUGCUUGCUCUAUUUCAGUUUACUCACAAGUUUUACUGGUUCUUAUAAGUCAAGAAAAGGCAACUGAUGUUGGAUCGACUCUCUUCCAUGUAAAAAAUGCAACUUUUAUACAUAUAAAAGAACUUCUUCCCCUCACCAAUGUGGGAUUUCAUAGAUUUAUUCUGGAAACACAUCAAAGGAACAUCUUUUCUCUUGGGUGACCCUAAGUGGUGAGUCAGAUCAUUUGCAUGCCAUUGAGUUGCACAGUUGGAUAAAUGCACCUGCCUCCUGGGCUCCAGAGUUAAAAGGGUGGAUCCCUGGAUUGCAACCCUCUUGGCAUCUUGGUUUCUAUUCCAACAUCCACAUGACUUGACAAAACAAAAAACAGAAUAAAAUCAGCACUAUAUUCAUGCUAAGCACCAAUACAUGAUGGAAAUCAUUGCUUAAAGAUUUGGGGUCGUUUUAGGUUUUGACUGCCUCCUACCACCUCACCUAAUGACAAGUUUUUAUGCUUACAAAUCAAAUAUCGUUCUUCAUUAUAUUAAAAUCAUUUUAAGAUUUCAGAUCCAUCUGCUAAUUAUGAUUAUGAUAACAUUUAUUCACCUGUGCUUCUCAUUUUCGACACACAAGGCAUCUAGGUUUGCAGGAUUUCCUUAUUAGAUGAGAUAAAUGAGUACGUAUGGUUAUGUAUCCAGCAUUCAUUAACCAUGGUAUGUGACAUUUAGAAUUAAGAUAGCAAGCAAACUUUCCCUGCAGCUAGAGUAAAUUGUGAUUUCUUAGCCUCUAUGAGUGGUUCCCAAAUCAAAUUAACAUAGUGAAAUAUACGUAGUCCAGUGAAAGGAAAUGUAAAUUAUAAACUAACAGCACUACACUACUGGUAACAAUCGAUACUCUCUAUAUAAUGCAAUAAACAAUGUCACAAUUGCCUACAAGCAAGGCACAAACACUAGAACAAGUAAAGCACAAACCUUUCCCAACAGUUCCCAGUGACUGAUGCAUAUCAUACCCUCAACUCACAGAAGGGGAUGAUAUCAGUGCACUGCAGCACUUAUUUUACACAUACUACCACUACUACUACUACUACUACUACUCAUUAGCCAAAGUCACUCAGUUGGGAUGAGUGUGAGGUAGAGGUUUGUGGGGUGCUAUGUGGAAAGGAGUUUGGCUUCUUCUCAGGAGAUGGUAGCUUCUUUGCAGGAGUUGAAGGAGGCUUAAUCUUCUGUGGUGGAUUGAUUGUAUGAGUCUUUGGCACUCUCUUCUCUAGUACAGGUGAAUACCCAGGGGUGCAUCCAUAAUGCGGUGGCUUCUAUCCCUUAGGUGGUUUGCCAAAUUCAAAAUCGAAGGAUUUUUUUUUUUUAAGUAUACGUAUCUUUGAAAGCUUUUAUUUUGUAUGGCAAAUGGAAUGAGAGGAGCAGUCAUAUUCUAUUUGGCCAGAGCAACAUAUCACAAAUGAACAAGCUAUUUACUGCCACACUGGGCAAAACAUACAUAAUCCUUGUACUUCAAACAUCCAUGAAUUCUCAUCAUUUUCAGGACACGUUGCAUGGUCUAUCAUUCUAUAUGUCGGCAUAGUAAGUGCAGCUAAUAAGCCUAUUCAGAGCUGAAAUUCAAAAUCUAUUCACAGGAUAAUGACCUUAUUAUUGGAUUUUGCUCACUGUCAUACACACAUAUCAGAUAAAGCCCCACAUGCUCAUAAGCUACAAGCAACCUACAAGCACUAAAAUGAGUGUUAGACGUAUGAAACAUUCCCCAAUACUAGUAGUAUUACCUGUUCCAUAGAACACUAAAUUAGAAGAGAGAAGAUGUGAGACUCCAGCUUUUCUUUCUACAUAUUACUCAUAUCAAGUUGGAAUAGUUAGGCGGUAGAGGCUUGGGGUGGCUUGUGUAGGGGACUAGGCAGCUUCUCUCAGGAGUUGAUUUCGUCUUAUUCUGGAUGUCCAGGUUUCGUCCUUUCGAAUUUCCCAUGCAAAUCAGCAUUCUCCUUGGGAAACUUCACUCCGUUGGGAAACUUGUGUGAAUCUUUGGCAUUCUCUACCAGAGAAGGCCCAGGGCAGUGACCAUAAGGUGGUGGCCUUUUUUCAGGUGGUGGCUCCUCUCCCACUGGAGGCUUGUGGUAAUCAGCAAGAGAGGCAGUGGAGAGAAUCAUCACCCCAAGGAACAGCACUAGCAAGUAUUUGUGAGCCAUAUUUGGGAUCUGAUGAUGAAGACUAGAAGAUAGGAGUUGCCUCAUAUAAUGGGUUGGAGACUAUAUCUCAAGGGGACGUGUAUUUAUGCAUAUGAUCUAUAUAGGACCAUCCUCCUAAUAUUUUCAAAAUAAUGUUAUUGUCUCUCUUGGGUGACAGUUUGAUUUGGUCUAUUUCCAUGCCACUGAGUAGAAAAGUUUGACAAUUGGCUACACCACCUACCUGGAUUACAUGGUUGAAAGUGAAGAUCAGUACAGUGUGAUCACACUUGACCUCUUGUUCCCCAUUCCAGUAUCUAAUUAACCUGACAAAAGUAAAAGGAAAGGAAAAAGGGAAAAAAUAGAAUAAUGUUCAAAUAAAAACGAGAAAAAAUAGCAUAAUGUUGAUGAAUCAUGAUAAGCAUCAAGGCAUGAUAGUGAGAGAGAGGAAAGAAGACAGUGUAAUUUGCAAUCCUGAUAAUCAUUAUAUAGCAGUAACUUUAAUCAUUUUUCUAUCACAGGGAACAUGACACUCAUCUUCCUAUGGAGAUAUUGCAUAAGUUUUUUUCUUUGUAUGUCAACACUAACCAAUGAAGCAUGUUAGCUGGUUUGAAACUGAAACUGUAGCCCUCUGUUUGGUUCUUGAAAAACUUGAGAGAAAAUGGAAGUAAAGUUAAAAGGAAAGAAAAAGUGAAAAAAAAUAAAAAUAGAUUGAAAGUUAACAAAUUAUUUUUACAUGUUCCCUCAAAUUUCUUUCACUUAUUUUUCCUUUUCUAUAUAAAGAUUAAAUGAUUUAAAAAUCAUAAAUUUCUAACUAAUUAUAACUAUAUUUGAUUUUCUUUCAUAUUUUCCAAGAUAAAGUCAGACAUGAGAAAAUCAUUUUCCUUAAAAAAGAAAUUCUUUCCUUUACAGUUUCUUAGAACCAAACCUGGCACAAAAGUCCAAAUUGGGGUUUCUCCAUGUUCCAUUUUUUAUGGCUACCUUUAUGGACCAUAUAAUAUAGAAUGUACUUCUGCAUACCUUCAAGAUCAAGCUGAACUAUAAGAAAAAGACAAGCCAUGGCCCACGGAGCAGGGAUACCAAGCUGCCUUCUCCUAGAUUAAGUUCCAAGAUUUCAGUCUUCAAACCUGCUAAAAGCUAAAGGCAUGUUUCCAGCCUGCGGCAGAUAACAUGCACUGUCCAACAAUAAAUUGCAAACACAUUCGAUGCAGUUUAUUAGUACAAUAAGAUUAAAUCCACCAAAUCUUUUACAGUUCAACCAACACUUGAACUAGUAGCUAGCUUCACUACUGGGUAAUAAUAUAUAAACCAAACUCUUGAUAGGAACCAACCUAUCGCAGAUCGAACUUCUUACAUCCACCAUGAAUUACUGAACCAAAAGAAGAAUCGAAGAGACUGCCAAGGAGGAAAGCCUUCCUAUAACUAGAUAUUUAUAUUCCAAAUUAGGGAGAGCACCCACUGCCCAGGCCUCGCCCAGCAUAAACAGAUAGUAUACAUAUACAUGCAAAAAGCUCCAACCUUCAAGAUUUUAACUAUUAACUUAACACAAUUAAAAAUGUAUCCAAAAAGCAAAUCCCCUUGAACUCCUGAAGCAAUUACUCCAACCAAAUAAAGAUUUUAAGAGUUCCAUGUUCAUAUCCUGCAAGGAAAUCAUUCAAUGUUCAGACCUCUAAUUUCUGUCUUUCUAAAUGCCCAGCCAAAAGGCAUAAAGUAUCAUCCAAAUUGGAUGCACAGCAUAUGUUCUUAAAUCAUGGGAUUUCACCAUAAGUUACUACACUCUAACAGGGCCCAGAAAUUGACCUCCAGAUAUGCCUAUCAAAAAAUUAUCCCCACAUACAUUUUUCUGCUGAAAAGACAAUAUUGUUACAUUUGACAUUCAACCACUACUUGAACUCAACAACCAGGGAAAAGAAUAUAGUAUUUCUACCAAUGAGGAUGAGAGGGGCUGGUGAAUUAACAGGUAAAAGUUUGUUUUGGGUUCAUUGUUUGCAUAAUAAUGUAAAAAUGGAGUAGUAUAUUAUAAAUUAAUGUAAAAAUGGAUUAGCAUAACAUAAAUUGCCAUAAGAGAACCACAAACUACAAAGAAACUUAUUUUCCAAACAAGGAAAAUUAUUCAUAGCCAUUAUUACAUAAGAAAGGAAAUUGAUAAAAUUAUUAUCCAGUUCCCCAUCAGGAAAUAUGAAAGUACUCCUAAAAGCCUCAAUUCUAACCAGAAAACCAUAGAAAUGUAUUAGAAAUAUUGUACAGGGUUCUCUCCAAUAUUAGCUUCAGUUGCUAAGGAGAUCAGAACCUUGAAAGUAAGUCACAAAGGUCGUGUGGGUUUCCCAGAGUCUUCAACAACCAGUAUUCACAUAUGUACACAUUAAAAUUAAAUAAAGCAGGUAUCAAUUCCACAGGCUUUAAGAUUUGAAUUGCUUCUCCCUGGAAUCAUACACCACUCAUAUUGUCACUGACUUUCAAUUACUUCUCCCUGCGAUCAUAUGCCACUCAUAUUGUCACUGCCUUAGGGAACAAAGUGAAAAUCUGCAAUUUCAAUUAAUUCCAACAUAAAAAUAAAAAUCAAUCCUCAAAAAAUGGAUUGCCAGGAGGUAAAUAUAAUAGAAGACGAACAACUCUCACAACCAAGUUAAAGAAACCAGCCGCUAGGUACCUUUGAGUUCUAUACUACCAGGAACAAAUUGGAUGAGAUUAUUUAAAGGCUAUUCCACAGUGGAAAUUCAUUCGUUCAAAAAACAUUUGUCAUGCAUAUAGGCAAUCUAUCCUAUGCAUUCAUACAUCAUGGUCUCAUGCAAUCUUAAUAAAAGUGGUCCUGGAAAAAGAGAGAAAAAAGUAAUUACAAGCCUGUGCGACCAGAUUUCUUUUGUUUUUUUUUUUUUUUUCCUUUGCCAAACAACCAUGUUCAUAGUUUCAGAAGUUCAUUCUGUCUUUAAGAGACCAUGGCAGUGACUUGGCCAUUCAGCUAAGANNNNNNNNNNNNNNNNNNNNNNNNNNNNNNNNNNNNNNNNNNNNNNNNNNNNNNNNNNNNNNNNNNNNNNNNNNNNNNNNNNNNNNNNNNNNNNNNNNNNUCACCAAGGACUCCUCAACCUCAAAAUAAUAGAGAAAGUCUAGGACACCAUGUCACUACUGAGGACAACCCAACACCACAACAUUUCAGUCCGUUCAAAAAGAGUAAUUGGAAUUGUUGCAAAAAAUGUUCAACUAGUCCCAACAGGAGGCAAAUUCCUCCAUUUCUUCAUCGGGUCCGGAUCCUUUGCUCAAAAAGGUAAUUUUCUUACUGCCCUAAAAGAAAAAGGGAAAAUGUGAGUCAUUGGAUUGUUGACUCAGGAGCUUUUGAUCACAUGACUAGAGUGCCACAAUUUUUCAAAAUUAUACACCUUGUUUUGGGGAUGAUACAAUUCGUAUGGCUGAUGGUUCUCUCUCAAAGGUGACUGGUACAAGUUUUAUUGUCAUCUCUAAGGACCUAACUCUUGACUCUAUUCUUUUGGUUCCAAACUUGGAUUGCAAUCUAUUGUCCAUUAGUAAACUCACUUAUGAAAAGAACUAUGUUACUAAAUUUUUCCCAAACCAUUGUGUUUUUUAGAAUUUGAAUUCGGGGAAGACGAUUGGCAAUGUUGAAGUGUGUUUAGGACUCUAUGCCUUCAAAGUGAAUUAUUAUAUUGAAAGACAAUCUUAACCAACAGUUGGUGAAAAAUGGUGUCUUUUUGUCUUUAGUUCUAAUAAAGAUAGUGAUGUUAUGUUAUAGCACUAUUGUCUAGGACAUCCUAGUUUCUUAUAUCUCAAAAAACUCUUUCCAUGGUUUUCAGUGUGAAAUUUGUCAACUAUCCAAGCAUCUUUGCAAGCCCUAUCCAUAGUUUUAAAAGACUUAAGGCACACCAAGACGCAAAGUCCUCUUGGAGCCUUAGGCGCAAGGCACACCUAAGGCGCGAACUUUAGUAAAGUGAGGUGCAUCCUGUUUUACAUAUAUAUUUUUAUAUAAUACAAUCAAGUGCCCGAAAAUUUUCCUCUAAUUUUCCCCUUCUUCUUCAUCCUCUUCUCUUCUUCACAUUGUUCGGGAGGCUAGGACAUUUUUUUUUUUUUACAUGUCUAAAACAAGCAUAUAUUGGGUUUUGGAAGAAGAACAAGCCAAAAUGACAUCGUUUUGGAGCCUAAUCUUUUAAAUAAAUAAAUAAAUAAAUAAAAACCAGCCAAAAAUGACACCGUUUUGGCCCCUGUUCUUUUAAAAGAACAAACCAAACAACGUCAUUUUGAUCUCAGGAAAUUAAAAAAACAAAACCCUCGUCAUUCUCCCUUUGCUACUCUACAACUCAUCGUCAAAGGGUAAAAAGAUGACCAAAAGAAGAAGAAGAAAAAAAAAAAACGACGACAGAGGAUAGAGGUGCACCUGUUGAGGGCGUUGCGCCUAGCCAAGAGGCGAGCGCCUUGCACACUUAAUCAACGCCUCUGUGAAGGGGCGGCUCCUGCAAUCAGGCGAAGCGCUGAAGGGUGAUGUCACAUCGUCUAGAGCCUAGGCGCACCUUUCACAACUAUGACCCUAUCCAACUCAACCAUACAAACCAUCUCAUCUUUUUUCCAUACAUAGUGAUGUUUGGAGGUCAUCUAAAAUAAAGAACAUAACAGGGACUAGAUGGUUGAUGAUCAUACUAGAAUUUCUUAGAUAUUUCUAAUGAAAAAAAAAUCAAAAAUUAGUCAAAUUUUCUAAAAGUGGACCAGAAUUUCUUUAUUGAAUUAAAAAGUUGAAAUUAAUAUUUUGGAAAAGUUAGGGCCGCUCAAGAGGUAGAAAUAGCGCUCGAGUGGUAGAAAUAGCGCUCGAGUGGUAGAAAUAGCCCUCAAGUGGUAGAAAUAGCGCUCAAGCGCUAGGACCGCUCAAGCACUUAACUAGCGCUUGAGCGCUCAUAUAGAAUCUGCCAGAAUAUGGAAGAAUAUUUUUUGGAUAAUCAUGAAAAUUGGAUUUGGAAACUUUAGAAUAUCAAUCUCCUUCGGCCUAGAGGUUUAUAUAAACCCUAUUAUAACCCUUUAGGGUUAAGAAAUUCACCAAGUGGUUUACCCUAACUUGUCAUACCAUUCCCGAUCUCUCAUCAAGGAAUCAAAGUGUUUAAUCUUGGGUUGUUUGAAGACCUGCAUCCCUUCAACAAGGCUAAGGUGUAUUCACUAGAACAAUUGAAAUUGUUGCAUUGCGGACAUGAAUCAAGUUGCAGGUUCUAGAGAGUAAGUCUUUAGAAUAAAGCAGACAAAGAGUUCUAUGUGACUUUAUCUCAUAUAGUGGAUUUAGCUUUGAGGUCUUAGACCUCGUGGGUUUUUAUCUCCAUAGUUAGUGUGGGGGUUUUCCACAUAAAAAUUAUUGUGUCUCUUGAUCUUAUGUUUGAUUUUAGAUAUUCUAUUUAUCCCUGAUAUCUCACAGGUUAACUUUAGGUUAAAAAUUCAACUCCCUAUUUAAUAAUUUUUAAAAUACACCCAUUCACGAGUGUUAUCCUACUGGACAUUGGUUUUUCACCAUAUAUAACACUCAUACCAAAACCCAUGCAACAUGGACUCCAACCUUAAGCUUAACUUUCUACGAAUGGAAAAAAAAAAAGACAUAACAUAAAUAGACAGAUUUAACAACAUGCUCCUAAUCAAGGUGAAUGUCCCUCUUUUUGAAAGAUAUGACCUUUUCCAUACGAGGAGCUUUCUUUAAAAUUUCACCUCUACCAAUUCCCAUGCCUUUACAAAGUUGUGGAAAGCUCCAAAGAGAAGGCCCAGACAUGUAAUGGGUAGAUUCCCUACCUUAGAACCUUACACCAAAGCUAAACCCCUAAUAUUUGUGACUUCUAUAAGAAUCAAUUCAUUUUUUUCCAUAUUUAUUUCUAAAUCAGACAUUGCCUCAAACCACAUGAAGUUAUAACUUGGAUGUUACAGAUGCUCUUAAUUAGUGUCACAAAAAAAUAGGGUAUCAUCAUCAAACAAGAAAUGUGACACUUCCAUCCCCUCCUCCUGUCUUCCUCCCACUUUGAAACUUGAGAUGUAACCCCUUUUAUCUAAUUCUCCUCAAAAUUCAAUUGAAAGCCUUCAUUGCCAAUAUGAAAAUGUAAGGGGAGAGAGGAUCUUUCUACCUCAAAUCCCUUGAGCUCUCAAAGAAACUGAAUAGGACACUAUUUACUAGAAUAGAGAAUUGAGUAGUGGAAAUGAACCAUUUGAUCCACCUCACCCACUUAUGAUCAAAGUCCAUUUUAUCCAACAUCAUUAACAAAAAGUUCCAAUUUACAUGGCCAUCGUCCUUUCCAAUGUCUAACUUGCAAAUUACCCCACUAUUGGGACUCUUUAACCUUGAAUCUAGAGCAUCAUUUAUGAUUAGAACUGCAUCUAGAAAUUGUCUGUCUUCCACAAAAGCAUGCAAAUAAACUAAAACUAUUUUACCCACCACAUUUUUUAGUCUUUUAGCCAAGACUUUUUCCAAUAGCUUGUACAAAAAAACCCCCAACUAAGCUAAUCAAUGUAAAAAAUUUUAGGUUCUCUGCUGCACCUAUAUUAGGGAUCAAGACCAAGAACAUGACAUUUAAAUUUUGCUCAAAGGAACAAUUAUCAAAAAACUCCCCAAGCUCAUUUGCCAAAAUAUUAUAAUAAAUCCAUUUGGCCCCUACAGCUUUAUCCCCACUCAAGCUAGACAAGGCAACAAGAAAUUCCUCAUCAAAGAAAGGUAACUCCAAUUUCCUAGAAUCAGCACAUAGCAUAACUUCAAAGGUCAUCCCAUUAAUGUUGAGUCUCCACUCGCCCAUAUCAGAUAGGAGAUUUUGGAAGGCCCUAAACUCCCCUUCCUUUAUAUUUGCUUCCCAAGCAACCAUUUUGCAUUCACUCAAAUUUUAAACAUGAAGUUUUUUAUUCUUUGGGCAUUGACCAUUUCAUGGAAAAUUUUGGUGUUUUUAUCCACCCCCUCUUUUAACCAAAUUUCUCUUUAUUUUUGCCCCCAUACAUAUAGAUUCUUCUAACAAGGCCCACUUGCUAAACUCAAUCACCACUAACCUUUGGCCUCAACGAUUUCAAGAGAUAAGGUAACUGCUCUCUACUUUGAGUCCCAGAAGUUGAUCCAGUUUAGCACCUCUAGGUUUUUUGUUGAGACAUUCCCAAAACCUUCUUCAUUCCAAGAUUUUAAAUCUCGUUUGACAGCCUUUAGUUUAACUUCCAAAAUAUGACCAUACAAGCCAUCCACAUUAUAACCAUCAACCAACUCCUCACAAAAUCUUUUAAGCCUUUUGUUUUAGGCUACAUAUUUUAAAAUGUAAACUGUGUUUUCCCACUCCUUAUCCUACCUCCAUCUAAAACUAUGGGGUAAUGACCAAAAAUUGGUUUAGGUAAAAUACUCUAGAUUAAAGUAGAAAAACGAUUCUACCAAUCAUCUGACACUAGGAAAUGGCCAAGCUAGCCUUGAAGAAGACAAAAGAUUAUGAACACCACUCCAAGUGAAUAGCCCUCCAACUAGCGAAAGAUCCCAAGGUCAAGUCCUCUAUGUCCUCUGAAAAGAACCUCAUAUCAAACAACAUUCUAAGGCAAUUCCUCCUUUUCAUGGGGAACUUGACCAUAUUAAAAUCCCCUCUGAAGCACUAGAGGUCAUCCCAAAGGCCUCUUAUGGCACCCAACUCUACCCAGAAAUCCACUCUUUCUCCCCUUUAAACCAACCCAUAAACUCUUACGUAUACCUAGACAAAGCUAUCUUCACAAUUCAUAGACAAGCAAUAGAGAAUGCUUCCACCUCCUUACCAAUUAACUCUAAUACCCUACUAUCUUGGAAAACCAAAAUGCCUACUAUCAAGCUUCUAACUUCCAAUACCAUUUCAAAAAUUUUCCUACUCCUAAACUCCUUACCAGUUGAACGAACAUCUAUCGAACCUUGGUUUCUUGUUAACAAACUAGAUCAACCCCUUGAGACCUUAUCAAUGACUUUAUUAUCAUAUACUUUUCCUCAUCAUUUGCUCAUUUGACAUUCCAAGACAGGAUUUUUAGCUUCAUCAUGCAACCUAUGUUGGAUCCUAACUGCUACUCUUGGAGCCCUUUUCCUUUUUGUUGAGCUUUUAUAAUUGACUAAGCAUCCCAACUUGUUGAGGUCCCUCUCAAACCAAGAUAUCGAGGUUAACUUCCUCUUCACCUCCAACGAAAAAACAGAAACCCCUCUCCUUAGCCUGCCACACAAGGGAAAAGAUCUCUUUUUCAAAUCCAUCAACUGGCAUUCUUGAGAAACUAUUGAAAUUUGCCAACUUACAAGAUAUACAAUUGGAGGAGUGCUUCUCUACCAAACAACUACUAAAAUUCACCUCAAAGGUGACCUUUUCCCCUGAUCUCUCCCCGGCCUCCAUACCCACUGACCCUUUCACAAAAUUUUCUAGAAUUUCCACUAUCAAGCCGUUACGGAGAACCAUCCUCAACAAACUCCUUUGACUAAUGUGAAAAACCCCACCCAAGAGCAUCUUCCAGAAGUUAACUUACAAGAUUAACUAUAAUCUUGUGAAGACUCGUUACCUAAUGGGUAAAAAAUUUGAAAUUCUAUUAGUAUAAUUCUUUUUAGGCACAAAAGCUGUGAAAAUAGCAUUGGUGCUCUAAUUAAUAACCCCAUAAUUAUUAAGCAAUAAAACAACUUUUAAUAAAUUCUCUUUCACCACAUCCCACCAAUCCUAAUGCAAAAAAGCUAGGAAAAAGUCAUCAUUGCUCUAAGCAUUUCUCCUCACUAGUUGAAAGACUGCUUUAUGAACUUCCUCUUCGACAAAAGGACAAUCCAACCAAUUAGCACCAUUUUCCAAAAUGAGAGACCAACCCCCACUCUUCUAUCCUCUAAGGAUCUUCAUAUAACCAUUAAUGCCUUUCUAUACCAGCUAGUAUAUAUCGGGUUUUGGGCAAGUCCUAUAAAUUGGUUUGAGUAAGAUUUUUAAUUACCCUGUUCUUUCUUUUUAGUUGAUAAAUAUGCAUAUAUGUAGUAAUUCAUACAUCAGAAAAGAUUUUGCUAAAACAAAAGAAUUGACAUGCAGAUAGUGACUUCUUGAUAAGAGUAAUAGCUUAAGGGAGGAAAAUGAACUCCUCCAGUGGCCCCAAAGUGGUAAGUUCCUUCAGAUCCCAUGUUGCUAUUCUGCAUUUCUUUGUGUUUUGGCAUCAGCCCUCUUAAUUAAUUCACUAUCCAGCUUCUCAAAUUCCUCGGAUUCUUCCCUUGUUCUUGUGGAAACAUCUGCAUCUUGUCCUUGCAUUGUUAUGGAUUGGUGAUUAUCAUUCUUUGAGAACUGUGUGGCAGCUGCUCGUGCACCAGCUAUGGCUGCAAGGAGACCUUCUGGUUUCUUGUCUUCAGCAGCUUUGGAGCCAUCAAAGCAAGAAACAAGUAAUCCUGGUUUCAAAGAGAGGGGAUCUUGUGGUUCUGGAAGCAGAAACUUGACAGGUAGUGGAGCUUGAACAGGACGAAGACCCCUAACUGCUGCCUCAUAUAUCUGCAACAAUUUCAGGGGGGAUAAGUAAUUAAAAAUCAGUCACUCUAUUGCAUUAGUUAGACUUGCUUUCAAUGCGAUAGCAAAGAAAGAAUCAUCAAUGAAAAAAGAAAAAAUAAAUGAAAAAGAACAAAAAGGAGAGGGAAAAAAAAAUGAUGGGUGCUCAAUUUGUACUUUUCUUUCCAGGUUAUAAAUACGUUGGUACCCGCGCAUCUCAAAUGGUAUGAUUAAUUUCUGCAUCAGGUCAGGAGAACUAAGUCCAUCAAUAUACUAAAAAGCAAAUAUACCAAAAGGCAAGCAAAAAUGUUUAACCAUCUUGAGUGUCAAACUCUCCAAGAAACUAUAUACUUUUAGCUGAAUGAAAACACAUGCCUGUGGUUGCUCACAGAGCCAGCAAAACUCUGUUUGCGCUUCUAGCCUUACCUACAAAUAGAGUUUAGGUUAUCCAACCAAAAUGGAGAUACAUCACACAAAACAAACUGUACCUAAUCAGUUUACGAAGGGGACGGGGGGAAGCAAAAAGCAAAAGUAAAUUUCUAAGAUGCCCACCCCUUCAGGUACCUCCUUCCAGCACGCCAGCUCUUCACAUUUAACACAACCAACUACUUCAAUACAACCUGUGGCAAGAAUAGAGUUUGUUGGAUUUAUUGUAGCAUGCCAUACAGAAAAAUUUAGCAUUUCAGUAAGAAUAAGAAUAAGAGAGCUACUUUCCACUAAAAUACGAAUCACCCAUCAACUGUUGCAAACAGACAACAAUGUGAAUAACAGGUUUUAUAUAUAUAUAUAUAGAGAGAGAGAGAGAGAGAGAGAGAGAGAGAGAUAGAUAGAUAUAGAGAGAGAGAGAGAGUCAAAUAAUAAUAAAGGACAAAAAUAUUUCUUUGAGAAAGACUAAUUAGAAAGAAGAAACAAAGAACCCACAUGAAAUCAAUUUAGAUAAGAGAAAUACCUUUAAGAAUCUAGUUCUUUUUGCAAAUUGCAACUUAGAAUUGGAAUGCCACAUAUUAUUAUAAGGUAUCACAAGAGAUUAUUGCUUCAUUUUUUUUCUUUGCCAGAUCAGUUUUAAUAAAUAUAAAUAUAAAAAUAUAAGCAUGUACACACACACACGCAAACACAUUAUGUGUGUAUGUUUAUGGAUAUGUAGAUAUAGGUUUUUAAUAAUAGAGCAUGAAAACAUAUCUAGUCAGAAAUUCCAAAAAUCCAAAACCAUUAGCAACACCUAACAGUCUUGAAACUGGGUAAUGUUCUGGAAACUUGAGGUCUGCUAUCCCAUUCACAGCAUAGAUCUCCCUGUAGAAAUUCUCCAUUGCUUUGAUUGUGUCUGAAUCUGGGACCUUACUAGCAGCAUGAAUCCAGAGUCGGCCUUCAUAAAACAAAACAUGUAUAUUAAGAAAUAUCCUUGUAGAACAGUAACAUUUUUGCCAGCAUGCAAUUCGUGUUAAUAAUCCUUGGUUCUCACCACUCAUUGUACAUUACAAUGUAAAGACCUAAUAAGCCCUAAUAUAGGUAGGUGUCUGUGCAGAGAGAGAGAGAGAGAGAGGGGAGGGGGGUGAAAGGAAAGAUGAUUAUAGAACAAAUACAAGUUGAAUCUCCUGAAAUAAUGUCCAUCAAGUUAUUUCCUAGCAACAAGUACUGAUUAUGCUUUUCCUGAUAACAUGAUUUUCUUUGCUAACAACCAUACUAUAUUUUAUCAAGAAAGAGUAGUGCAUGUGGCGUGCAUCAAGACCCAUUAGAGUUCCGCUAAACCUAUAGUUCUGUCAACGUUAUCAUUUACGUUUCCUCUAGAUAAUGGCAUUUUCCUCUAAAACUCUUGCACCAUUAGGCUUCAAGUCAAAAUUUCACAUGUGAACUUUGGAAAUUUUCUCCAUUUGCCCCUAAGGAUACAGUUAGAAUUGACUUAAAAUCCUGAUUGAUGUAUACUUUUAACCGAAGAAUAUUGUAUAUAAUAAUUGAAAUAUUGUUGAUUCAUCGUGGAAAUACAUUUUGUAAGGAAAGUUGUUAAGAAUUUAGUAUGCUAUAUGGAGAAAAAAGUCAUGACUUAAGGUUGAGUAUGUAUAUUCUAUAUCAAAUAUUAGGUAGGAAUGUGGAAAAGAGCAGAGUGUAAUUAUAAGAAACAAAGAAAUAUAAGAUAUUCUUGAAAGUGGAAAAUGUAAAAUGGCUAAAAGUCAAAUUUAUGAUGCAUAAGGGGGAUCAUGUCACAUAAGAAACUCAUGGCAUACCAAAUACGUGUGGUAUGGAGUAACAAUUUUGUUAAAAUAAGUUUCUCGUUGGAGUACAUUAGGUGACAAUUUUUUAAUAUCAAAUUAAAGAGUCAAGUGCAUCAAUGAAGUCAUAUGUAGAAAAUUUGUUUGUGACAUGUACCAUAAAGAUAAGAUUGACUUGAUAUAAUUUAGUCCAGGUAGGAGUUGUUAAAGGUGUCUCAAAUUUCUAAUUGAUAUAUAUUUUUUUCUAAAAAAAUAUUAUAUAGAUAUUUCAAUAAAUGAUUAAUUCUUUGUAAAAAUACUUACAUAAUAAAAAACAUCAUUAGAAAUAUCUCUAUAAAUAUUUUAAAUCACAAAAAGAAAAAAAAAAUCACUAUGAGAUAAUUAUAAACAUGCAACAUUGUACCAAGUAAACAGAAAUGUGAUAAAAAAAUUUUGAGAAACACUAAAUAAAGGAAGGGCUUGUAUAUCAAGAUGUAAAUAUAGAGAGCAAUAUUUUUAAUCAUAUGAUAGAAUUAUUUUCUCUCAUUCAUGAUUAUAAGCAAAAUUGGGAACCAUUAUAAAAUCUUGUACACCUCGUGUAAAUUGAUGUUUGUCUUCAUAUUUUACACCAACAAAUGACAUUGAAGUUGUCAUUGAUAAAAGGGAAAAGGCAUGGCCUCCACACCAUGUGCUUGAAUCGUAUGGUUCAAGUUUAAAGAAUUUUCUCCAUAAUUUGAAGAUCUAAAACAUUUUCACCUUUAAAUUUCAUUUAAUUAUUAAUAUCUACAAAAAAUAGUUAAAUACUCUUUCUAUUUUUGAGUUGUUGAAUUUUUUGAAAGUUUUUAUAUUUGUUAUCAAGAAUUUAUAUUUUAUUAAGUGUGAAUAUUUAUAAAUAAGAUAUUAUAUAAUAUUUGGAUAAGAGAGAAUGGUGGAAUAUAAUAAAGUUUUAAUCCUUCCCAAUUUUUAUCUUUUUUUUUUUUUUUUUUUAUAAUCGCCUUUCUCUUUCAAUCCUAUUAUCAGGUACCUUAUAUUUGCUGAUGCUAUCUGGAACUAAAUUCCAAUCAGACAUUGUCCAAUUACUAAUAGGACAGAUCAUGUCUCUCUGUUUCUAAACUAACAUGUAUCGUAAUGUGGCCUCAUAAGGAAGGCUAGGAAGAUGGAGGAUUUUGUGGGAAGCGACCAGAAUCAGAUGGAAGAGAGAUAGCCCUGUUGACCUAAUGGCUGUAAUAGGAGAAGCGUGUGGAUUUAUGGGACUUAACUGAUACUAAACCUAUAUGAUGCUUGGAGUGGUGUUUCUUUCAUUUUGUUAAGAAAAUAUGGCAGCAUACAUCCUUUCAAUUGAGUGCAUCAGAGCAUCCAUAAUAGAUGGUCUGCAACCCUAGGUGCAUGCCACUUUCUGACUGAUAAUGAAACUGUCAGGUACUUGGCCUUGACUAAGCUCAACAGCAUCACAUAAAAAGAAGCUUUCAUACUUAGAUUACUGUUUAAAGCUUUUGCUUAUUUGCUUUCUUAAUGCCAUUAUGACAUUAUUGUUUCAAUUCUGCUACCGAUUUUCGAAGUUCUGGGCAUCUACUGAUUGCAUCAUUAUAUGAGAAGUUGCAUGAGUUUAUGUAUCCUGUUAUUGCUCCUUUGCGAUUUCACUGCUCACGGGACUAACCUCUCCAUUCAGUCGAAAUGAAUUGUAAUUUCUUUACUGGUAGCAGUAGUACUUUUCAUAGCAAAGAUAAUAGUAAAUAUGAAAUAUAAAUAGAAGGAAAUCUGAAUUGUAGAUGGCACUAUAAGUAACACUCAAUAUUCACUACAUAAUAAAAUAGACAGUGUUACAAAGGUAGAGAAACCUACAAUGAGUACUCAUCACCAUUCUCAAACAGAAACAUAGCAGCGACUUAUACAUAGAACCUAUAGGCUUGCAGGGAAAGAAGGGAAAGAGUAACAUGAUAAGUUCACAGCGGGUAGCAGCUCUUAUUUUACGUAUUACUCAAAAUCUCAAACUAACCAAAGUCACUCAGUUGGGAUGGGUAGGAGAUGGUGGUUUGUGGGGUGGCUUCUGGGUAGGAGCUGGUGGCUUCUUUGUUGGAGUUGAAGGAGGCGUAAUCUUCUGAGGUGGCUUGUAUGAGUCUUCGGCACUCUCUGCAGGAGGGUGCCCAGGGUUGUGACCGGAAGGAGGUGGCUUCUGUCCCUUUGGUGGUUUGCCUAAUGGGCUUGGUGGCUUGUGCUCCGGGAGUUGUUUCUCUCCCUCGAGUAGGUUUCGAGUUUUGUCAGAUGGCUUGUGUUCUGGUGGUGGCUUCUCUCCCUGGGGUGGUUUGCCGAAUGGGCUUGGUGGCUUGUGUUCGGGGAGUGGCUUCUCUCCCUGGAGAAGGUUACGAGUUUUGUCAGAUGGCUUUUGUUCUGGUGGUGGCUUCUCUCCCUGGGGUGGUUUGCCAAAUGGG